AAAAAAAAAAAACUAGUGCUGGACAUAUAAAUCGAAAAUCGAACCGGUUAGGAGUAAAAAACAACAAUUCGAAAAAGAAAUAUGUUUACUCGACGUAAGCAACUAGUGAUGGACAUAUAAAUCGAAUAACCUGACGAUCUGUCUUUUGAACCAAAAAAUUUAAGCUAUAAGGAAACUGAACGAGAAUUAGAUGGAUAAAUAAACAUAGUUUAUAUAUCUAAAAAUAUUAAUUAUAUUAAAUUUAAAAUAUCAAAAAAUUAAAAUACACAAAUAUCUGUUAUUGAAAAAUGUUAAAAAUUAUCUAAAUUACAAAAUAUUUUGUCUGAAAAAUUUGAAAAGUCUAUUUUUAACUUAUAUUAUUUGAAAACCGAAAACAAACCGGAAUCAAUUUUUUUUUAAUAUCUGAUUAAUUAUGAUAUUACAACGAUGAGAAAUAUUACAUAGACGAUUCUACAAUCGACAAUUCUAACGUCUGACUACACCACUCCGAACCGCCCUAUAAAAUUCAUGUUCGAUGAUACGUCCUUCCACCAAACUGAAGACCUCUUCCUCCUGUAACCCUUUUUCUAAUACUAUUAUCCAAACCAAACUAAAAAUUGAAGUAACCGGAUGUAUAAGCUUCUAAGCAACCAAUAAGUUGUUCUCGUUCAAUUGAUUUGCGGCGACCCGGUUAAAGAGUUGGUUAGUGAAGCCGGUUAAAGAUUUGGUUUGUCAAUCGACUCAAUCCUCGUCUUUUGAUCCCUUUCACUCGUCUCGUCUCUCUUCCUCAAGUCUUUUUCUUUUCAUCGCCGAUCUAUCCGCCGUCGGCAAAAGCGGCGGAAUAAUUGGAUAAUCCUCAGGUCUCCGCUUCACGCUCGUGUUGGGGGAAAUUAGAUUGAUCGGAUCUGUCUGAAUGAUGGACGAGGAGUCAGCAAAAACUAGAGAGACCACCGUGAAUCAACAACAACAAUACUAUUACGGAACGUUUCAAGGCGUUGCCAAUUAUCCUCCUCCCGCUCCGCCACCGCAAUUACUACCGCUUCCACAACAACCUAUUGCCACGAGUCCCUUGCUUCCUCCUGUACAUGGUUAUCAAAAUCUCCAAGGUUCCUUUUAUCAUUUUAUUGUUGUGUGAUUGAUUACUAUAUGAUCUCUUGCGUAUUUGUUGUUUUGUGAUCGUUCCCUGUUUGAGAUUGAUACAGGUCAUGGUGGUGGUGGUGGUUUUGUGAAUUAUGCUCAAGGAUACCCUCUUGUUCCUCGUAUACUUCUUCAUAUCUUAUUCUUAACUUUUUUUAUUAAUUUCUGAAUUUGUAUGUGACGUUACACAUUUGCUAUGUACGAUUUGAUUGUGUUAUGGCCAGAUAAUGAGGGUUGGUUUUGUUACAUUUUGAAUUUGAUAUUGGUUAAUGAUGAUGCUGUACGGUAGUGAUUCUUGGUUUUUGGUGUAUUUAGAAUAUACAGUUGUUGAGGUUAGACCGGUGAGAGAGCAUGACGUUCCUGUUCCUUGCUGUGGCUUUGGCAUGGGCUGGUUCUUGUGAGUUCCUUCUUUAUUUCUUUUGCAUCUUAUGUAUCCUCUCGUUAUGAAUUCUACUUUACAAGUCUUGCCUAAUUCGAAAUUCACUUGAUCCUCUUGAUUCAUUAUUUCGUGUAUAAGAUCUAAACAAACAUUAAGCUUGAACUUGUGGAAUCUCGGUUCUUGGUUAGUAGAUUUUAGAAUAUUAUCAUUAUAUAUCUAGUUGUGACAAAGAAAACUGCGAGUUUGUUGUGGAACUUGCCUUUGACAGGUCCUUCUGAUCUCUAGUCAUUAUUGUGGGAUACUUUUGUAGUUUUAAAACUUUGUCAUUCUCUCAUAUGCUUGUCACUUGAAUGUUAAGUUGUUUUGGCUUUGUUCCUAGGUUUAUUAUGGGCUUCUUGUUCGGUGGGAUCCCUUGGUAUCUCGGUGCUGUUAUUAUUCUUUUCACAUCUGUUGAUCAUCGCGAGAAGGCUGGUUACGUUGCAUGUUCUAUCGCUGUGAGUUUCUCGAUCUCCUGUCUCUUUCAUUACCUUUGCUGCAGAUACACGACUUUAGUCUCUUAUACAUGUCAUUUUGCUGUCUCAUGUCUUUUCCAGUCCGUUGUCUAUUUGAUUGCCGUCAUGCUCGGGAUGGCUGGGAAUAUUAACAUCAUCUGGUGAUCUGGGUUUUAAAUAGCGCAUGGCGAGGUGAGGCAACAAGUGUCUCGCCUCUCGCCAUGCGCCAUGGCGACACAAAGCGUUCGCUUUGUGUAUAAACUUAAAAACGGUACUGAAAAACGUAAGCAUAGAUAGAGAGUGAUAAUUUUCUAUCCAUAACUCUAAGUUAGGUAAAGAUAUUGAUAAAGUUUAAUGAGUUGAGACAUAAGGGAAUUUUGAGCAAAACUUUAUGACUGAAAAAGAACUUAGAAUAUGAGAACUAACCCUAAAAGCAAAGAAGAGCUAAACCCGUGAAUAGAGAGAACAGUAGAGAAAUAUCUGAGGAAUAGCUUAUAGGGUUGUUUAACUCUUUUAUAGUAGUUUGAAUUAGGAUACUAACUAUAGAUUAUACUACACGGCACACCUACUCUAUUAAACCUAGGUUGGUUUAGUAAUCUAACUCUCCACAAACCAAGUUGGUCUGAGAAGAAUCUUUGAAGCGUCGCUUUGCACGCUAUAGGAGCUACGAGUAUAGCGACAAUAGCGACCGCUUUGGACACCUCGCCUGGCCUUGGGGUCUUGAAGCGAUAAAGACAUCGCUAGACCUCGCCAAGCGCCAUGGCGGUCAUAGCGGUCGCCAUUUAAAACCAAGCUGGUGAUAGAUACUACCUUACAAAUCACAUUUCAAUAACGUAUAUGCAUCAUCAUAACAUAGUGAUUUACAAAAGCAAAUGUUGUUAUUUUGUGUUGUGUUUAUUGGCUUUCAACUCUGAUGAAUAUGUUAUUGAUUCCUUUGGUGGCAUCUUCAUGUAAUAUAUUUUUGUGAUCUGCUUUGUUAAUAUUUACAGUAUACAACUAUACAAGUUCCAUUGAAGUUGGAUUGGACAUGUUUCAAAGUCUAGUGAAAUGGAAAAACAAAUCAAGCUAGAUCAUGGGAAAAUAAAGCCUAGUGAAAUGAAAAAAAUUAUUAAGCUACAAGAAAAGAAAGUAUUUGGUCGUACAUUCCUAGAACAGGAUUAUUCUUUCCAAUAGGAUACACCACAACAUGUACUAGGACACCGAGAUGGCGUGUAAACAGAGUCAGGUUCCCUUGAGUGAGAGAGAGAUUUGAAGUUUUUUUUUUUCCGAUGAUCAUUAUUGAAAUAACCAUAAUGUUCAAACAGAUCACUACAAGCAUAAAAUAUGUCUGCAUUAAACAAGAUUUGAAGUUCAAAAAUUCAGGGAAAAAAAACAAAACAAUAGUCGCCCAGUAGAAAACAUAUGUCUAUUAAUUUUCUAAACAAAUGAUCUCUCUAUUAUUUUUGUUAAAAAAACCUAAAUUUGAAAUCUCAACUCGACCAUUAGCCAUGUUGAGGAAACGACGACGACGCUGGGACAUCAUAUCUUCCACGGAUUUUCGCAGCAGCAACCUCACACAGUUCCUCAUAAUACUCCUCAUACCUCCGCAACAACUGUUUCUCCUCUUCGUCAGUACUCUUCACCGGCAACGACGGUGCAUAAGCAGGCUCAGCCAUCUUCAGUUUCUCUUCUUCCGCAGCUGUUUUGAUCUCCAUCAGAUUGUUGAGGUUUUUGCAGAACUCGUCCAUCUUCACUUUCUUAUGAGCAUCCACGAUCAACGAUGACGACGACGAGUUGCCCUCGCCGUUGAUGAUUCCUGAGUGAUGGUUUCCGUGGAGAAACCGCUGUGCCACGUCAUCGAAGGAAGGGCUGCCAAACGUGAACGGUUUUCCUGAGCCGGAGUAGAUGAGAAAUCCGACGUCGGCGCCGCAGAGAAUGGAGAGCUCACUGAGCUUAGUGUAAAUUCCGUUUUUACGCUUUGAAAAUGUGAUGAUUCUGUCUUCGUUUUUCGUCACUUUUUUAAUAUCUAUCUUUUGUCUUCCUCUUGUCUUUUUCCCUCCCAUCUUUUUGGCAAAGAAUAUGAAAUUACACAAAAUGGAAAAUAGAUAAUUUAGAAUGAAUUGUUGUUACAAAAAAAAAAAAAUUGAAUGAAUUUUCUUCUUCUUGUUUUAGUUAAGAAAAUAUUUUGUUACUGUUUUCUGAGAGCAAAACUAUGUUUUAUAGAUAAAAAAAUGUGGUAGUAAUUAUUGUAUUGCAUGAAAUUUAGUCAAUGCUUCAGUUUUUGUUUUUGAAAAUUUGAUUUCUGUAAGGUAAUCUUGUGAACGAGAGUUAUGUCAUCUGUGACAGUCUUAGAUGCAAAUUAAUUGUUCUUCUUUUAUACUACACCGGUCAACAAAUCAAUUAAUUAUCGUACCUCCUAAAACUAUGAUGACAUGACUAUCACUCACAAUGUUACCUCUAUUUAAUUUACAAGAAAAUGUCAAACUUAAAAACAAAAAAAAAGUUGAAUCACUAACUAACUUUCAUGCAAUAGUUAAACUUGAUGGUUUGAAAUUUUUAAUUACUAGUGAAAUAAUCUAUAGUAUGAAAAAUUAUUAUACUUUUUCUUUCUCUUUAAUGAAAAACUCAAUUUUAUCUAAAAUGUUUCUAUUUUUCCAAAGAAAUUUUAAUUCCCACUAGUGGCAUUUUAGUGUUUUGGUUUUGAGCAUAUGACAUAUAUAUUAAAAUAGAAGCAUUUGGUUUUAUUGCGUUCACACUAUAUUGGCCACGUUACAUUAUCGCAUUACUUUAAAAAUAAGAACAAGAACGUAUUGUCUUAAUAUAGUUUCUCACAAAACUUUGGUGUUUUAAAGACAAAAAGUUUCUUAUUUUGCUUAAACUAAACACAAGCAUUUAUCAUUUAGCUCAUACCGAUGAACAUUCUUUUUCUUUAACUAUUAUUUAGAUUUCAUUUGAUUUUGCAUGUAUUUAGAAAUUAUAAAACGAAACCAUUGGUUCGACAUAAAAUUGUCUAAAAUUCAUAUAACAUGGAACCAAACAAAUAAUAAUAGUUUUUCUAUCAACGGAAACGGAAACGGAAAAUUCAAGAAGGCUUAUCCGAAAAAAACAAAAAUAAAUAAGGAUUAUAAUGAUAUUUAUAUUUUAAUACAUUAAAAACCAAAAAAACAACCUAAAACCGAACCAAUAUCCAAAUUAAACAUGACCAAUGUAUUUUUAUCUACAAAAAUAACUAAAUUAACAAUCUCAUCCAUAUUACCUAGUAACUGUAAAUAAAGCUCAAACAUAUCAUGAAUUUGAGUCAUAAUAAUCAAGAUGAUUCAUUAAUUAAAUGCCCAAAUUCAAAAACUCAGUAGUAUCAUUUGAGAAUAACAUUUUACUACACACAAAUAAAAUUUAACCUUAAAUAAAAUCAAAAUUUUAGUGGUCAUCUUUAUUAUACACAUAAAAUUCAUACAGAAUAAUAUCUUUUUGAAAAUCCAUUAUAUACAAACAAUAUUUUAUCAUACACAAAUCAGUAGGAAACAGCUUUAGUCAUAUGUGUUUAUUUUUAAAACAUAAUUACUCAAAAUUACAAUAUAACAAUGUACUACAAUACUAUGACUACAAUCCAUCAAGAUCGUAUCAGAUUCGACCACGUGAUAUAUCAUUUUCUAAAAAAUCAGAUUCAUUUAUUUGCGGCCAUGUGUUUGUUUCUAUUAUUCUUUUAGAUUCAAAUCAUUUUUAAUAAAGACUACUUCGAAAUGGUUUGGAUUUUUACCUGGUUUAAUCAAAUUUUUAAUUAACAAUUUUUUUCAUUAAAUCUGAACUAGAUUAUAUACAAGGCGUCCGCCGGGUCUACCGAUUCGACCAUUGUUCUAGGUUAGAUAUGAGAACAGUACUCAAAACUCAAAUAUAAUAGAAAAAAAUUUAAAUUAUUAUUUUCUAAUAAAAAAUUAGAAAUUCAUGCAAAUUUUAUCAAAAUGGUCAACAAACAAGAUAUCCAGCUUUAAAAGAACAUGUCAAAAAUAAUAGUAGCUUCUAAAUCGAAUAUGGAUAAAAAUAGUGUAUUUUGAUGGUUAAAAGUAUUAUACAAAUACAUGACACGAGAAAUUCAUUUUCAAUUUAUAAUAGAAAAUUCAUAUCGUUACUACAUUUCAAUAAUGAGAACAUAUUGUUCUUCAGUAUAGAAGAUCUAUACUAUUAGAUCACACAUAGCAUCUUUAAAUUUUAUUUUGAACAAAUACCACACUUUGAAAAAAUAAAUGAUAAAAACAUAAAAACUCAAUAGUUAAGAUUCAAAACAAAAAAAAAACAAAUAUGGCAAUUUCUAAAUCAAUUUUCGAUCAAUAAGUGAAUAAAACUACGAACAUUAACAUUUGGAUAACAAUAUAAUUUGGAGUUGCGAUAUUUUUACUUUAGAAUCAUAUAGAUUGUAUAGUUAAAUAACCAUUAGAGAUCAGCUGAGAUUGAGCUCCAAACUUUGACACCAAUGCCUCUUCCACCCAAACGUGGAAUGACUGUGGAGUCUCCGGUCAAGACAACAACAUGUUUAAGGUGGUGGCAAAGAGCGGCAUUGUGAAUAUUCCCUUUUGCUUUAGGGUCUGCUUAUCUUUUUCUGAUGUCUAAGACCUUUUAUCUAUCCAUCUAUGUUUGCUUUGCUUCAUGUUUUUUUGGAACUUAUUUUGUAUCGUCGAUCACAUUUAUAAGGAUAUCCCAUAUUUUAUAUCUAUUAUGUUAUAUAUGUAUACUUUCACAUUUUACAGAUUUUACUUGCAAAAAUGAAUGUUAUUUUUUACCUUCUAAGUUUUUUAACUUUAAAGUAUGCAUCUUAAAACCAGGCGUGUGACCUGGAGGUGAUUAACAUGAGGGCAAAAGCCCAAUAUGGUGAAACCACCAGAGUUCGAGUUCCGGCCACUGGAAAAUUAAUAUUUCGUCAUCGCCAAGGACAAAGGACCGACACUUGGCAACACGUGACUAGUCAGGACCAUUUCUGUGGGGCCAGGAUAUCCCUAUAAAAUUUAAAAAAAAUGUGAAGAUGAUUAUAGACAAAAAUGUGGUAGUAAUUAUUAUAUUGCAUGAAAAUUAGUCAAUGCUGAAGUUUUUUUUUUUUUGAAAAUUUGAUUUUUGUAAGGUAAUCUUGUGAAUGAGAGUUAUGUCAUCUAUGAUAGUCUUAGAUGCUAAUUAAUUGUUUUUUUUUCUUUUUGACUACACCAGUAAAAAAAAUCAAUCCAUUAUGGUACCUAAAAAUAUGAUGACAUGACUCACUCACAUCAGAGUCAACAUGAGUGUGUGAAUGUUUGCUGUCAAAAAAAAAAGACUCACUCACAAUGUUACCUUAAGUUAAUUUACAAGAAAAUGCCAAAAUUUCAAAAACAAAAACCGAAUCAUUAACUAAUUUUCAUGCAAUAGUUAAACUUGAUGGUUCGAAAAUUUUAAUUACGAGUAAAUAAUCUAUACUAUUAAAACAUGAUCACUCAUUUUUUUCUCUUUAAUGAAAAACUCAAUUUUAUCUAAAAUGUCUAUACUUUUCCAAAGAAAUAUUAAUUCUCACUAGUGGCAUUUUAAUCUUUUGGUUUUGGCAUAUAACAAUACAGCUCAAACAAAUCAUGAGUUUGGGUUAUAAUAAUCAAACAUUAUUCAUUAAAUAAAUGUUCAAAUUUGAAAACUCAUCAGUAUCAUUUGAGAAAAACAUUUUAUCAUACACGAAUGAAAUUUAGUCUUAAAUAUAGUCCAUAAAUCAAAAUUUUAGUGGUCAUACUUUUUAUACACAUAAAAUUCAUUAAGAAUUACAUCUUUAUUAAACUCAUUAUACACAAACAAUACUUUUAUUAUACACACACCAGUAGGAAACAGCUUUAACCACAUUUUUUUAUUCUUUAAAAUCAUAACUACUCAACAUUACAAUAUAACAAUGUACUACAACAAUAUGACUAUAGCCCAUCGAGACAUAUCAAAUUCGACCACGUGAUAUAUUAUUUUCUAAGAAAUCAGAUUCAUUCAUUUGAGUCCACGUGUUUGUUCUUUUAAUUUCUUUAGAUUCAAAUCAUUUUUAAAAAGACUACCUCCAACUAGUUAAUAACGUUUUGUGGGUUUUUACCGGGUUCGAAGAUUUUAAAUUAAAUAUUUUUUCAACUAAUCUGAACUGGAUUAUAUACAAAGCGUCAUGUCUACCGAUUCGACCACGGGUCUGGGUUACAUACAAAAAAACUGCUUCAAACUCAACCAUUAUAAUAGAAAAACUUUUAAAUUAUUUGUUAUCUAAUAAAAAGUUAUAAAUUCAUCCAUAUUUUAUCAAAAUGGAAAACAAAAAAAAGACACACACGCUUUGAAAGAACGUGCCAAAAAUAGUAGUAGCUUCUAAAUAGAAUAUGAUUAAAAAUAAUGUAUAUUGAUGGUUAAAAUUAUGAUACAAAUGCAUGACAAGAAAACACAUUUCCAAAUUUAAAAUCGACAAUUCAUAUCAUUACGACAUUUCAAUAAUGAGUUUUUUCAAUAUAGAAUAUAUAUACUAUUAAAUCACAUAUAAAAUCUUUAAAUCUAUAUCAAACAAAUACCACACUUGAAAAAAGCAAAUAAUAAAAACAUCUAUACUCAAUUUUUAAAAAUCAAAAUGAAAACAAUUGUAGUGUUUAUAUCAAUUUUGGACCAUAAGUGAAAAAGCGAACUCGCAUGUUAACAUUUGGAUAACAACAUGAUUUGGAAUUGUGAUAUUUUUACUUUAAAAUCAUAUAUAUUGUAUAUGAGUUGUAGAUAAUAUAAAAUUUCAAUGUUAUAAACAGUAAAUAACACAUAAAUAAAUUACUUUUAUAUUAUACUUCUAAAUUAAUAAAAUAGACAAGUUAGAGACUCAAAAUUUUAUAAUUUGAAAGAUAAUAGCUUUAUUUGUAAUAAACUUAAAACAUAUAACAUCAGUUAAAUCAAACUCAAUAAGCACCUAAAGCUCUUCCAUUUUUCUCGUGUCGACUUGUGUCUCAAGCUCUUCAUACUUGUCCAGUAAAUUCCAGAUGCAAUCUUGAAGUUUUGUUUUGAGUAACGCUUGAACCGGUCCUUAAUUUGGACCCAGUGUAUACUUUAAUGUAUGGAGUCUUCUUUAGCAUUCAUACUGUGUGAUAUUGAAGUAGUCUAUGGUGACUUAUGUUGGACAUAAUAGUAAAUAUUCAAAGUCUUACUUCAUGUUUUAUUCCUCGACUGAAGUAGUCGAUGGUAACUUCUGCUUGUACUUAAAUUUUAUCUCUUUGUACAUUAGAAAAUUUAACAUUUCUUCCUCAAUCUUCAAUAAAAUUAAUAUAAAUACUACCGAUCCACAAAAAUUUCUUUACACCUCUUCAUUCUCAAAUAGAAAUAAAGCAAAAGCAAAAAAGUUCUUUCAUAAUGUCUUCUUCAAGACUCACAAUUGGAGUCCAGUGAGUGCAUUAUCCGAAGUGUCAGCAAAGCCAUUGGGUGUCAGUGGAGAGAAACUGAGCUUGGUUUACUUACACAACCAUUGGAGAUCAGCAGAGUUUGAGCCCCAAAAUUGGACACUAAUGCCUCCUCCAUCAAAACGCGGAAUGAUUGUGGACCCUCCCGUCAAGACAGCAACACGUUUUAAGGUGGUGGCAAAGAGAGCAUCAUUGAAGCCGGUUUCGUGAUUAUUCACUCUUGCUUGGAUCUACUUAUCUUUUGAUGACGUUUAGUGAUGUGUUAAGACCUUAUUUCUGUCUAUGUUUGCUACGGUUGUUUGCUUCAUGUUUUCUGAAACUUAUUUUGUAUUGUUGGUUACAUCUAUUGAUCACAUUUAUACGAAUAUCCCAUAUUUUAUAUAUAUUAUGUUAUAUAUGAAUAUUUGCACAUUUUACAUGCAAAAAUGAAUGUUAUUUUUAACCAUCUAAUUAUUUAAACUUUGAAGUAUGCAUCUUAAAUUAAAGAAGAUGAUUUUACGGAUACCUUUCAGCCAUAUCAUCAUAUAAUAAGCAAAUAAUGAGCAGAUAAUGAGGAAAUAGUGAGAAGAAGAAUGUCGUUUGUUAAUAUAAAAAUAGGUAAAAAUUGUGGAGAUCUAAGUUUGAGUGGAUCAUCCGAUUACAUAGUAAUUGAGUUUGUAGUUUAUUUGAUUCAUUAAAGAUUGAAUACUGUAUUGUAUAACUAUAAAAAGAUAAUUUAAUAUAUAGACAAAAAAAACCGUGGCUAGAAUAUUAUGUAUAUAAAGUUAUAUUACAAUUUCUAUCUUUAUACAAUCCUAACCAUUGUACCUCUUCAUCUUUCUCUUUUGUUCUUCUUUUUGUUUUCAACUCCAUCACUUUUCAUUUGAUCUAAAUUUCAUAUACCAAUAUGAUUAAGUCAACCAACUAUGUUAAAAACAUAUACAUCACUUACAUAUGACAUAUUUAGAAAAAUUCAAACAGACAUAAAUUUCACAUUCUAUUUUUUUUUUCUUAACAAGAACUUUUAGUUCUAUUCUAUAUUAAUUUUUAUAGAAUAACACAUACUUUUAAACUCAGGAAUUCUAUAUUUUAAAGUAAAUACAUUUCAUAUUGAGUCAUUUAGCUAAAUAAUGUUUGAAAUGUGUCUAUAGAAUGCAAUUGCUCUUUCAUAUUUACAGAAACCAUAUACGCAUCAGAUAUGCAGUUUAAUUGUUAAAACAUUCAAUCAAAUGAAAUACUUUCACAUGUAUAUUACAUGGUUACCAAACAUGGAACAAUUUUUUUUAUAAUUUUUGUACUUACAUCAAUCAUAUACACAACAUAACAGAGGUCCGGCCGUCCAAAUGAUCGACAUCUACCUACCACAAAUACAUAAUAACUAGGUGAUAAUCUGCGCCGUGCGCGGGGUAUAAAAUCUAUAAAUGAAUUUUGAUUUGAAUAAUGUAUAGAGUUUAUAUUACGUUGAUUAGUGGUUAUUGAACGUCUAAAAUAAUGAAAAAAAUUAUAAUUUUGUUUCUACGCAUAAUAAUUACAAUUCAAAAUAUAACUCAAACGGAUUGAGCCGUAUUAUAAAAUUAAGGUAUAAGGCCGAGAAAAAAUUGUAAACCAUAUUGUAUUGUAUCUAACUUAUUGGGCUUACAAUAUCAAAUGGGCUAUGUUUUUGUUUUGUUCUCUAUUUACUCAAGAGAAGCGACAGAAAAAAAAAUCUCCACGGUGUUUCGAUGGUCGGAAUAGAAAGGGGAUAAGGGUUUCUCAAUUCGGAUUGCACCCAACCAGCGAAAAAGGUGAUGUUCCGUUGAACUUAAUCAAAUUGUAACCUAAAUCUAGAUGUAAGAUUGCAGAAUAUUUGUCGAAUGUAAUGUUGUCGUUUUUUUGUUUUCAGAUUCGAUGGCUUAAACUGGUUCGCUUUCUUCAGCGAGGGUUCGUUUAUCUUAACAAAUGUGUGAAAGGGUUUAGUGUCGAUGGUCUUAACUGAUGAUGGUAUACCUAGUGUGAAUCCCCUUUAUAUAUAAGAGAACGUUAGGGUCGUGAAUAUGUUAUUUCAAUAUAUUAUAAAUUUAUGAGCACAAUUUAAUGUUUCGCUUGGCAACCAAACAAUUUCCUUUGUUCAAUCAAAUCGUUAUUUACUAUAAUAUUUGUUUGACAAUAUUACCUUGUAUAAGAAAGAUCUGAUAUAUUGGAAGUAUAGUUCUUUGAGUGCAUAUCAAGUUAAUGUACGAACGUGAAUAUAUUGAAUUAAAUGCUCUGAAGAGGAACAUUAUAGAAAUAAGCUCCUAACAAAUAUUUCCUUUGACUUUUACAGGAAAACGUGUCGGCAAAGCAAAUCGAAACCACAUCCAAUUCCGGUUUUUCUUCGAGGUAUGUUAACAAUGUUUUUCGGUUAAGCUAUCCAGUGGUUAACGAUUUUUUAGAGUUUAAAAAAUUAAAAACUAUCAUACAUGACACAAUUACAAUAUAAUCCACUAUUUGCAUUUAAAUCAGUGUACAUAUUAUGAAAUAUACAUGUAAUUUUAAACAAAUGCAAAAAUGCCAUCAUGUAACAUGUGUAUGUUACGUUAUAACUAAGUUUAGUAGAACUUGAGAAAAAAAAAUAAAAAACUUGCGAAAACUUUAUUAAUUAUACAGGAACAAAUAAAUAUUUGCUACAAAAGUUUGUUGAGUAUCGAUGGUUUUAUUUAUCGUACAUCAGUUGAACUAAGAUCAAGUUUUGAUCCAUGUGUUACACAUUCUGAUAAACAUAUAUAAACAUUUUUUGAAUUUCGAAUGUUCAAUGACAGGCUCAUGUUUAAGUUUAGGAUGUUAAAUUAUAAUGUUCACUGAUCUUGCCCCAUUUCAUAUGUUCAUUCAGUUUUUCGUAUAGUUGUAACGGACAUCACCUGUCAAAAAGUUUAAAAAGAAAUAGAGUUAUUAGUGGAACUGGUUUAAAGUAGAACCAGAUUCAUUGAUGGGGGCGUAACUUUCGUAAUCAUUCAUUUUACGUAUAUUAAUAUAGAAUAACUUGUCGGUAGUUUAAAUAUAGGUUGGUCCAUACGACCAAAAAAUGUAAUCUCUAGUAAAAAAAACAUUUAAUGUGUACUCUGAGGAAGGCUGUCAGGCUGACAUGUCAGCUUUAUACUUUAAGUUACAACUUAAAAAAUGCUUCCCAAUUAAUAGAAAGGGGAUAACAAAUCUUAUAUUCUUUGCACUGAGAGCACCAUUAUCCCUAGCAACCCUAAUGGGUAUCUUAAUCAUUUUUUUACUAAUAAAUAUGUGUUAAGCACUUUAUUUAAGAGCCUUCUAAUUUUUUGCCUCCAAUGCAAAGUUUUUAUUUUGGGGUUCUUAAAAUAUGAGUUUGACAAAGUGAUUAAAGAGAUAAAAUGGGAGAAGAUGACUUUAGUGUUGUUACAAAGCGAGAGAGAAGAUGAGUUUUGUGUUGCUACAAGUGGAGAGUGAAGAUUAUAUAAACAUAAGAAGAAGAUACAGAAGAGACAUAGACACAAGCAUAAUUGAUUAAAAAAAAUAAGCAUAAGACACAAGCAUAUGCGCAGAACCAUAACAAGAACAUAUGACAUUAGCCCUGUUCGGGACGAAGACGCUGCGUCAAGCGUCCAACAAACAGAAAAGCACAGUAACAAUGGCAAUUGACUUCAGAUUUCCGGCAACGAUGUGAGAGUUUGGACGCUAGAUUGGCUGUUGAUUUAAAGUUUCCGGAAACGAUGACGCUGUUAAUUCCAGCGUCCCAAAGCAUGUCUAAUCUAAAGCUUGAAAUGAUUACUGCUACAACAGAUGGAGAAAUGCGCAGAGCCUCUGAUGUCGCAACAAAAUUAAGGGCUGCAGAAUGAGAAAACAAGAACCAACAAAGCUACAACCUUUUAAAACCAAGAAGAUAAGUACGAACUACAACCUUAAAGAAAACAAGAACCAACAAAGCUACAACCUUAAAGAAGAAUAUGUUGACAUGAAGCAAUAAAGAGAGGAGAAUGAAGUAAGAAGCAAGAGGGGAACAAUUACAUCCGGAUCAAGCAAUCACUCAACUUACCUUGCAAGACAAGUCUGUCCGUACAAGACAACCCUAACUUGGAGUGCAAGGCAUAAGAGUGACUGAUGUAGAAGAGAAGAAGGCAAGAAGAAUGUUUGGAAUCGCCUAAGGGAAGUGGGGAACCAUUGGGAGUGCAGGUCACGGGUCUGGUUAAGGAUUCAAAGUCUUCCCACCCGUUAGGACCUGUCACUAUCCAGGACCACUCUGCCCAUCUCUCCUUUGUCUUAACCUCUUUGUUUAUUGUUUCCUUAAUGUCGACAUCUUGCUGUAAGAGUUCUAUAAAUGGGUUGUUCCCAUAAACAAAUGAAUUCAAGGGAAAAGAGUUCUCUAUUAUUCUCUUUGUCAAUCUCACUCUCUCCCUCACGGAUUAACCUAGUUCUUCUCUAAUCUAUUCACAAAUCCUCCUUAAACUCUCACAUUAAUUCUCUAAAACUCUCAUGGUAUCAGAGCAGCUCUGCUCUUGAGACCUAAAUCUCUUUUUCUUCCGCAAAUUCUCUGUGUUUCAUUUCUAUUUUUGGCAAAGUUCAUCCUGUUCUUGAGGUGUUCUUCAAACACAUUUCCAGAAUUUGCCAAAAAUAGCAAAGUUUAUCCAAAACUUUUAUUCUUCUUUCUCUCUUGAUGGAUACCUCUGAGAACCCAAUGAUGGUGAUGAUACCAGUUACUCUCAAGGGUCCUAACUACCUGACAUGGGCAAGACUUGCCAAAACAGCUCUCGGAGGCAGAGGUCUUUGGGAGAUUGUUGAAGAAGGCCGCCCCACCAAGAAGACUGUCCUAGGAGAGGAUGGCAAAGAAGUGGUGGUUGCGGAUGCUGGGGAUAAGAAGAAAGGUCAGGAGGACCUCAUGGUGUUGUCUAUCAUCCAGAAUAGCCUCGCCCCUUCUCUCCAAGAGGCUUAUGCAUUUUGUGAAACUUCCAAGGAGCUGUGGGAUACUCUCAAGAAGGUGUAUGCCAACAAAUCCAACAUCAGCAAGGUGUAUGAAGUAAAAGGAGCAAUCAACUCUCUAAGUCAAGAGGACACAGACUUUGAUGCUCAUUUUGGGAAGUUCCGGUCUCUAUGGGCUGAGCUAGAGAUGCUCAGACCUGCAACAGUUGAUCCGGAUGUUCUACAUGAAAGAAGGGAGCAAGAUAAGGUCUUUGCCUUGCUGCUCACUCUCAACCCAGGGUAUGAUGACCUUAUUAGGCACAUACUGAGGAACAAGGAGCUCCCAUCUCUAGAUGAAGUGUGUGCUGAGAUUCAGAAGGAGCACGGCUUAGUGGAUCUCUUUAAGAGAAAGGGAGAGCUAGUGAUGGCCAAUCAAGCUGAAGGAGCCGAGAGCAAACCUGCCGGAGUAGCCAACAAAGGGUACUACAAGCUGGAGGAGAAGAAGGUGUGGGUGUGUGAUCAUUGCAAGAAGAAGGGUCACGGCAAGGACAAGUGCUGGAUACUUCACCCACACCUCAAACCGGCUAAGUUCAAGACUGAUGGCCGCGCAAACUAUUCAGGUGAUGUAGGAGAAGCUUCCACAGCCUACCGCACUCAUGAGAGCAAGGGAAACCAGGAUGAGUCCAUCAAGAAAUCCAACAUUGAGGCACUCAUCAAAGCUCUCAAGGAGUCUGGUAAAACUCUUGGUACCUCUGUUAGUGCAUCCUAUCAAGUUCCUAGGAGUUUAUUCACUGCUUUUCAAGUCUCCCAUGAAUCUGAUAGAGUUAAACCCUUAGUCAUAGACUCAUGAGCCUCUCAUCACAUGAUUAGUGAUCUAAACUUGAUUAAAAAUAUUACUCCUGCAGUAGGAAAUGUUAUGAUAGCUGAUGGUAACAAGGUUCCAAUUAAAGGCAUAGGUGAACUUAAAUUAUUUGAGAAAGAUUCCAAAGCCUUCUACAUGCCUAGUUUCACCUCUAAUUUGUUAUCUGUGAAAAAGGUGACCAAUGAGUUGAAUUGCAAUGUUAUAUUUACGCCUGAUGAUGUCUACUUUCAGGAUAUUGACUCAUGUAGGUUGCUUGGCAAAGGUGUGAGCAAGGGAAACCUGUACUUGCUAGAAGACACUAAGCUUGCAUCCGAUCUAUCUGUUGCUUUCAAUUCAAGUUUUAAUUUCCCUAAAGAUGUAAUGUGGCAUGCUAGAUUAGGACAUCCCCACUCUCGUGCCUUGAACAUCAUGUUGCCUAGUAUUUCAUUUCAACAAGAUUGUGAAGCUUGUAUCUUAGGAAAACAUUGCAAAACUGUAUUUCCCAAGUCUAGUACAAUCUAUGAACACUGUUUUGAUUUAAUCCACUCGGAUGUAUGGACUGCUCCAUGUCUCUCUAGAGAACAUCACAAAUAUUUUGUGACCUUUAUUGAUGAGAAAUCCAAGUAUACAUGGAUCACUCUCUUACAAUCAAAGGAUAGGGUCUUAGAUGCAUUCAUAAACUUUGAAACAUAUGUCUCUAACCAUUAUAAUGCCAAAGUUAAGAUUUUGAGAUCAGAUAAUGGAGGAGAGUACACCAGCAAUGCAUUCAAAGCCCACCUAGCCAAACAAGGUGUAAUUCAUCAAACCAGCUGUCCAUACACUCCACAACAGAAUGGUGUGGCCGAGAGGAAGAACAGACACCUCAUGGAGGUCACUAGGAGCAUGAUGUUCCAUACAAGUGUCCCAAAGAGCUUCUGGGGAGAUGUGGUCCUAACUGCAUGCUACUUGAUCAACCGAAUUCCUACCAGAGUUCUCCAAGACCGAUCUCCAUUUGAGGUAUUGAAUAAAGCUAAACCAUCCAUUGAUCAUAUGCGUGUGUUUGGGUGUCUUUGCUUUGUUUUAAAACCAGGAGAACUAAGGAACAAGCUGGAGGCUAAGAGCACAAGAGCCAUGUUCAUUGGGUAUUCACCAAACCAGAAGGGCUAUAAGUGCUAUGAACCAGAGACUAGGCGAGUCCUAGUGUCUAGGGAUGUGAAGUUUGUAGAAACCAGAGGGUACUACAACAACAAGGACUGGAAUGAGCUGGAGAACCUGUCUCAAUCCGCAUCGGAUAGAGCAGCCAAUCUCAGACAAGUCAUGAGGAGACUUGGGGUCAGCUUACCUAUGGAAGAGCCGGGACAAGCAGGAUCAGAUAAUGUGGGAGGAUCAAGCCGGUCUGACGAGCAAACCGAGACAACUACAGAUGAAGUUGAGAUACAAGAAGCUGCUCCCCUUGAUCCUGAGGGGGGAAAUCAGAGUGAACCACCAGUUCAUGAUCAAGAAGAGCACCAUGACCAAGAGGAGGAAGUGGAGGAUCAGAAUCAGAACUUGGAAGGUGGAGAAGGAGCUCAGAAUGAAGAAGCUCAGCCAGUGCUUAGGAGAAGUAUCAGGAUCAAGAAUCCGGCUACAAACUGGAACAACACCAGAGUCUACUUCAAUGCAGAGGCAGUAGCUCACCCACCCAGUAGAGUGUGCUCCCUAGCUCACUAUCCAGAAGAACAUCAAGCCUUUGUGGGUUCAUUGGAUCAGGAAUGGAUACCAAGAACAUAUGCAGAAGCUAUGGAAGAUGACGAAUGGAGGGAAUCAGUGAAUGAUGAAAUGGGAGCCAUGGAGAGGAACAACACCUGGUAUGAGACAGAGCUUCCAAAAGGAAAGAAAGCCGUGACCAGCAGACUCAUACACACCAUCAAGUACCUUGCAAAUGGAAAGCCAGAAAGAAAGAAGACCAGAUUGGUAGCAAGAGGAUACACCCAAGUGUAUGGAGAAGAUUAUCUAGACACCUUUGCACCAGUGGCCAAACUUCACACAAUCCGGAUCAUUCUCUCAUUGGCAGUAAAUCAAGAGUGGGAUCUUUGGCAAAUGGAUGUGAAGAAUGCUUUCUUGCAAGGUGAACUAGAAGAUGAGGUAUAUAUGAGACCUCCUCCGGGAAUGGAAGAGAUGGUGAAACCAGGGAAUGUACUCAGACUCAGAAAGGCCAUUUAUGGUUUGAAGCAAUCACCAAGAGCUUGGUAUCACAAGCUGAGCACUACACUGAAUGGGAAAGGCUUUGUGAAAUCUCAAGCGGAUCACACACUCUUCACUCUCACCAGCAAGCAAGGGAUUGUUGUGAUUCUAGUCUAUGUGGAUGAUAUUAUCAUCACUGGUUGUGACAAGGAGGGGAUCAGUUCAACCAAGACCUUUCUUAAAGCCGCAUUUGAUAUCAAAGACCUAGGGGAACUGAAGUACUUCCUUGGCAUUGAGAUGUGCAGAUCAAAGGAAGGAUUGUUCAUGUCCCAAAGAAAGUAUACCCUGGACAUCUUAAAGGAGGCAGGAGAUCUUGGAGGAAGACAAGCCAAGACACCACUUGAAGAAGGUUACAAGGUACUGCGAGAGGGGGAGUAUGAAGAUACUCCAUUUGAAGAUGUCAAACAGUAUAGAAGGAUGGUUGGGAAGCUGAUCUAUCUAACCAUCACUCGGCCAGAUGUGUGCUUUGCAGUUAAUCAAGUAAGCCAGCACAUGCAAACUCCCAAGGUUCAUCACUGGAACAUGGUGGAGAGGAUACUAAGAUACUUGAGAGAGGCGCCAGGUCAGGGUGUAUGGAUGGCUUGCAACAAGAACACUGAGGUGAUAGGAUACUGUGAUGCAGAUUGGGCUGGGGACAGAAUAGACAGAAGAUCAACCACCGGCUAUUGUACAUUCAUUGGAGGAAAUCUGGUCACUUGGAAGAGCAAAAAACAGAAGGUAGUGUCUUGCUCUAGUGCAGAAGCAGAGUACAGAUCAAUGAGGAAGCUAACCAGUGAGCUUAUCUGGAUAAAAGGGCUUCUAGGCGACUUGGGAAUUGAGAUCACCACUCCCAUGACCAUGCAUUGUGACAACCAAGCCGCAAUACACAUUGCAUCCAACUCAGUCUUCCAUGAGAGGACAAAACACAUAGAAGUGGACUGCCACAAGGUAAGACAAGCAGUAGAGCAGCAAGUGAUUCUCCCAUGUUAUACAAGAAGUGAGGAUCAGCUGGCUGACAUCUUCACCAAGGCGGCCAGUAGCAAAGUUUGUGAGUCCAUUCUUCCAAGACUUGGACUCAUAAACCUCCCAUGUCAAUGAUCCCCUCACCAUGGAGUAUUCUACUCUUUUUCCUUUGCUUGGUUUUUAUCCCAAGUGGUUUUUCCAAGUAAAGGUUUUAAUGAGGGAAUGCUUCAUGGUUUCCAAGCUUGACAAUCACCACCGUCAAGCUUGAGGGGGAGUGUUGACAUGAAGCAAUAAAGAGAGGAGAAUGAAGUAAGAAGCAAGAGGGGAACAAUUACAUCCGGAUCAAGCAAUCACUCAACUUACCUUGCAAGACAAGUCUGUCCGUACAAGACAACCCUAACUUGGAGUGCAAGGCAUAAGAGUGACUGAUGUAGAAGAGAAGAAGGCAAGAAGAAUGUUUGGAAUCGCCUAAGGGAAGUGGGGAACCAUUGGGAGUGCAGGUCACGGGUCUGGUUAAGGAUUCAAAGUCUUCCCACCCGUUAGGACCUGUCACUAUCCAGGACCACUCUGCCCAUCUCUCCUUUGUCUUAACCUCUUUGUUUAUUGUUUCCUUAAUGUCGACAUCUUGCUGUAAGAGUUCUAUAAAUGGGUUGUUCCCAUAAACAAAUGAAUUCAAGGGAAAAGAGUUCUCUAUUAUUCUCUUUGUCAAUCUCACUCUCUCCCUCACGGAUUAACCUAGUUCUUAUCUAAUCUAUUCACAAAUCCUCCUUAAACUCUCACAUUAAUUCUCUAAAACUCUCAGAAUAGUCGUGUACGUCACCAGAUUUGGCACCAGACCCAUCUCGGGAAUUUCGUCGAGCACCUUGUAGGCACUCUCCACAUCGUUCUUCUUACACAAAGCUUUCACGAGGAGAUUACAAGUGAAGAUGUUGGGAGUGAUUCCAAAAGACUCCUUGUUGUUCUAAACAUGGAGUGUACCAGAUUGAAUCUCCCGUUCGAGAUCAAUCACACGUUUUGGAAUUAAAGCCAUCUGAUUUCACGGGAGAGAGAUAGAGAUGAGAGAGAGGAGGAGACUUCUGUGUCUGACGCGUGUUUCAUAAGCGCUGGUUCUUCCUCUUCCUAAUUAAGCAACGCUGCUUCGUUUAAAAGGCAAUUUUCUUUUUUUUUAAAUCAAAAUUAAUUUAAGCAACUCAGUUAAGCAAUCCCGAUAAUCAUGCUCUGAUGAUCUUCAAGUUAUUACCUAUGGUUACUUUUAUACUUUGUGUUUAUAAGAUUUGUUCUAUAUGACCACUAAAAUUGAAAAGUAUAUAUUAGAGUAUCUUGUGUAUUUGAUAUAAAACUCAUGUAUAACGAAGGAUAAUUUUUUUAAUUUAUAUGAGAAUUAUCACUUUUCUGUAAAAAAUAUUAAAUGGACAUUGGUGAACUUUGUCUCCAACUUUAGCUAUAUGAUUUGUCCAAAAAGUUAUAGUGGCCUUUUUUACACGCGCCUUAUUUUAAAAAAUAAAAUUUAAAUAAAAUUUUAUAAAUGAGUAUAUUAGUUCCAAUGUCCUCUAAGAACCAGCUUUGGUUUCAACCAAACCCUAAUCAUGGUGGUCAGAGGGAAAGACACGGUUCCAAAAGCCGAAGACAUUAGGGAGCUAGCUUUGCAAUCUCGUCACACAUCAUAUUACAUGGCACAGAAAAGACUCGAAGUUGUAUUCAAUCGAAUUAGCCCCGUUACGGUUUACGAUCCAUCCACCGCGAACAAAUGGAGAAAUAUCUCUUUUAAUCGCUUUUCAUGCUUAAUAUUGUCAAAUUCAGACCCAUGGACGAUGUUAAGUUGUGUUCUGUCUGAUUUCCUUCACGAACAUGAUACUUUGGUUAGAAUAUCCUAAGCUAUUCUCUCCUCAGAAAUUAAGAGAGUUUAAUGUCAACAUCAUGGAAACGGUCUUUGUAUCCCUUUGAGAUGGUGUUGCUUUCGUUUUUGCCGCAGGCACUUCUGUGAAUUACCUGUCUAACAGUCUAAGCGUUUAUCUUUAAACUUGUAAGUUAAUGUUUUACUUUUUUUUUUCAAAGAAAAAGAAAACUCAAACCUUUAGAGCUUGAUUUUGUUUCAUAUUCUCUCUCGACUAAAGACCACCGCCGCUUAAUCUUUUCGCUUUUCCGGCGGUUGGCGCUCCUCGCCACCACCGGGAGUGUCGCUCUCUCCCUCCCUUUUGAUCUACAAUCUCGGUUAUGUGUUUUUGAGAUGUAGAGAUAGAGGUUGCGAGCUUGGAGCUGAUUUGUUGUAGAUUGGUGCAAUCAUUUUUUCUUGCCGACGUCGUCCCCACUCUCUCGGUUUCGGACUCAUCUGAACGGGAUGGAGUCUCGAAGCUUGCAUCUUCCUCGUGGGGACCGGUGAAGCUCGGCGGGUGCAACCGGGUUGAGUCUCUUCAGAUCUCUAUCCUUGCUUCCUCAUAUCUCGUGGUUUGUGUUCUAGUCUUUCCGGCUUUGAUUUUCUUUUUGCAAUAGCGGGUUUGUUCGCUGCUGGUGUUCAUCAUUGUUGCGUACCAUGGUGAACCUGGUCAUGGCUGUGGUGAUUCGUCGUCUCUUUGGUUAGGGCCUUAUAUUUAUGGAUUUGUGUUUAAUCGAGCCUUCUGACGGGUUCACUAAAAUGAUGCUAGUCUUCGUUGAUGUGUUCUAUCCGGGUUGUGCUCAUGUUCGUUUCAUCUCGGGUAUUCCCUCUACUUUCGUUUGAAAGAUUAUUUGGUGGUUCUUCUUGGUUCAAGACUGUUCGACAGGCUGGUGGUGCUCUCGUUCUGCUCCGCUGCUUCGUGCUAGGUCCAGUCUCUUAUUGGUUCAAGCUUGUUCGAUAUUAUACGUCAACCGUUUGUUGUUAUAGGUUAUAUGAAUUGCACUUGUGGCUUCACCGAGAUCUAUGAUUAUCUUGGGAUGAGGGUUAAACAAGAGAUUCAUAUUUACCUUUUCUCCCAUCAGUUUGUGCUGACUGGGAAGCAACUCUUUACUCCAUGAAAUAUUCCCGAGACCUUUGAAAUUGUCUCAGUAAUCUGGUAGUGUACUAUGCUAUGGAGAUAACAAGUAAUGUCUCCUUUGGUUACAGCUUUGAGCAAGCUGGAUUUGAAGACGAGAUGCCAUGGAAUUGGUCCACAAAAUCCAGUAUGUUUUUUUUUUUUGAAACUGGCUUUCGUAUUUAAUUGCAGGAGAAUAAAACGUUUACAGCCUAAGCUUAGUGGAGAGCAAGUGCCCAAUAGAAAAGAUGAAAGAACCCAAUUAAACCCAAGUGCCCAAGAUGGUAAGACCCAUUAAGUAAAAGCCCAGAAGCAGUUUGUGAUGGGAGAGAGUAAUGGAAACGUCAGGAUUUAUUAAGACCGCUGGAACCAAGCUUGCAUCAUCUCAGAAGCGACGAUCGCGUUUGAUUGCCGUAGAGAACCAAUCUUAUUUCGAAUCUGCCGGUCAAUAGUUGUGUAGAUCGUAUCCACAGAUCGGAAGGUACCCGCAUGCAGUCUGGUGUUUCGCUCGUUCCAAAUCCAAUAUUGUGUUGAUUGCCAAGCAAGCAGAGCAAGCGACUUCAAGGCUCGAGGUAGAGAUAGAGCGACCAUUUGGUUUAGGGAGGCAUUCUAGUCACGAGAAGGAGAUAUGCCACAUCUCAGCGCAACUCGGUUCCAUAGAUCAAAUGAGAAGCUACAUUCCCAAUAGAGGUGAUUGCGUGAUUCAGCGCUAGAGUUACAUAAGAGGCAGAGAGGGCUUACUGGUAGACCCCAUCCAAUCAUUCGAUCACGAGUUGGCAAUCGGUCUAGUGUCGUUAACCAGCAAUGGAAGUUUUGUCGAGGAAUGCUUUUAGAGGGCCAGACCGCUUUUGUCCAAGGGACAGCUGGGAAUUCACCUCUCAGGUAGUGAUAAACCUCCCCUGUUUUGAAUUCUUCACUGACUUUCCCUUCAAUUACCCACUCGUAGUAGUCCGGUUGAGAGUUAAGUUGGACAGUUGUGAUGAAUGCCAGGAGGUUCAGUUGCUCUUCAGAUCUUGCGUUUGGGAGGAGCCAGGAUCCGUUCCUGUUCAGAGAAGCAACAGUGGCGUUACGGUUGAUGCCUAGUCUUGAAACCAAGGCCCCUAGGUAAGUGUCAAGAGAGCCAAAAGGACUCCAGUUGUCAAACCAAAACCGCCCCGAUCGCCCAUUCUGGAUCUGAAGUCGGAUGAGUGGAAACACCACACUCUUGAGCUUAAGAAGUUUGUUUGAAAGCCAGGAGAAGGAAGUCUUUGGGUUUGUGGACCAGUAGUUAUGUAUAGAGCCUUGAAGCACAACCUCCUUGAACCACGUUAUCCAGACAGAGUCUGGUCUGAAGAACAAAAGCCAUAUCAGCCGUAAACAGCAUGCAAGAUUCCAGGUCUGUAAAUCCUUUAUCCCAAGUCCUCCCUGCUCUUUAGUCAACACGGCAGUACUCCAAGCAACUCUUGCUGAAUUAUGGUUCUCAACAUCUCCCUUCCACAAAAAGGUACUGCACAUAGAGUUAAUUUUUACAAUACACGCUUUUGGCAAGAUAAAAGCCGAACACCAGAAAGUAUUAAUCCCUGCUAUUACGGUUUUGAUUAGUAGGUGCCGCCCCGAGAAGGAUAGAGACUUGACAGACCAAGAGGAGAACUUUGCUUUUAUUUGUUGGAGUAGUGGCUCACAAUUGGUCAGAGAGAGCUUCUUUGAGCACAGAGGCACACCUAGAUAGCGCACCGGUAAGGUCCCACAAACCAUACCUGUCGAGGCUUGAAUGGUACUGACUUCUUCAUCAGAAAGCCCUGAAGCAAAAAAAACUUGUCUUCUGCAUGCUUACAACCAGGCCUGAUCUUUCUUCGAAGUCACGAAGUACUUGGAGAACACACUGCACAGAUUCGAUCGAGCCAUCUGUGAAAAUUAAAAGAUCAUCUGCAAAAGAAAGGUGCGUUAACUUUGUCUUUCUGCACUUAGCAUGAUAUCCCAUUCGAUUUUGCUCUGCCACUUUGUUUAGCAUGUGAGAUAAGCAGUUCAUUGCAAUAACAAAGAGAUAGGGAGACAUAGGAUCUCCCUGCCGCAGCCCCCUUUUGCCUUUAAAAUACCCGUUCACUGUGCCAUUAUACCCUAACAUGAAGCUGGGUGUACAAAUGCAGGCUUUAAGUCUUCUGAGAAACUGAGCGGGCAUGUGCAAUCCUUCCAAACACGCGAAGAGAAAGUCCCAAGAGAGGGUGUCAAAUGCCUUUGCAAUAUCGACUUUAAUGGUAAUUCUCUUACUCCCUUUGUUCUUGUGGUAGCCAUUAACAAGCUCACUAGCUAGUACCAAGUUCUCUACGAUUAAUCGCCUUUUUACAAAAGCAGUCUGCGAGGGGAGAAUUAAUUGUUGCAAUAUUGGCUUGAGUCUACGCACUAGUAAUCUUGAAAUCAGCUUGUAGAUAGUGUUUAAGCAGGCGAUGGGUCUGAACUCAGUUAUUUUUGUUGCUCCCGGAAACUUUGGAACUAAAGUCAAGAUUGUUGCGUUAGCCGUUGCAGGGAGAAACCCGGAGACAAAAAAAGUGUUUUACAGCUCCUAUCACUUCAUCGCCUAGCACUUCCCACGCCGCUUUAAAGAAGCCCGAAGUAAGCCCAUCAGGACCAGGGGAUUUGUUGGGGUUCAAUUUGAACAUGAGGGACCUGAUCUCGUCAGAGGAAGGGACGGUCUCCAUCAACAGAGCUUGGUCACUUGAUACACGAUAAGUUUGCAGCUCAUGAAACCAACGGGCGUCAGUAGAGGUAGGGGAGCGAAAGAGAACCAUGGGGGCCAAGACGGAUUGAAAAUGGGCCAGAGCAUGCAUACUCAUCUCCAUUGGAUCAUAGAUCCAGUCUCCCGCAUCAGUGAGGAACGCACGGAUAGCGUUAAUGGAAGCUCUAACUUGACAUAUGCGAUGGAAGUACGAAGUGUUCAAAUCCCCCUCUGUCAACCAGUUUAUCCUUGACUUUUGCCUAAAGUAAGCUUCUUCUAUUUCACGCAGGAACAACCAUUUUUGAUGGAGGUCUCUUUCUUCUUGGAAAGUCUGAGGAGUUGGAUCAGCCAACGCCCUUACCUGCACAUGUUUAAGCAAACUGUAAGUGUCAUUAACCCUCUCCUGAAUCUGUGAGUAGUUCUCUCUGUUUAAUAGUUUUAAGUCUCUCUUUAUUUGCUUGAGCUUCCAACACAGUUGUGUUAAUGUUUGGCACAGACUUCCAGCAUGAAACCAGGCUUCUCGAAUCACCUCGGCGAACUUAGGGUGCUUGGUUAGGUAGUUUUGGAAUUUGUAGGGAUAGGUUCCAACUUUAGGGAGGGUAAAGGCUAGGUCAAGGAUACAAGGGGUAUGAUCAGAGGUUAAGGUAGGAUGGAAUGAAGCAACGGCUUGGGGCAGGGCAGAGAUCAGAGGGGAGUUUAUUAGCAACCUAUCAAGCUUCUUAGCAAUAGGAUCAGUAGGUUGCUUAUUAGUCCAUGUAUGGCAAGUACCCAAGUAUCGAAGAUCGAACAGGCCAGCCUGAGAAAGACAGUUUUGGAGCUCAUACAUCAGGGAAUCAGCGUAGCAGACUUCAGGACUAGAAUGCUCAUAGUGAUACAUGAUUUGGUUGAGAUCACCUCCCACAAUCCAACAAUUAUUAUCAAGAUCAUAAUCACUAUGAGUUUGAAGCAGUUCCACCCAGAGGUCUGAUCGAUCCUCACUAAAGUUCGAUGCAUACACCGCAGAGUAGUAAAGAGCAGGUUGGUUUGGUAGGGUGAUGACACAAGUGAUGCAUUGCCUGGACUGCCUAAGGAUUCUUACUUUCAAUGGGUCUCUCCAUAUCAAGAUUAUACGGCCAUCAGGGUCUGAUAGGUGAUUUGAAAAGUGAUUCCAUCCCGGGCAGAGUAAUGAGAUAAGAGGGUUUAGAAAAGGUUCUUUUACAUGAGUUUCUAAAAGGGCAACAAAAAGAGGUUUAUGAGAAGAAAGCCAGUCUAUAAAGGGGUUAUGUUUUGCCGGGUCAUUUAGACCACGAACAUUCCAAAAAGAGAGUUUAACACUCAUUAAGAAGCAAAAGUAGGACCCUCAGAAGGAGGGGAUCCCAAAGAGCCAAACAAAAGGUUAGAGGAGUUCACAGGGCCAGGGGAAGGGUCAGGUGUUAAAAACAUAGAGUUAGUGGGGGGGGGGGGGGGUUUGUGGAAAGCGAAAGGGGGCCAGGGACAGAUAGGAGAUCUGGUGGAGCGAAAGGAUUGGGUUUUAGCGAGAGGGGUGGAGAGAGGGUUGGAGAGGAGCGGGAUCUUUUUAGAGAAGGUCGAGGUGGAGGGUCAGGAGAAGAAAAGGAAUUGGGUAGAAGAGGCAGGGCAGCUAAAGAAGAGAGAGCAGUAAAAGGAUGAAGGUUCUGGUUUUGGGUUUUUUGAGGGGUUUUGUUUUUCUUGAGAGCCCAGCGGGUAGAAGAUUUAGAAGGACCCACGACAAUGAAAGGAAUUUCUGGUUGAGGUUGGGAGAAGGUUACAGGCUUAGAGAUAGGGGGUUUGGCCAAAUUUUGGGAAGUUUUUGUGAGGUUUAGAGCUGGGUUAGGGGUAGUUUUAGGGAUAGGAGACGGGACAGAGGAGGAUGAGGAUGGGAUAUCAUUUGAAGGAGGGGUUUCUUUAGGAGGAGGGGUAUAAGUUAAGCAGUUUCUAACAAUGUGACCAAGUUCAUGGCAGUAUGAACAAGUAGGAGGAACCCACGGGUAAUGGACAGAGACCUCAACCACUUCUCCACUCUGCCUUUCAAAUUCAACAAUAUCAGGCAGAGGCUGAGUCAGAUCAACUUCAACCUUUACAUGAGAGACGGUGAGAUUGAUCAAGUUUCGAGUGAAUUCAUCAGUCUCUUUGGGAUGACCUACAAGCCCAGCGACCAGACUGAGUCCUUGCGUAUGCCUGAGAUCAAGUGGAACUCCAGUAAGAUGAGCCCAUAUCUUAAUUGCUUUGGGAGGGGGGGUUGCCUUUGAGUGCCUGAAGUCCACUGUGCAGUAUGAAACAUAGUAUCUCCUACGUACCACACACACUUAUCCAGUAUGUUGGUUGGAUCUUUUUCUAAUAUGGAUUGUUGUUUUUUGCUUGGUUGAGCUUUACUUAUAUCACCUACUGGUGAGUGUCUGUUACUCCUGUUUUGAGUUUGUACUCUCGGAACUUUGUCCAGGAAAUGUUUGAAUUAAACAGUGUUAAAAAAAUGUUUUACUUUUUAAACUGGAGAGCAUAUAAUAUAAUGUCAGAAUAAUAUCUUAUCUUAGAAUAUCAGUGUCUGGUGUUUCUAUUGGCUGUUGACAUAUUUUUCUGGUGCUUAGAUUUUUUGUUCGCUUACGUGGUAACUGUGGGUCCGUUGUAAAAAAUCUUGUAACGUUUGAGGAGAUGGUUAAGCAUCCAUUCAUAAAAUGACACGUAUAAGGCUUGAUCUCUCUAUCUUGUUGAAAUCCUGAGAGAAUCACUUAUGAAAUACCACAUGUAUAUCAUCACAUUGUUAUUGAAUCUUUCAUAUAACAAUUUAUAAGAUUAAAUGACGACACUUGGCUAGAGAGACAGACGAAUGAAAAAAGAGUAGAUAAAGUAAAAGCAAGAUAUUUAUCUCAGCACAUGCAGAAAACCUCAAAAACAUUACAUUAAUACAUUCACAAAAGAAAUAAUACCAUUAUCACAUCCGGUGUUGAGAUAUUCAUCAAAAGAAGACGAAAUAAUGAAUGUUAUAUAUUUUAUUAACAGCUUUUCAUAAGGUUAGUGUAUGAGUGUUAGCAUAAAAUGGAGUCCACAUAUGGUUAAAGCCCCUAACCAAAAGAGAAUUAUGAAAAGUUAUUUGAUAAACAUGAUACUAAAAAUUAUUUAAUUAAAAAAAAUUGUAAAAAUAGUAGUGAUACAAAUUGUAAAAAUUGUAAUUUAAUUUUUUAAUAGUAACUAUAAAUUACUAUUUUGAUAGUAAUUUAAUUUUCUGAAAUUCUAAAAAGAAGAUAAUUUUAUGAGAUUUUAUGAUAGUAAUUUUUCUUUCCUAAAAUCAUUAAAAAAUGUAAAAGAGUAUUUGGUAGUAAUUUUAUUUUUUUUAAUUCUAAAUAAUUAUAAAAUUGAACAUUUUCAUUUUUUUAAUCCUAAUUUAAAAAAAAAAUUAUUUAUAAUAAAUUAGCAAAAAUCAAACACAUGUUUGAUAUAUAUUUUUGUGUUUGGUCACAAAAAUAGAUUAUUAUUAUUGUUACUGUAAGUGAUCUCUAUAUGUGUUUGAUCAAAAACAAAUCAAGCUUCAUCAUCUUAUUACAUUUCUUUACUAUGUAGUAUUUUUUCUAAUCCAUUUUAAUUAAAAUAUUAUUAUGGAAAUAUAUCAUUAAAAAGUAAUGGAUGAAGAAAAUUAUUUAACAUUGGAUUAGUUUAAUAAAACGGCCUUAUUGUUACUAGAAAAUGUGAAGCAAGUAAUUUGAAAAUAAUAAUAAAGCACACACAGGAAAAACUACAAAUCUAAAAUGGAAAAAGUAGAAUUGCUUGAAUUACUAUAACUUGGAUACCAUUUUUAAUACUACCUUAAAAAAUACCAUAAUAUUUUCGUUUAUAAUUUAUUGAUUAUUUUGAAAGUUUAAUAUUUUGUAGGUGGGAUUGAGUUUAUAAAAUUAUAUAAAGUUUGAAAAUUAUAUAUAUUAUAUUGAAUAUCGUAUAUUUAAAAUAAAAUUAGAAGAAAAUCUUAGUUACCUCCAAGAUUGUGUCUUCUUCAUCAUUAUUACAAUAAAAUUAUGAUCAGCCAAAUUUUUAUAGAAAAAAAUAUCGUUAUAAUUUUCACUCAUUUUGUUUUGUUUGCUAACUAAAAUAUUACGUACUGGAAGGGUGGUUAUUAGGGAGAGGUUUCAAGUAGGUUCGAUUUAUGGAAACCGAGGGUUUGAUUGAUUUCAAAUUUUAAUCAAACCAAAACAGUAGACUCGCAAUACAAAGCACAUUUGCAGGAAAAGAAGAACCCUAAUUUCCAAACCCAAAUCCUGUCAUCCCAGAAGUUAUGUUUGGAGCAAGAAGAUUGUUGAAUUUGAGGAAAUUAUCUUCAUCUCAUCAGGAAGAACUGAGAUCUGACGUGUCAAAAGCAGUCGAGGUCUCCAAUGAAGCAGAGGUCGCUAUUAGAGGCCAUAUGAUGGUUGUUGAGUCAAGACAUAAGAGUUUGAGCUUUAUCUACUCUUCUCUGAGUAGUUAAGCAAAGCAGUGGUUGAUGGUGCUUUACCUGGCACACUAGGUUCAGAGACCUCAGUAACACACUGGCUCUGAAUCCAGUAGUCUUGGAAGCAGGCGAAAAAACAAAUGUUGCUACUCAAAUUGUCUCUCAUCUGCUAAGACGCACAGCAUGAGCUGUUAGGCUAUGAAUUGGUAGAAAAUUAGUUUGGCUCAGAAAUGUAGCAGUAAGGGUUUCUCCUCUUCUGUCACCUGCUCCUGACCAAGAAGCUUUCAACCAACUAGACAUUAUUGUCAUAGGUGUGGUCUUGGGUUGGUGGUUCUUCUACAGGGCCACUUGAAGGUGAAAGAGUUCUCUCCCAAAAACGUGAAGGAUAUGUUGUUAAUUGGGUAUACAUACAACAAAGUUCUAGCAGAGGAGAAGAAAUCUAAAGCUGAGGAAACGGCUUACGAAAAAUCUUGGGAAAUGGCUGAGGAGAAAUCUGAGGUUGUGGCAAAGAAGGAUGAGUAAUUCCAAUGGGGGAGUAACUUGGAAAGUAGUUGAAUAAGUAUCAAUCAGUUUCCACCUUUGUAUCGAGUAGAGUCUAGUUGUAUCAUAUUUUUGAAAUAGCAAGACAUUCAGUGAGGCAGAAAAAGAAAAAAAUGAUGAAUAAAUAAAAAAUGAUUUUGCUUUUAAAAUAAGAGAAAAAAACAAACAUCAAUGAGGUAAACUUAGACUGAUAUACAAUAUUGCACAAAUACCAUGAUGCAAUAAAACUUUUAAGUGAAGUAUUCAUUAAACAUUAUAACAUGUAAUUAUAUAUCGUAACACGUUACACUAAACAUGAAAGUUGUGUAACAACAUUGUAAUUCUUAAAAGAGGAAUUAUAAUACUAUGAAACCGUAUCAAUAUUGUCUUGAAAAUGACUUAAACCACAGUUUUUACUCAAAGUUAGUGCAUUUGAAAAUGAGAAAUGUAUAAUUUCAUAUGUAUGACAACUCACUUCUUUGUUUUUUUCCAGCAAGAGUAAUGUUUGAUGCUCAUGGAAGAUUUUAAUAGUGCAAUGGAAACAUUCAAAAUUGACUUGGAGCAUGAUCUACUCAAUAACGCGCUUUUGAGAGGUGUUAAAAAAGUAAUUGCUUUUAUAAUUACCUAUGUUAUGUGAGAAUCAAUUUUUUGAACUAAAUGUCUAUUUGUCGUUUGUGCAGAUGCGUCGUCAACAAAAGCACCACAUAGAUCUCUAGGAUUUGUCGAAAGUGUAAAUAUCAUUAGUCAUUUCAAGAUAUGUAUAUACCUUUUAUGUAUAAAUAUUGGUGUGAACAAUUAUGCCGAAGAUGCAAGCGAGACUACUUCGAUUUAUCUCGUUGGUGAAAACUGGGUUUCAACGUUACUUGUGACUAACUUUCAGUUGUCCGACUUUGUCGUGAAGCUUUUAUCUACGCAUUCAAGCUUUGCUUUGAAUUCGUUGUCAUCUUCUUACGAAUACCUAUCUAUUUUAGCUUUGUUUGCUUAUGUAGUUUAUGCUUAUAAUCAAAGAGGAUGUUUGAUUCCCUCUAGUAGUACGGUUGUACCCAAAAACAUUGAAGUUUAAUGAAAUUAAGUUGUGUUCAAAAAAAAAAAAACAAUCAUGCCGAAGAUACUUCAAGGUUUUGAAGAAUUAUUGGUCGACAUUUGAUACUCGAACAUAUUAGUAUUUCUUUGGUCUUUACAUUUCGAUAGAACAUUAAAAGAUCCAAGAGUUUCAAGAUAUCCAUUAGAAUUUUCAGGUAACUGAAUAAUGUAUCAACGGAAACGAUGCUUCUGGACGCUGUAAAUUGGUAAAAGUCAAGGACUUACAAUUGAAAUAUCGGUGUUAAUAAUUCACACAAACUGAAGUUAUUUUUGCAAAGUCCCAAUGGUAGUAGUGUUACCGUUAUAAAGUAUACGACAACUCAUACAACUUGUGGUCUAAAAAUGUUUUGGCUGCGAUAUGAAAGAAUCAAAGCAAAAUCUAGUGGACUAGAGAGGCUGCCACAUAAGAUCAAUAAAACGAUAAACAAGAAUCUCAAUACCCAAUGAGUAAAGAGAUAAAUAUUACUUCACAGAUAACAAACCUUACUCACAAUAUCUCUAUUUAAUCCAAACAUAUCCUAACGUUUUCAAUCACUCUCACUCACAAGUUAGUCACCAAAAAAAAAAAAAAAAAAAAAACGUCAAUGGCCUCUUCAACAAUGGCUCUCUCCUCCCCUGCCUUCGCCGGAAAGGCCGUGAAGCUUUCUCCUGCAGCAUCAGAAGUCCUUGGAAGCGGCCGUGUGACAAUGAGGAAGACCGUCGCCAAGCCAAAAGGACCAUCAGGCAGCCCAUGGUACGGUUCCGAAAGAGUCAAGUACUUGGGUCCUUUCUCUGGCGAGCCACCGAGCUACCUUACCGGAGAGUUCCCAGGAGACUACGGAUGGGACACCGCCGGCCUCUCAGCCGAUCCCGAGACAUUCGCAAGGAACCGUGAGCUAGAAGUUAUCCACUGCAGAUGGGCCAUGCUUGGAGCCCUAGGCUGUGUCUUCCCGGAGUUGUUGGCCAGGAACGGAGUCAAGUUCGGAGAGGCGGUUUGGUUCAAGGCCGGUUCACAGAUCUUCAGCGAAGGAGGACUUGACUACUUGGGCAACCCGAGCUUGGUCCACGCUCAGAGCAUCUUAGCUAUUUGGGCCACUCAGGUGAUUCUCAUGGGAGCUGUUGAGGGUUACAGAGUCGCCGGAGAGGGACCAUUGGGAGAAGCAGAGGACUUGCUUUACCCAGGUGGCAGCUUCGACCCAUUGGGUCUUGCUACCGAUCCAGAGGCUUUCGCCGAGUUGAAGGUGAAGGAGAUCAAGAACGGAAGAUUGGCUAUGUUCUCUAUGUUUGGAUUCUUUGUUCAAGCCAUUGUCACAGGUAAGGGACCGUUGGAGAACCUUGCUGACCAUUUGGCUGAUCCAGUCAACAACAACGCUUGGGCCUUCGCCACCAACUUCGUUCCCGGAAAGUGAGCGAAGUUUUAUUUUGUAAUUUGCUUCUGUCUUUUUGAAUUCGAGUGAGAGUGAGGAAAGGGUUUGUGUUUGUGAUGGAUGGUUAAGACUUUCAGAUGUAAAAUUUGUCAGUCUGUUUGAUUCUGUCAUUAAUUAAAUAACUCGUUUCUCUUAACUUGUGUUGUGUGAUAACCAAAAUGGUUUAUGUUCAUUCAACUGCAGCCAUUAAGCAAAUUGAUGCAACAAUACACAAGUUUAAAGCCUUGAUGGGUACGAGCAUUAUGUCCUUGUGUUCUGUAAUAAACUAAAAUGGCGUGAGCCUACAGAAAAUGCGACUCUUGUUGGCAACGAAUUCAAACUAAAUGUUUAACAAAUUUUACAUAUUCAACGAAUAUAUUUCGUGCAGCAUUAUUGAAUUUGAGAUGAAUCUGAUAAAAACAAAGACCUGCAUGUCACAAGGACGAAGCUGACUAACAAAUGACACCUACCAUAGCGUUUCACAAAUUAACCUUUGAAGAUUAUUCAUAGAAAUGCUCAUAAGUAAACAAAAUCCGUUAAACAUUUAACUGAAAUCGCAAUGGUUCCACACACAAACGAUCAAACAUAGAAAUAAAAAACUCAACUCAGACGAGCAAAGAAGAUUCAUUCUUAACCUCAAAGAAGUCCUGAAGAGCAGUCAUUUUAAUAGCACUUGACUUCAAGCUCUUGAUUCCCUCAGCAGUGGCCAAUGCUCCAGCCACAGUGGUGAUAACCGGGACCUUGUAGGCUAAAGCCAUUUGUCUCAGCUGCCUCCCAUCCUUCUGAUCAAGAGCAUCGCCUGAGCUUGUGAUCAACAUCAGAUGAAUCUGACCAUUAGCCACCAUAUCAGCAGCAUGUGGCCUUCCUUCAUGCAACUUCAACACUCUCUCCACAGGAAUGCCUUUCAGUUCCAGGAAAUGAGCUGUCCCCGAGGUAGCAACGAUCUUGAACCCGAGGUCGAGGAAGGACACCGCGAUUUUCUCCAGGUGAGGUUUGGUCAUAUCGUUUAAGCUAAGGAAGACUGUGCCUGUUAAAGGCAGCUUCUGACCUGCAGCGAUCUGAGCCAUCGCAAAGGCGCUUGGGAACUCGGAACUGAUGCUCAUCACUUCCCCCGUGCUUCUCAUCUCUGGCCCGAGUAUCACAUCACAACCUUGGAACUUCUCGAAUGGGAACACAGCUUCUUUCACAGAGAUGUGUUUAGGGAUGACUUCUUCUUCAAAGUUGAGAUCUUUGAGUGAUUUUCCGGACAUGACCAGAGCUGCAUACUUGGCAAGAGGGUGUCCAAUGGCCUUUGAGACAAAAGGGACAGUACGUGAAGCUCGUGGAUUGGCUUCAAGCAAGAACACAUCUCCAGAUGAUGUGAUUGCGUACUGACAGUUCAUCAGCCCACAAACAUUUAGCUUCUUCGCCAACUUGGUGGUCCAUGACCUGAUCGUUUCCAAACAAGAAGAAGGGAUGGUCUGCGUUGGAAGCAUACAAGCAGAGUCACCAGAGUGCACACCAGCUUGCUCGAUAUGCUCCAUGAUCCCACCAAUCACAACGUUUCCAUAGGAAUCAGUGAGAGUAUCAACAUCGAUCUCAAUGGCAUCAGAGAGAUACCUAUCUACCAAAACAGGUCUCUCUGGGUCAACUUCAACAGCAUUCUCCAAAUAGGUUAUAAGUUUACUGUCAUCAUACACAAUCUCCAUUGCUCGUCCACCAAGAACAUAAGAAGGCCUCACCACAACCGGGUAGCCUAUCUCCUUUGCAAUGGCUAAUGCAUCAGAUUCGCUCUUCGCAAUGCCUCCCUUGGGCUGCUCAAUUUUCAGCUCGUUGAGAAUCGCAUUGAACCUCUCUCUGUCUUCAGCAGCGUCAAUGGAGUCAGGGGACGUACCCCAGAUGCGAACGGGCCCCUCACCACUCAAGCUCAUGGGCUUGUGCUUGUCCAGAUAGUUUUUGAUUGGGAGAGCAAGCUUCAGAGGCGUUUGACCACCGAACUGCACAAUUAUGCCAUCAGGUUUCUCAAGGUCAAUAACAUUGAGAACGUCCUCGAUCGUGAGGGGUUCAAAGUAGAGCCUGUCGCUUGUAUCAUAAUCGGUUGAUACCGUCUCAGGAUUUGAGUUCAACAUGAUAGUCUCAUAUCCAGCAUCCUGCAAUUAAAAAGUUUAAAAUAAUCUGUAAGUAAUUUCCAGCAAAACAGGACGCUUAGAUCGAUCAUCUAACAGACCUGUAAGGCAAAAGAUGUGUGGCAACAGCAGUAAUCAAAUUCAAUCCCUUGGCCAAUACGGUUUGGCCCUCCGCCCAAAAUCAAAACCUUCUUCUUGGUGUUUGGUGCUGACUCGCACUCAAAAUCAUACGACGAGUACAUGUAAGGUGUGUGCGCUUCAAACUCUGCUGCACAUGUAUCCACUCUCUUGUAAGAUGGAACAACUCCUAGAGAGAUCCUCUUGGUACGGACUUCUUCCUCUGUUGCCUUUGUAGCAAAGGCUAUUUGCUUAUCACUAAACCCUCGCUUCUUGACUUCGUAGAGGUCUUCCUUUGUGAUCUCCGACAAGGGUGGUCCAGACAUUAGAUACUGUUCCACGUCCACGAGCUCUUUAAGCUGGGUCAGGAACCACUUGUCUACCAUGCUCAACUCAUGGAUUUCAUCAACCUUCAUACCCUUCUUCAUGGCAGCGUAUAUGGCAUGGAUCCUGUCCGGAUUUGGAACUCUAAGGCUGUAUUUUAGCUGAUCCCAGUCCCAGUUUAGCUCUUUAAUCUUUGCACAGCCCCAUCCUGAGAAUCCCGUCUCAAGAGACCUCAGAGCUUUCUGGAAUGAUUCUUGGAAUGUGCGACCUAGAGCCAUGGAUUCCCCAACAGACUUCAUCUGUGUCGUCAGCAAGGGUUGAGAUCCUGGAAACUUCUCAAAUGCAAAUCUAGGAAUCUGCAUUACAAAGAAACAGACCAAAAAAAGAACCGAGCAAAAUAAUUAUUAACUUUGAACUGGAUAUUAUUGAAUAAAACUUCAAAGUCCAGAGCAUCUCAUAACGCAACAUAGAAACAGCUAAAGAAAGAAAUAAAAUAAGUAUUGACUUUGAACUGGAUAAUUACGGUGUAAAUCUUCAAAGUAAAGAGCAUCUCUCAUUACGCAAACAUAGAAACAGCCAAAAGCAAGCACAAGAAAGAGACAGCAAACCUUUGUGACAACAUAAUCGAUGGAAGGCUCAAAACUCGCAGGCGUUUUCCUAGUGAUGUCAUUAGGAAUCUGAUCCAACGUAUACCCAACAGACAGCUUCGCCGCCAUCUUAGCAAUGGGGAACCCUGUAGCCUUGGAAGCAAGAGCAGAGGACCUCGAGACCCUAGGGUUCAUCUCAAUGAUCAUCACUUCACCAUCAGCAGGGUUCACAGCAAACUGCACGUUAGACCCACCGCACUCAACACCAAUCUCCCUAAUAAUCGCAAUGGAGUAAUCCCUCAGCCUCUGGUACUCCCUAUCCGUCAGGGUCUGCGCAGGCGCCACGGUGAUGGAGUCACCAGUGUGCACACCCAUAGGGUCAAUAUUCUCAAUGGAGCAUAUAAUAACAACAUUGUCAGCCAAGUCUCUCAUGACCUCAAGCUCAUACUCUUUCCAACCAAGCAAAGACUUCUCCACAAGAACCUGACUCGUCACGCUCGCGGCCAAACCGGCUUUACAGAUGGACUCAAACUCCUCUCGGUUAUACGCAAUGCCGCCACCUGUCCCACCUAAGGUAAACGCGGGCCUGAUAAUCAAAGGGAACUCGCCGAUCCUCUCGGCGAUGUCGAAACACUCGUCGAGAGUGUUGCCAAUCCCGGAAGGCGGAGUCUUUAGCCCGAUGCUCUUCAUCGCCUCCUUGAACAGCUCGCGAUCCUCCGCCUUCUUGAUGGCAUCAAGCUUGGCUCCGAUCAGCUCGACGCCGUAUCUCUCCAGGGCCCCGCUCUCUGCUAAAGCAACCGCGAGGUUUAACGCUGUCUGGCCGCCCAUGGUCGGUAAGAGAGCGUCGGGCCUCUCCUUGGCGAUGACCUGCUCGACGAGGUCGGGAGUCAUGGGGGCGAUGUAAGUGCGGUUAGCUGUUUCCGGGUCGGUCAUGAUGGUGGCGGGAUUGGAGUUGAUGAGAAUGACUUCGUACCCUUCUUCUCUUAGGGCUUUGCAAGCUUGGGUUCCCGAGUAAUCGAACUCGCAGGCUUGUCCGAUUACGAUCGGGCCCGCGCCGAGGAUCAUGAUUUUCUUCAGAUCGGUGCGCUUCCCGACGAUCUCCGGGGAGAAAGGUUGGGUCUUUUCGUCGGGGGUGGAUGAGUUGAGGACGCGGGUGACGACGGAGGAGGCUUUUCGAUUGAGGCAUGGGAGGAGGAAGGUGGAGGAGGGAAGUCUGGGUUUGGCUCUGUAGUUGAUGGCGGAGCGGGAGAGGAGUCUGGGGUUGGAGAGCUUGGAGGAGGUGAAGAUGGAGGAGUGAUUGGGGGAGAGGUGUAAGCAAUGGUUGCUGCUCAUUUUCGCUAUCUUCUUCUUCCUCUCUUCUCUGCCUGCUUUUGGUUGGUGUCGGCUUCUGCAGUGGAGAGAGUGAAGACGUGAAAGGGUUUUAGGGUUUCUCCGAUUUUUUUUACUUUUAUUUUUUAAUUUCUUUUUAUUGAUUAUCCACGAUUUCGGCAACGGAACAAUCAGUCGAAUACUUUACUGACUGCUUUAAUGGGAAUAUAUAUAUUUUUGGGGAAAGAAAUAAAUUUAUUAGACAAAUGGUCCUUUUUAUAGUCAGUCAGAUUAUUAUUAUUAUGACAUUUGUUUAUCCACCUAAUCACCUAUUACACUCCGACAUAUUGAGUAAUGUUUUCCUAGUUUUUUUUAAUUUAUUAAUAUGUAGUUUUUAUUUUCAAAUUUGGAAGAUAUUUCUCUAUUUUGUUGACAAUAUAUUUCAAUUUACUGGAAAAAAAAUCUGUCUUAUUAAAGUUGAAGUAUAUUUUUUAAAUACCCUUUAAUUCAUCUAAAUAUUUACAAACUCCUGCCAUUGCCUUAAUAAUAAAUUAAUAACUAUCUAUUUAAAAUUAUCAUUAAUUAUCUAUCUUAUUCAGAACAUACUCCUUAAUAUUCUUUAACUGAUGAAAUGAAAGAUUUUGCAUAUGAUGCACCAGAUUCACUCCUAAAUAACCAUCUUUCUUUAUAAUUUUUAAAACAGUGCUAUCAAUUUUAAGUAUAUAAAAGAAAUACUUACAACUAUUAAAUAUUUUAAGGUUACAAUCUCCCCAUAUCAAUCUAUUAAAUACAAUAUUAAAUUUGCAAGCUGGUCACUUAUUUAACUGAUUUUAAAUUUGCCCCAAAAUGUAAUUUGACCCAAUAUAGCAUAUCAAUACAUAGAUCUAAUCAUAUUUAUAAUUACAUAACUCAUCCAACACAUAUCUAAUAAGAAAAAUAUAUCACAUGAUCCAGUAAUACAAUAUAUGGUCUCAACGAUACACUAAAGUAAUACAAAUGCAACUACUAAAUUGUUGUGUUUAGAAAUAUCUAUAUAUCUAUCGUAAAAUAAACAUUCACGAAUGUGCAUGAGUUAGUUUUAAAAUUAUUUAUUUUCUUUUUGUAUAUGGAAAAUAAGAUUGAAGAGAUUCAUGGAACCAACUAUAUGUUGGUUUAGCAGUAAAAAUCUGUCUAGUAGACAUAUCACCAUUUGAGUUCAAUUCUCGUUAGGAGAUACUAUUUAUAUUACUUCAGCUUCCAACAUAUUGUUGAAAUAUAUUUUUCUUAUUAAAAAAAGACUCAUGGAUUUAGGGCAUCUCUUAAGAUUGGUUUCAUUUUUAUUUUUCAGAGUUCACUUUUAUAAAAAAAAAUGAAAUAACAUUUAUUUCAAUGGUUUUUUUUUUAUUUUCUGUAAAAAGAAUAUUCUAACUAUAUUCUAUCUCCAAUAAUUAUUAGUUAUUAAUUACAUUUGUACUUUUUCAUAUUUAUAAAUGUUACUCAAUUAUUAUUUUACCAAUAAUCUAUCACAAUUAGAGUUUAAUAUAUAUUAAACAUUAUCAUUUAAUAAAAUUAUUACAUAACACAAGAAACAAACAAAGAAUAUCAUAUUUUAGAAAGAAAAUAUUUUUCUAUGAGUUAACAAAAGUGUUUUGAAAUAAAAAUAUGAGACUAUUUAUCUUUGAUUUUUCUUAAUCAAGCUAAAUAGUCAAAAUUUAUUGGGUAAUUAAUAUUAGAUGAAAACAAUAGUCAAAAAUUUUGAAAUUGAUUGGGUAAUUAAUAUUAUAUAAUUUAUGGUGACAAAAUAAAAAUAACUAAAAAUUAAGAAUCAAUUUAUAGUUAAAAUUUUAUCUUAUAAAAUUGAAAACGUGAACGAUAUAUUUUUAAAUUUGAAGAUAUAUUGUUUAUUGCUUUGUUGAAGCAAGAAAUGAGGUAGAAUUGGAACAAAAGUUCUUUCAAAAUGAAGCAAAAAAGUGAAAAAUAAAAUAGAGUUGAGAUCACUACAAGAAAACAGGGGGAUUCUGAUGGCCAAAAUCGUCGGAUAUUCCGACGACUUUUCGACGACUACAACGGUUAUAUUGUUUAUCGGAUGUCGUCGAAAAGUCGUCGGAAUAUUCCGACGACCCUUGUUUUCUCGGAAGUUCGUCGGAAUUAGCCGACGGAAUUCCGACGACUUCAGAUUUUUUGUUUUCGUCGGAAAUCGGUCAGAAUUUCGUCUAAAUUGUCCGACGCCUGUGACGUCCGUCGGAAUCUCCGUCGGAAUUCGGCGUGUUUUCUUGUAGUGGAUGGUCUUACAUAUCAAUGUGGAAUCUCGAAAAAAAUAAGACCUUGAUAACAUUGAUAAACAAAAUGGAUACGUUUUAGAUAGAGUAUCUUAGAUUAAAAAAAUUCAAAAAUACAAAAAACACGAAAGAGAAGAGAAGCAGGUUCGCAUGCGAGAACUUUUAACACGAUUUUAAGUUUUUAACAAAUCUCAUAUGGCCGCAUAUUGUCUUUCACCAAUUAGAUUGACUUAAAAAAUAAAAAAUAAAAUUGAACUUUAGGUAAAAACAGAUUAAACUAACAAUAUUUUUGGUUUGAGAUAUCUAAAUUUAGUAUCAACCAUAAGGUUGCUCUUAAGUUUCUCGCAUAAACCGUGUAUUUUUUUUUUUAUUUUGUAUGGGUGACGUUUUUGGUUUAAAUUGUGUUAUUUCCCUCUGUCUCCCUCUCUCGAUCUUCUUGACUUGACAUAAUGUAGUGGUAGAUAAAUUUUUUAUUCAUUAGUAACUGAUCAUCUUUUUAUUGAGAAUAUUUAUUUAGUACAUUACUAUAGGUAGAAGAAGCUCUUUAUCGGUUGAGCAAGUAUAAAGAGUGAGAGACAUGGAGAUGAUCUUGAAGGGGGGGAAGUGUUUCAUGCAUCAGACAGCCUCUUCUUCUGACUCUGGGAAGAGAGGCUUGAGCGGAGGAAAUCUUGUUUGGCAAGGUUCUUGACUGUCCCGUUAAUGAAUCUCUGGUACCAUUUGCCAGAUUCUUUGAGGUUUCUAUCAUCGAGAUCGUCCCAAUUAACGUAACUGAGUCCAAAUCUGACGGUAAAGCCUUUACAGAAUUCGUAAUUGUCUCCAAGAGCCCAUGCAAAAUAACCUCUCACGUUGACACCCUUCUCCCUGAAAACAAGAACAAUCAUAUAUAUAUAUAUAUAUAUAUAUAUAUAUAUAUAUAUAUAUAUAUAUAUUACCAAAAAGAGAAGAAGUUGAUAAACAUUGGAAGAAAAGCAUCCAUAUAGUAGCAUUACUUACUUGAUGACCUUACGGAGAAAACAUAGAUGACUGCAGAGAUAAUCAAUUCGCUUGUAAUCCGCAAUAGCCUGCUCACGGUUUUCUGAACUGGGCGUACUAAAUCCUAAUUAAGCCGCCAUUGCAUGAAAAAUAUUACACAAUAUUUGUAAGUUAGUUUCUUGGACCAAUUUCGAAAAUACAAUAAUUGUAAAAUAACUUUUACAAUUAUUUUCAUUACUAUUCACCCUGCGGUAGAUUGAAUAUCGGUCUACUUUUGUGGUUACAUAAUAUUAUGCGUGGUAUAAAUGAAAAUAGAGGAGUAGUAGUAUGUAGAACUCACCGUUCUCGGUGACAUAGAUUAAAGGGUUGCCGUAGUUGGUUUUGAAGUAGUCCAUCACGUAAUAAAUUCCUUUUGGAUAGUAAUAGCUGUUUCCGUUAUCUUUGUCUUCAACGAACUGAGCAAGGGAAGCAAACAAAUAUACAUAUCAAUCACGAGAACAUAAUCAGUGGUGUUCUAUAUAUUGCAAAUAGAAUAAAAAAUGAAAGAGAUAUCAUAGGGGUGGUUCAUUCAUAUAUACCAGUGGACCAAGAAAUUCACCACGCGAAUUAUCAUCUGUAAACACAAGGAUGAAAUAAUUGAUACUCUCACAAAGUAUGUUAACAAAAAGAAGAAAAAAAAUAUAUAGAAAGGUCGUAACUAAGUAGUAAUAUUGUGUGGUACUUACAUGUGAGCUUUACACCAGCGUCCAUCAUGGCAGUGUGUGUCUCUGAAGGAUAUGGGUUAGGUUUCGGCUGGGCGUACUGAGUGACGUAAUAGUUGAGACCAAGAAAAUCAUAUGAACCGGCAACGAGUUGGGCUUCUUCCUCGGUAAAGUUGGGAAGCCUACUACCCACAAUCUGCCUCAUGAUGUCUGGGUAUCUACCCUUUGUUAGCGGCUCCAUGUACCUGAUCCAUGUAUAUUUUUCCAUUAUACAUACAUACAAAUACAGUAGAUACUGUUACAUUUUUGGUAAUAUAUAUAUAUACCAUCCAUGGAAGAAUUGGUUCAUCCUCUCAGCUGCUUCUAUGGAGGCCGGAUCAGACUCAUCAAAUGGAAGAAACCAUCUUGUUAUCAUCACAGGUCCAAUCUUCCCUUUUUGGAACUGUUGGUCACGUGAUAUUUACAUUAGAAUCAGAUAUGUUAGACACCACCUUAAUUUUCACAUAUGGAGACAGCAUUCACCUUAUAUUUGGUCCUGUAAAGAUCGACGACCGUGGCAUGAGCAAGAAGCUGGUUAUGUGCAACGAUAUAGGGUUCUGUUGAAGAAUUUCCGCCGUAACACCUGUGCUUAGUAUCAACCAUAGGAGAACAUCGACCGGGUGCAUCUGUUCCGACUGCAUAGCCUCUCGUAGGGACUGUGUAUAGCUGGUUGAUCGUGAUCCAGUGCUUUACCUUUCCACCAAAUUCUUUGAAACAUAGAUCGGCAUAAUCUUUGAAAUCUUGUCUGUGCAUAUUAAUAUAGAAUCAUUUCAGUAAUGCAUGUAACUAAAAUUAACCAUCUUUUUCUUCUCUUAUUAAUAAUAUAAGAAGCAUGUCACAAAUAUAAACAUACAUGAUCUGGCGGUCCAAGAAACCUUCGUACUCAUCUUGGAGUGUUUGAGGAAGGUCCCAGUGAAAGAGGGUAACGAAAGGAGUUAUAUUCUUUUCGAGGAGGGCGUCUAUGAGUUUGUGGUAGUAAUCAAGACCUCCUUGGUUCACUCCCCUACUCACCUUUCCUUCUGCUCAUGUAUAUAUAAAUCGUACAUUUAAAACACGUCCAACUAUAUAUAUACAUGUACUGAUCGAUAAUCUGUACGUACUUGGAAUGAUUCUCGACCACGCAAAGGAAAAUCUGUAGCCAGUAGCAUUUAGUUCGCCCAUAACGUCUACAUCUUUCUGCAGUUUCAUAUUUUGAUUGCAUCUCAAUCGGCACGUAGUUUGUAUACAUAGUUCAGUCAUGAGUAUCUACAAAUGUACUGAAGAAUUAACCUGCCAUCUCGUAUAUGACUCACAAGUAGUGUCUCCAUUCUUCAAAUCUGACCCUGAUUUCUCUGAUAGUAAUUACAAAUACAUUAAUAUGAGUACUUAUAACCAACAUUCCUGUCAUAUAUGAUAUAUAUAUAGAUGUCACCGUGCAAACGACAUACCUGGGUAUCGGUGACUGAAGCCAUCCCAAAUGUUAACACCACGACCUCUCCCUCCUUCGAUCUGAAAUGAAAAGAAACAACCAUGCAAAGUUAGAUAUUAUCAUUUUUGAAUAGUGUUUUCUAUACGUCAAAAAGUAUGGUAUGUCAACAUUUGUUACAUGCCUGGUAAGCAGAAGAUGCAACACCGAAGAUGAAGUCUUUUCCGAAGUUCUUACUGCUUAAAAUAUCAGUGUUACUACAUGUGAAUGGAUUGUUCUCUUCACAAGUAAUUUCUUCGUCAGCUUUGCAACUCGCAGAAGCUAACAGAAAAACUAAAGCGAGCCCAAGAAGCUUCAUAGUUAAUAUGUUGAUGUAUGUGUUGUGUUGUAUGGAACCUUGUGUCCAUCUACGGUUUAUAUAGCCCUUCCUAAAGAAGAGUGACACAUACAUUUUCUUGUCUUAGUAUCUCGACAUUUUGGGGAGGUUUAGGUGGGAUCAUGAGUCCCGUGGGUUCACUUACUUUAGCUCAGUGUUCACCGAUUUUGCUUAAAUUUCUUGUUUGCUUCCACUUUUUAGUUUUUCAUUAUCUAUUGCAAAUAAUUUUUUUUUGUUACAUAGCACAUAGUUGUGUUCCAUCUUCAAAUUACGGGAACACGUACGACUUGGAACACGUACGACUUGGAAGACGUACGACUUGGAAGACGAAUUGUGUCACAUCUUCAAAUUGAUCCGUCGACCAGUGGUGCGAUGCAGCAUGUAUAUAUGGAAGGCGUGCGCGAACUAGAAAAGACGAAUUAUAUAUCAAGAUUAGCUGCAGUAAAUAAUGUUCAAAGCGUCGUCAUAACGCCAUAAAGUUAUUGAAGACUUUUAUCGAAAUAUUAUCAAGUGCUAAAUCUAGAGUAACACUGAUCCAAGGCCACACUUUUCAUGAGAUCACCGCUAAUAAUCAACAUUAUCAAGAAAAAACAAUCAUAGCAUAUCUUAUUUGUUUUGAUUCUUUUGACCUCUCUAUAUAUGCUUUAUCACAUGAGACCACAGUAUCCGAAAGACAAAAGAAAACGAAAACGAAAACCAACAACAUUUUUUGCUUUUUUUGGUAACGUUUCUAGAUAUGAUUGGAAGGGUUGAAAUGCAAGAAUCUUGUGUAUUAACCUAUAGUUUAACACUUAUGUAAGAAUUCAUAAACUUUAGUUAUAUAUAUUUUUUAUAAUUAGAUAUUAUUUUUGAAAAAAUUCUUCUAUGACAGUACAAAGCUAUGUUUUCAAAGUUCAAACAUGAAUUAAAAUAAACUGUUCGUAUUAUUUCAAGAAUAAAACAUUUUAUUAAAUUUCUGUGCUUUAGGCAUUUGGAUAAAAUAAAUUUAAAAUUUGGUUAAUUAGUUUAUGUAAAUUUUGCAUAUUUGUUAAGAGUUCUAUUGGUAUUACUUAUUUAAAAUGAUAUUUAUUUUAGUAAUUUUAAGUUUGUUUAAAAGAAAAUUAACUUAUGAGUGAAGUUCUUAAAAAUAAAAAAUAACUUUAAAAUUAAAUAAUUAGUUAUCAAACUUUAGAUUCCAAUAUAUUUUAAAAAAAUUAAUUAAAAACCAAAAAGCAAAAUCUAGAAUCACCAUUCAAGUUUUUUUGAAAAAUUAAAAUAUAUAGCAAAAUCAAAAUUCAAAAAUCAGAAACUAAAAUGUAAAAACCAAAUCUAAAAAAUAAAAACUAAAAUCCAAAAACCAUGUAAACAAUCAUCACCUAAAUAAUAGUUUCAGUUUAAAUAACUUUUUGGUUUGUUUUUGAGAACUACUAUGGAAUUCUCUUAAUGUUCAUUCAAUAAAAUAAAAACUAUCCAUGCACCAUGAAUUAUCAAUAACAUAGACUGUAAUACUCUUAUUUUUCAUUCAAUAAAAUAAAAAUUAUCGAGACAUAUACAUAUGAUUUCAUUUUUUCACAAUAAUCAUUUCAAUUGUUUUAUUUCUUACAAGUAGUAGUUUUGAAUCGAUUUGGGAAAAUUUUGUAAAUAAGACCUAAGAGCAUCUUUAACGGGGGAUUUUAAGUGGGGUUUUAAAGUUAAUUGGGUAUUUAAUUAAAUGAAAACUAAAUAAAAGGGGAGUUAUCGAUCCUUAAGAAAGGAUUUUUGUGAUCGAUAACUAAAGGGGUUUUUCCUCCACGUGUCAGCUAACGAAAGGCAAAGCAUAUAUUUUUCUAUUUUUCUUUUCUCUUUUUCUUUUCUUUGGUUUCUCUCGGCUUCUCCGCCGCUUCCCUCGUUGUCUCCGCAAGACGCAAGACGACGAUGGCUGUCGUUCUCUCCUACGCACCUCCAAGGUUGAAACAAACGUAUUGUUUGUUCAAUUGGCUUUCCUUUGCACCUCCAAGCUCUCCUUCGCACCUCCAAAGUUGAAACAAAGGUAUUGUUUGAUCCAAUCUUAUCUCCUUUCUAUAUGAACUGUGAUUGUACUUUUGUUUCAUUCGAUAGAAUAAGCCUCUGUUGUUAUAAAUGGUUUUGAUUGUUAUUUAGUACUGAUGACAACAAAAGGCUCAAGCUUUUGAGUUCUUGGCUUAUUCCAUUUUAACCCACCUUCAUAAGUUUUUGUAAAUUAGGUUGAGAAAGUAAUUGAAGCUGAGAAGGAAGGAGCAAGAGACUUAAUCCGGGAACAUGGAAAGGAGAAGGCUUUCUCGGCUUUGAGGAAGAAACAGACGCAAGAAGAGUUGUUGAAGCAAGUAGAUCUGCAAGUCUUGUCUUCAUGCUUGAGGGUGCUGUGGCACAGGCUAAGACAUCAAACUCUCCUCCGUCAUCCUCACCGCCUCUCUUCUCUCUUCCUCAGCCGACCGUAUCUCUGGUACGUACUGGAAAACUAGUUCUCUCCCUUAUACAGGUCUCUAACACAUCAUCAUCUGUCAUGCAGGUGCUACCGUUGGUAUCAUGUGCCAUACUGGACAUAGGAGUAGAUCCAAAGUGAUCAAAGCUGUCACAAUUCAACAUCGAUCUUCCUUCUCACCUACACGCAAUUCCUGACCUAGAGAAGGCUUGUUCCAUCAAACCCCUCUCUGUUCCUAAACCAUGCCGAUGCUCUCACAAGAUUUACAAAGGUAUCAAACUCGUUUCAUCCUCACACGGCUUGCGCUUCUACACAGCAGGCAACAUCACCUUACACUGAGUACCAUGUAAAUAGACAUGCCUUUUAUUUUUUUCUUCUAUAUGGUUCCUUCUGAAGCCUGUCAUACAAAAACCCUGAAACCAUAUCUUCUUCUUUAGCAUCAUGAUCAGAUAAUCCGUUUGCUGAAAUCUUUGAGUUCUCUUUUCCAUCAGUCUCUGCAGCACUGUUGAUCGGCUGAUUCAUAGCAUGGAUUCUUCCUGUAACUGAGCGUCGUGGCUGAGAACUAGACCUUUUCUUUGAUCCUCCACCGCCACUCGUCAAGAAUCCUAAAAUCUUGCCAGUUUUUACAGUCUUUGUAGUCGUUUGACAGAUAGAAAACGUGUUUGUACCCUUCAAGCCAUCUUCUAUUGUUUUCAGCCUCAGCUUCCACCUCUCCUGUAUUAUAUAUAUAUAUAUAUAUAUAUAUUACUUGGAGGCAUCAGAAACUCCAAUUGCUUGCAACACAAGCUUAACAACACAAUUUAAUUUUUUUUAAGAACCCCUAAUUAAGAAACUACCACUGGAGCACACAUUUUAAAAGUUUCUUAACUACAGUUCUUAAGUACAAUUAAAGUUUAUUUAAUUAAUUAAAAAAUCAUUAAGAAACCCAUAUGGGGUUAUAGGGUUAAAGAUGGUCUAAGACCUUAUCUCUUUCUCUCCCUGAUCUAAAAACAAAUCAAAGCAGUAACCAGUUUGCUUCGGUGACCGGAAAUCUCUAGCCGGUGCCGGAGGCUCUCCUUUCCUCUCUUCCUCUUUUCUUUUUUUAGCUCCUUCUUCUCUGACCUUGGGCCUCCGAUAUGCACGACGCUCUGGGGUGAUUGUUUUCUGAGCUCUUCGCGUGAAGGUUUGUAAAGCUGCAGAUACGUUUAGUCGUCUAUGGCUAUGUUGUAUUGUUGCUGAGCAUCCUCCAUUCCUUCAUUUGCCCUCUACCCGAGCUUUGUUGUCAACUCUCUCUUUGGAAAGCGACGACUUUCUCAGAGAUUGUUUGGUUCAUGGUCUUCAUUCUCUGGAGCUUUCUCUGUUUAGCCAUCAAAGUAGUUUUUCACAGUCACAUCUUGGACCCUUCUUCGGUUCUCGAAUUCUGGGCAAUUGGCGUCGGAAGCAAGUGGUCGGGUUGUCUCUGAUUGCAGUGUGUCCGCCGGUGGCUCCAAUUGUUCGGGUAACUCAUGCCAGCUCCAUUGUUUUGCACUUGUUAAAUGGUGGUGGGGUUGCAUGUUUCCUUCUUUGUGCAGGUUCGAAUCUCAAUAGGCUUCAAUGCACCUGGUACCUCAGGUCCGUCUUUCUUUGUGCAUAAUUGUCAGUGGCACUUCAAGUGUUAAUGUGAGUGAGGAUGCUCCAGCUCCUCCCUGGAUUAACAGCAACCAGAUAGCUUUUAGGAUGUAAGACCCGGAGUUGCUACCGUGACUUGUCUGUGCAGUCAAACCAUUCUCUAGCUGAUCAGUUGUAUGUCGUACCUAUUUUAUUCGAUUUGCAUAUCUUGUGUGUCACUGUUAUCCCCGUCUCGGGUAGAAUCAAUUCGGAGUCUUGUGUUCAUUUUCCCUUUUGCAUUCCAGUUACUUUGCUUCUUUGUUUCUUCUUCCUUGGUUCAUCUUUGUAAACUCUGUUUUUUCAUUUUAUUUCAAUAUGAAAGCCAGUAAAAAAAAGUAGUUUUGAAUCGAUUUAGGUCAUAUUAUCCCUUUAUAACACAAAAAGAUUAACUACAACACUCCACUAUAGUAAUUAAGCCUUUUAGUAUUUAUCUGAAAUUCAAAGAAACGAACCGAAUAAAAAUUAGUUUUGAACUCAUAAGAGCAUGAUUAUUGGGUGAAACCCAUUUCGGGUUUCUAAUUUUUUUUUUGUUUUAUCUGAUUUAAAAAAAUAUAAAACGGAACCAAUCGUGGCCCGCCACGUGUCGUGGAGCCUGCAAAAUAGUGUAACAAACUAGUCAAGAGCGAUCCGUAAUUGGCAACUUUGGUGACCGAUUUAAAAAAAAAAACAUGGGACCCACACCCUUAUUUCAUGCAGAAACCCAUUUUGGUUAAAGGUGCUCUAAGAAUUCAAAUAAUUUUUGUUUUCCUAUUAUCCAAAACGCUGAAACUAAAUUAAACCCAAACCAUCGAAUGAGUAUCCCAGAAUAUUUGAAAUAUAAUUUAUAUAUAGUUAAUAGAUAAAUACCAUAGGAUAACAUUUUGAUUGAUUUAAUAAUUCAUAUAGUAUUUAUAAAUCCAAGUAAAAUAUGCAAAUCGGGAGGUUUUCUCUCGGAUUUGAGUCUUUGUAUUUUUAGCUAGAAAAUCCAAACAAAUCCAUUAUAAAAUCAAAUAUAUUCGUAAAUCCGUACGAUUGAAUAACACUUGAUUUGAUAUAAAAUUUAUAAAUCGUUAAACCAAUAACACCUAAUUUUAAUACAUAUUUGAAAAUCACAAAACCAAUAACACUAGAUUUAGUUCGGAUUUUUCAAUCCAUUAAAAUACAACAACCAAUAACCCUCCUACUUAGAAUUAAGGGAUGAUGAUUUAAGAUUAAGUUUUAAAAUUUUUAUAAAAUUAAAAACAAAUAUUAAAAUUUUGAAAAUAAAAAUUUGAAAAAUAAUUUCAAAAAGUAUUUCGAAUUACAAAAAGAAAAUUUCAAAAAAGAAAUAAAAUAAAAAUUUCAAAAAAAAAGAAAUUUAUAAAAAAACGAAUUUGAAAACAUAUAUGUGAAACUAUAAAAAAGUUAUUUUUAAUUUAAUCUUUUACUUAUUUGUAUUUAUAUAUCUAGGAUAUAAAGGUUUUUUACCUAUUAAAUGAAUCAUUUUGGUCAUUUUCCUCCUUAUGGUCUAUUUUUGUAAUAAAAACUUGAAAAUGGUCUAUUUAGGGGAAUUGCUCUAGUUAAUAUAUUCAAUUUUAAAAUAAUUACAUAUCUAAUUUAAAUUAUAAAGUGGAAAUUAUAUCUGCUGAUAUAUAAUAUGAUAAAAUAUUUGAAUUACUUGAAACUGAACCAUGUGAAAUUAUUCAAAUUAUAUAAUAUUUUAAUCUGAUCCAUGUUAUUAUCUAAUAUUUUAUUUAAAAACUUGUAUCAUCCGAUAUUUUCAUUUAAUUGAUUUAAGAUCAUCUAAAAUUAUCUGAAAACCAUAAGUAUAUCGGACCUUAACAUGAUUUGAUUUUUUUUUAAAUGUUAGCCAGUUUUCAAUACUUUUUUUCAGAAUUAAAUCAAAAUUAGAAAGAAUCGAACCAAAACGGAAACUUGCUUUUUUUUUGAGGAAAACCAAAACCGAAACUAAUUUUGAAAAAUACCUGACUGGUUCAUAUAUCAAACCAGCUUGCUAAGUCCAAAGGAACCAAAAACCACCUAAGUUCAUAUUAAUACCUAAUAGUAAUAGAUUUUAAAUCAAUUGUGAAGAAGCCCCAAAAAAAAUUGAGUGGAUCCGAAACAAACCAGCUUGCUAAGGGCAUUUCACAUGGUUUUCGAAAAAAAAAAUAUUAAAAUAAGUAAAAGAGGUGAACCUGUCUUUUGCAAGUUCACUGCACUGAACCCGGGUCAACACUGUAGCACAGGUUCCACGGCGCGUGGCGGCCCACGAUUGGUCCGAUUAAUUUUUUUUUUUUUUUUAACAAAAUUCAAACAGAAAAAAAAAAUAAUAAAAAAUGCUUUGUGAACCCUCCCAUGGGGUUCACUGAUGUACAUGGCCUAAGUCCAAAGGUUAUCUCAUCUUUCAUAAACCCUCCUAGGCUAUACUCUACUGCAUACGCCUUCUCUGCUUUUUGUCUCACGCUUCACCUCUAUCCAUAUUCCCAAUGGAGCAAUCUCUCCGCCACUCUCUCUCCGAGAAAUCCUCCUCCGUCGAAUCCCAGGGUAACGCCGUACGCGCUCUCAAGGCCUCCCGCGCAGCGAAGCCUGAGAUCGACGCCGCAAUCGACCUCCUCAACAAACUCAAGCUCGAGAAAUCCACCGUCGAGAAGCAGCUCCAAUCAAUCAUCACAAGCUCCGGAAACGGCUCCCUCAACCGCGAGGCUUUCCGACAAGCCGUCGUCAACACGCUAGAGCGUCGCUUGUUCUACAUUCCUUCCUUCAAGAUCUACCGUGGCGUUGCUGGGCUGUUCGAUUACGGCCCUCCUGGCUGCGCCGUCAAAUCCAAUGUCCUCAGCUUCUGGCGUCAGGUAAAGACUCUCAAAUCCGCAUUUAUCAAACCGGUCGGUUUAGGAAUACCGAACUAAAAAACGAUUGAAUUUUCAAAUCUAACUGAUCCGUUUUAUGCGUACCGAAUCGGUUAUGUGUAUCGAACCAAAACCGAUUUAAUUUUCAAAUCUAACUGAUCGGUUAAUGCGAACUGAACCAAAAACGAUUGAAUUGUCAAAUCUAACUGAUCGGUUAAGGCGUACCGAACCAAAACCGAUUUAAUUUUCAAAUCUAACUGAUCGGUUAAUGUGAACCGAACCAAAACCCGAUUGAGUAUGUGAUAGCUUUAUUCUUAUAUGGAUGUUGAUCUUGUUUUUGUUUGUAGCAUUUCAUUCUGGAGGAGAACAUGCUUGAAGUAGAUUGUCCAUGCGUGACACCAGAGGUUGUACUCAAGGCAUCUGGUCAUGUGGAUAAGUUCACUGAUCUUAUGGUCAAGGAUGAGAAAACUGGAACUUGUUACCGUGCGGAUCAUUUGCUCAAGGACUAUUGUACUGAUAAGGUGGAGAAAGAUCUCACCAUCUCUGCUGACAAAGCUGCUGAAUUUAAGGAUGUUCUUGCUGUUAUGGAAGAUUAUUCCCCUGAAGAGCUUGGUGCCAAGCUUAAAGAGUAUGGGAUCACUGCUCCCGACACCAAGAACCCUCUCUCUGAUCCUUACCCGUUUAACUUGAUGUUUCAGACAUCCAUCGGCCCAUCUGGUUUGAUUCCUGGGUGAGUGUUCCUCAUUUUAUGAUUGUUCAUGAACUUCCUUCUUUACUGAGUGGUGUUUUGUUUAACCAGUUCUGUUGUUGUGUCUCAGUUACAUGCGUCCUGAAACGGCACAAGGCAUAUUUGUGAACUUUAAGGACUUGUAUUAUUACAAUGGGAGAAAACUUCCCUUUGCUGCUGCUCAAAUUGGUCAAGCCUUUAGAAAUGAGGUGAUUAUUACUGCUUUGCUUGAUAUAAUUGGAUGUUUUGACCUCAAUCUGGACUCUCUGUUUCUCAAUGAUGUAUCGGUUUCAGUAAGUAGCAUAUUUUACUCGCAGAUAUCUCCUCGUCAAGGUCUUCUAAGAGUUCGUGAAUUCACUCUGGCAGAAAUUGAGCACUUUGUUGAUCCUGAGAAUAAGUCGCAUCCUAAAUUCCCUGAUGUAUCAAAGUUGGAGUUCCUCAUGUUUCCAAGAGAAGAACAGAUGUCCGGCCAAUCUGCGAAGAAGCUUUGCAUUGGCGAAGCUGUUGCUAAGGUUAGAAUUUGUAAUUCUAUAAUGCGCUCACACAGAUCCCUGUUUUAAGAAUUUCUCAUUGAUGUCUGAAACUGUAUUUGAAUAGGGAACUGUGAACAACGAAACUUUAGGUUAUUUCAUUGGGAGAGUUUAUCUGUUCCUUACCCGCCUUGGCAUAGACAAGGAACGUCUGCGUUUCCGCCAACAUCUAGCAAAUGAAAUGGCCCACUAUGCAGCAGACUGCUGGGAUGCUGAAAUUGAGAGCUCUUAUGGAUGGAUUGAAUGUGUUGGGAUUGCAGAUAGGUCUGCCUACGACCUACGUGCUCACUCGGUACCUCUAACUUCCUUUAGGAUUGUCUCGUUUGUCAGCUAUUUAAACUUACUAAGGUAGAUUGUUAUGUUGACACAUUGCUGUAUGUCAGGAAAAAAGUGGCGUUGCUCUUGUGGCUGAAGAGAAGUAUGCAGAACCUAAAGAAGUAGAGGUAUAUAUUUAUUCGAGUCAACAUUUCCCAUCUCUCUGUUUCUAUAACUUGGCUGCUAAUAUGUUUCUGUUUUCUUUCAGAAACUUGUGAUUAAUCCUGUGAAGAAAGAGCUGGGUCUUGCAUUCAAAGGAAAUCAAAAGAAUGUAGUUGAAUCUUUGGAGGUAGUAUAAAAGUACUUCAUCAUUUUUUCUAAAAAGCUUAUUUGCCUCAUGGUACUGGUUUUUAUUGAAGAAACAUGUUUCGUGAAAUGUGUUGUAGGCGAUGAAUGAGAAAGAAGCUAUGGAGAUGAAAGCAAGCCUGGAAUCAAAAGGGGAAGUGGAGUUCUACGUGUGUACCCUCGAGAAAAACGUGAUCAUCAAGAAGAACAUGGUGUCAAUCUCAAAGGAGAAGAAGAAAGAGCACCAGCGGGUGUUCACACCUUCAGUGAUUGAACCAUCUUUCGGGAUUGGUCGGAUCAUAUAUUGUCUGUACGAGCAUUGCUUCAGCACAAGGCCAAGCAAGGCAGGGGACGAGCAGUUGAACGUGUUCCGUUUCCCUCCUCUUGUGGCUCCCAUCAAGUGCACGGUUUUCCCGCUUGUUCAGAACCAACAGUUCGAGGAAGCAACCAAAGUGAUCUCUAAGGAACUCACUUCUGUUGGAAUCUCCCAUAAGAUUGACAUCACUGGUAAGUAAAAAUCAGUUCUGAAAAAGAUUGGAAGUUGUAUAGAAUCUCGAAACUAACUGAAGAUAUGUGUGGGUUGGAUGUGAACAGGUACAUCGAUAGGGAAAAGAUAUGCGAGAACUGAUGAGCUGGGAGUGCCAUUUGCAAUAACAGUGGACUCGGAUACAUCAGUGACGAUCAGAGAAAGAGACAGCAAAGACCAAGUCAGAGUUAGCUUGGAGGAGGCAGCCUCUGUGGUGAGCUCAGUCGCGGAGGGGAAGAUGACAUGGCAAGACGUCUGGGCUAGGUUCCCUCACCACUCUUCUGCUACUGCAGACGAGUAGCUUUAGCUCCUCCCACCAAAUGUUUCUUAUAGUUUUCUUUUGUUUUGUGAAAAUCGUUUGUUGGAUCUGCCCAUUUUGAUGUUUUUUUUAUACUGCCUCGGAAUAUAUUUCGAUACCAGAUUUGUAGAAACAUAAGUUACUUAACUGGUUAAACGUAUCAAAGAGAUGUGAUAGUCUGAGCCCAGAGUACCCCAUCAUAUUUAAAACCUCGACUCGUAUACAUCAUUGUAUUGAAGCAGGGAACAUAGUGGAAGUUGAUUGUCCAUACAAAGGGAAAGUUCAAUUUAAAGUGUGUACCCUCGGGAAAAACAUGAUCAUCAAGGAAGAACAUGGUGUCAAUCUCAAUGGAGAAGGUGAAAGAGGACCCAAUGGGUUUUCACUCUGUCAGUAAGUGGACCAUCGUUUAAAAUUGGUCGAAUCAUAUUUAUAUUGUCGGUCGUUGUAGCAAAAUCAGAAGACGAACUUUUGAACGUUUUUCCUUAAACAAUAAGUCAACAACGUUUGCUUUUCUAAGUGAACAACCAAAAAUGGCAGAGACUUGAUCUAAAGACAAAUUAAUCAAGAAUUUUAAAACACAGUCACCUUCACGAAGCAUAACUAUUUUCUGAACUAAUUAAAGUCCAAAUAAUUAGUAGGUUGUCUUGUCUGUGAAAUAUAUACACAUACAUGUAUAGUAAAUAUAUCUACCUAUAUAAAUGUAUUCAUAAAUGCAUCAUAUACCCACCACAUAUAUGACCCAAAUAAGUAUUUCGAUAUCUCUCUCUCUGUCUCUUUCAAGAUUCGUGCUUCAAAAGCAUUGAAGGAACAAUGUCUUGAAGAAGACCAUAGCCAACAACUUCUCGUAGAUUACUAGAGUUAAGACGACUAUGUUCGUACGGUACAGAUCCCACCGACUGAUAAUUGACCGGAGGAUGAUUCAUCAUAAGAAACUCUUGAUGGUGACGUGGGAAGCUACGGAGCAGACCAUUUUCACGGUUACCUAAUAGAUGUUCCGCGACGACAGGACCUCUCAAACUCGAUGGGAUCGGAUGAUUGUGUUUGCCUUCGUAGGUUGUGAUUACGAUCGAGGGAUCUUGAAACGAUCUCUCUACGCGUUUCUUCACGUUACAUAUUUGCGUUGUGCACCUAUAGUAACUCCUGAAAACGCAUACAUAACUCUUGCAUUCAUAUUAUUUAUAUAUACUUCUAUAUAAAUGAACAAGUAAAAUAUUUAAAUUGGGAUGUAGUGAGGAAGUGAACCUUGGAUAAGGGCUGUCCUUGACGGCUUUUUGUCCGUAUUUUCUCCAUCUAUAACCAUCUUCAAGAUGAUCAAUGUCGCUUUUGGUCAUAAAAGCAACCCUAGCUUCUCUUUCCUUCUUCUCUCCUUUUCCUUUACCUUGUUUUGUCCUAACCAUACUCAUCAUCCACAAAGCAUAUUAGUCUCUAGGGUUUCAAAGGUUAAACAACUAUAAUAAUUUUUAGCGUGUCUGACGGAUUGUUUUUUUUUGGACUUAUAAUCCACCCUUAGUUCACAUUUGAUAGGUGAAAUGAAAGAAGAAAAAAGCUCACAACUGCUUGGAGCUUUCACCAACACCACGUUGGUCUCCUUCAUUAUCCUCCAUUGAGAUCUUAUCUCCGAGGCUUUCUUUAGGGUCGGCUUCAUUGGAGGAAGAAGGGACUAUUGGAGAAUACGGAUUGAGGUUUAAGUAAGGGUAAUUCGCUAUUUGUCCCAUACUGGACGGUGAAAUCGGUUGGAAAGGGGAACUAUUAUUGAAGACUUUUUCUAGUGAGUUAUAAUCCAUUACUAAUGAACUUUGUAAGCAAUUGGUUAAGCUUGUGAAAGAUGUUUCCUCGAAAGAAGUGUUCUUGUGAUCAGCCAUUAGUUGAAGACGAGGAGAAGGAAGAGGAAGGGGAAGAGGAAGAGAAUUGGUUCUUUUAAGCUUAGUUGUUAGGCUUUAUGUGGACUUUGGGCGAUCAAGUCUUAUAAAUACGUACAAGUCCAUUCAACCUUACUUUAUUUGAUUGGAUAUGUGGUCUUUAGUUUUGAAUAUUCAGUUAAGAUCUUAUUUAAAUCUUUUUGGACAAUAUAGAUACUUUCAUUAACAAGGGGCCUGUAAAUUAUUGAGCUUCCAUACAGAUAUAGUGUAUGGAAUAUACUGUCUAAGCCUAAGCUAAGCUAACGUUUCUAUUUUUUAUAUACAAAAUUACACUGUAAUCUUCACUCGUGUGCAGUUGGGGUUACGUGGUAUAAUACCACAUGAAAUCUAAUUAAUUAUGUAUCUUAAACCGCUUUAAAGGCGACAACCUUUAAAUUUCCGAUUCAGAAUUCCUAGUUAAAAUCUAGUUUCAUGGACACAUACCAGUCGACCAUUUUGCCGUUUAGAAUAUUUAGCAGUCAAGCUACCUUGCAUUCUGUAAACGGCACCUUCCACGCCUCAAGACACCUUGGCCUUAGUUCACCCGAAAGCGCAUUAUUCUGUAUCAACAAACAAGCUUUGGCUUCAAUGUUUAAGCAAAACUUUAUAGGCAUUAUCAUCUUAACUAAGACCAUGUUUCCUAAUUUUCUUCUAGUUGUAAAUGUUUUUUUCUGGAAAGUGCUAAUAGGUUUAAGUAUUUUUUGAAGUGUGUUUAAAAUGAUUUUACCAACUAAUAACGUCCGUCCACAUUUCUAAACAUAUGUUAACCGAAUUACGAAGGUGUGUCUGAUUUACUACCCUGCAACAAUCGUUUUUUCCCGAAAAAAGAAGAAAAUUUGCCAACCGAAAUAUUAAAAAUGGUAUGUAAUUUGGAAAUAUAGUUUCUCUACAAUGGGAAAUCAAACAAGAUUGAAAGAACACAAGAGGGAAAAGUUGAAAAGUUUAAAAUGGUCAUAAUCUUUAAAGACUUUAACGAGUAUAAAUAUUGCUAAAAUAUAUGUAUUUGUGAAAAAGAAAGGUUUGACAAUUUCAACUUCAAAUUAAUUAGCUAGAAAGCUACUGAAACAAAAGUGGUUUAUAUCUCUAGUUCUAUCUACCACACUAUGCUUUGCACUUUUUUCUUCCAGUUUUGAACUUUAUGAAUUCACUUAUAAUUUUUUUAUAUAAUGGAUAGCAUUUUGAUUUACUAUUUUUUAAUAAACAUAGAAGUUUAGGUACAAUUAUCGCACGCAUCGUACAUGUAAGGAUAAAAAUAACAAAAUAAUGAUUUAGUUAACUUAUUUACUUUUCGUGUAAACAUACAUUUUGGUUCAGACUAUUAAUAAUAUUUUUUCUUGGAUUAUAUUACAUAAUAAGUAUGGCGGUUGGUGCUAUACUGCUAUGAAUGUCAUUGACUUCAAAAGUAGAAGUAAGAUAUAAAAAAUCCCCGUUUGAAAAACAUACGUACAUCUUCGCAGAUAUGUCAUACUAGUAAUGAUCAUCACCGUAUAGUGUUAUGAUGUUAUCUAUCAAAUACAUAGUUGAAGAGUCAAGACAACAUCAAUUCUCUAUCUGUCUAACCAAACUAGACAGUCAGUGUCCUUAAGAGUUUAUUCAUCUACGUACAUAAGUCCUGAAGAAGAAAAUUGAAAAAUAAAGAUAAAAUGGAGGUCAAACAUAUAAAGCAAUGCAAACAUUAUGCAUCUACUUCCAUUAUCUUUGCACUAGUCAAACGAGAACUUUCUUGGUGAGCGAUACCGAAUUAUAUACAUUUUAUAUGCAUAUACACAAACCAUCAAGUGAAUAAUUAAUUAAUAGUCUCCGACUUACCUCUCUCCUGAACUUUUUGUAUAAAAAUUUUGUGUUUAUUAAUACAAGAAAAACCUCCAUCAAUUAUCUUUAAAAGAGGUUUAUAUAUAUACUCGUUUGUGACAAAAAAAAAUAUAUAUAUAUACUCGUUACUUUUUAGCUGCAUUAUUGGUGUGUGUUGAUUCAAAGUCAACGGAAACCACUUGAUUUGUGAACAGUCAACAUCCUUGAUCCUUCUACGCAAUAGCCUCACUUCUUUAAAAAGGCUUCACUUUCUUUAGCUUUAUAUUUACCUCGAUAAGAUAAGCGUCUACAUUGUACUCACAGAUUUAAAAAUAAUCUUAUCAUAUCAUAUAAAAAAUACAAAAAAAUAUACAAAACGUUAAAGAAGAUUUUUUUAAAUUAUUAUUUGAACUUCCGGUCCGGACACAUUAAUAUUAUGGAUUAGUCGAGUUUGUGUGUUUAGUAAUACGUAUGCACCUAAACUAACUAUAAUAUUAUGGUUGCAUGUUUAAUGACCAUAACGAUCAAAAGCAUCUAAAAACAUAAAAGUUGAAUAAGAGGCGUGGUGGAAAAUGGCAAUGUUCUUUGAUUGUUAGAGACAGCGUCAUUGAAGUCAUGCAUGUCACGUGUCUUCCUCGUUUCUUCUGGCUGUGAUGACCCAAGCCCUAUGUCAUUUAACAAUUUCUUUUAAAUUAAAAAUUUGCGUGCUUUUGCCUCGUAAUAAAAUUGUAGCGGUUCUUAAAGUUGGAAAAAAUUCAUAACUAUAUGUAUAUUUGUUUUUGUACAUCUAUUUUAAACCCUUAAAUGUUGAACGUAAGAAUAGGUCAACAACACUAUAUCUUAAAAAUUAAGGAGCCAAAGUCAGUGACAAACAAAAAAAAAAGGAGCCAAAGUUUCAUUUACUCACUUUUCGUUUCACCAGGAACCGAAUGUAAAGUUAUACAGACAAGAAAACAGUCCUGGUAAAAAGAUUCAUGUCUGAAUAUUUGUUAGAAAUGGAUUUUCGAAAGAUUUCUGAAAUAUCAUUGAUCAAAUUUAAUUGAUUGGAAAAUAAUCAGUUGAAAAUCUAUCUUUUUGGUACUUAACCUAUCAAUUUUUUUUUUUUUGAUAAGUAUGUGAAUUUUCAUUACUGAAUAACGAUGCAUGAGAUACAUUUGCUUUUGAAGAAUCAAAACCUAUUGCAUCUAAGAUAAGCUAAUAAAGCAAAGGUCAGUGACUACAUUUCUAACAAUGCAUGAGCUACCAACAGAUUAGAAAGUUGGUAGAUAAAUUUCAAAGAAAAUGUAACCACUGUGCAUCAUUUUUCUAAUCUGUUGUUUUCUUUAUCGAUAUUUGCUAGUUCAAAUGUUCAACAGUCGUAAGUAAAUUAAUCUUUAAUGGUUCUUUGAACUACAUCAUUGUUGUCACUACCAAAACAAUGUAAGCUGUUAGUUCUUUUAGAAAAUAACUGCUUAAUAUGAAUCAUAAUUGUCAACAAAAGAAACAUAUAUCAUAAUUUUGCUAAAAUGUUACUAGUUCUGCAAUGACAAAUAUAUAUGAGACUUUUUUUAGGAUAGCAUUUUUAGUUUAUUUUCAAAAAAAUAAUAAUCAAGAAGGAAAAUGACCAAAAUAAUUUUUUUAAAGGGUAAAAAUAUAUUUAUACUUUAAAAUUAACUAAUCUAGAGUUAGGUUUUAAAGUUAAGGGGUAUGGUUUUGAAGAUAAAGUUUCAAAUUUUAAAAAGUAAAAAAAUAUAUAUUAAAAUUUCAAAUUAAAAAAGGCUAUUUUGAUAAUUUUUCUCUCUAGAAGCUAUUUUUAUAACAAAAACUUAAAAAUAUCUAUUUGAGAAAAUUGCUCAAUAUAAAUAGCUUAUUUUUAAAACAAUUAUUAAUUUCUGAUGAUAAAUUUAUCAAUUGAUCAGCUUCGUAGCACUAUACAUUAUUUUUUAGUCGAUCUACGCAGACCGAUAAGCAAGGUGACAAAGCAGUAAGUUAAAGCAAACAUUCAGUUGAAAACCCUAGAAUUAAAGUCAUCUCCUUUCAAAGGAAGAGACAUGGUUAUAAGAUUAGAUACAUUUACUUUCACAAGUAGUUUAACUUGUAAAGCUCUAUAAUCAAAACUCAAAACCACACAAUUUAAUUUAGAUUUCAUAGGGUUUCAAGAAAAACAUUAAAGUGUGACUUUGAACCACUCCUGUCAAUUAUAAUUUCUAGUUGAGUGUGACACUGACAAAGGUUAUGAAUGCUUUCCUUUUUUCAUUUAUUUUGUCUACAUGGAGAGUGAAAAUUAAAGAGAUUUACUGAUUUAGCAAACUUCGACGUCGCUAAGUCAUGUUCGGAGCAGGUAUUGUGUUUGGCGCGUUGGUAAAUGGCAAUAUCUGAAAUAAGAAACUAAUUUUAAUAAUAUGUUAGUUAUUUAACUAGUACCAAAAUCUUCAUUUAGCUAAUUAUAUCAUUGAAAGAUACAGUAAAAAACUCUGUAAAUUACUAAUGUUAGGAGUAUUGUAUUUUAUUAAUUUAUAAAAGUUUCCUUUUUUUAGAUUUUUCUAUUUAAAAUAUAUUUUUUAUAAAAAAUAUAUAUUUGAGAUUACCAUAUUUACAUUAAUUAAAAUUAUGAAAUGCGACUUUAAUAUGGUUUUUAUUAUAUGAUUUGGUGUAUAUAAAAUACAUUUCAUAGAAUUUAAAUAUGGUUGUAGAUAUAAUUUACUAAAUAUCUUCAAAAUAUAUUGUAGUAUUAAGAAAAUAUAAAAAUAAUUCUAUUAUGAAUAAAAAUAAUAAUACAAUGGUUUGUUUAAACUUAUAUAAAAUGCAUAUACAUAUAAAUGAUUCAUUUACGAUUUUAAUGGGACUACAUAUUUACAUAUGAUUUUUUUUAAAUGUUAACUUAUUAUUUUAUUGAUCUGUGUCAUAUUUUAAAUUAGUCCAAUUUGGAACCGUGGAAAUUUAUUCAGUUAUCAUGUUUAUUAAUUUAUCUAGUAUUAAUUUAUUAAGCAUCAAUUAUAAUAACAAUGAUCUAAAAGUCAAAUGUCAAAAGAGAAAAGCAUAAUAAUUCUAAAAAAAACAAUGACUGGAAAAUGUAAAAGUCAAAACUCAACGUCUAGGCUCAAUUGAAUUCGAUAUUUCAAGUUCAGUAUCCACUCCACUAGUGACAUUUCCAUUACUAUAACGAAGAAAAUCAUCAUUCUAGUAAACGGAUUAUUGUACGGCUUUUAUAUUAAGAAAAAAAAAUAAUAUUGUUUGAAAACAUAGAUAACAAUUAAAAAAAUAGUGUUGUUUAGAUUCAUGAAUAACAAUAUAUUAAAGAAAAAAAAGAGCUUAUGCUAUAAGAAAAAAUGGAAAUUUAUUAUAUUAUGAAAACUAUAUAUAUGGACAAGCUUUAAAAUAUACGAAAAAAUGGCUGGCCAAUUUAGUUACCUAAAAACAUAUUUGUCUAAAAUAAUCAUAAAACAAAAUUUAAAUUUUAUAUAAAUAAUUCAAAUAAAAAUAUUAAUUUAAAAUUGAUUUAUAUAAAAAUUGUUUCAAAAUAUACAUAUAUUCAAAAAUUAAUUUUACUAAAUAUUUUUUUAUAACCAUUAUAAAAAUGGUUAAAAUAUAUUUAAAAAUACAAUACAAAGCAAUUUCAAACACCAACGUAAGUUAUGAUUUUUAUAUUUCAUAUUAAGUUUUAAAAAUAUAAUCUAUAUGAUUAUUUAUAUGAUGGUACAUAUAAAAUACUAUUAAUUAUAUGAUUAUUUAUAUGAUGGUAGGUAAAAAACACGAUUAAUUAUAUGAUGACACAUAUAUGAUAUUUAAUAGUGACAUGAACAAAUGAAUAACAACAUAUUUUUGCAAUAUUAUAUCUUAUAUCUUAUUAAAGUAGAAAUACGUUUGAGAAUGUUUGGAAACAAGAAUAACAUAAUUAAAAAAAUAUAUAUUGUUGUUUGAAAAUAUAGAUAGCAGUAUAUUAAAAAAAAUGCUUAUGGUAUUAAAAAAAAUUGAGGUCCAUUAUAUUUUUUAUAAAUUAUUUGUUUGGACCAGAUUUAAAAUAUACAAAAAUGACUCAAUCUAAUUAUUUUUUUGUGCAUUUGGUCCAAUCUAAUUAACUAAAAGCAUAUUUUGCCUAAAUUAAUCAUUAAACAAAAUUUAAAACAAAAAUUGAUUCAAAAAUAUACAUGUAUUCAAAAAUUGAUUUUUACUAAUGUAUUUUCCAAUAACCAUUAUAAAAUUGUUUUCAAUAUAUAUAAAAAAAAUAAUAUACAAAGGAACUAAUAGAUUGAGUAAACCUUCUUUCUAUUUUUUUUUAUGGACCACCGAAAUAGAAUUAGAUAUACAAUACUAGAAAUAACUAUAAUAUUUAAUUUAUAAUAUCAAAUAAACAAUAAAAAAUAAUAAUAUAUGAAUGUAUUAGUAUUCUUUUAUUUGUAUUACAAAUACAAUAAUAGCCAAACAAUAAUAUAUAACGGGACCAUAAUUUUUAAAAUCCAACAAUUAUCAAUUAGUUAUGAAUUUAUAAUGUUCUUACAAAUUUAAGCAAACAUCUGUGCGGACGCACGUGUGAAGAUUUAGUUUAUCAUUAAAAACCGAGUCACAAUUUAUUGGCAUAGUGGAUCUACGCAAAAGAUGGUUUAUCGAAUCAUAGUUAUUACUUAAGCAAUUGUUCAAAAAAAAAAUUGUACUUAAGCAAAUGAAGAACAAGAACAUACAAGGUGAAUUAAAGUAUAUGUGAUUGUGAUCAUUCUUAAUAAACUCAAAACGAUUUGAUAGUAAUUAUUACAUUUGAGACUUAUGUUAUAACGUUUAACCAGAACAAUCAAACGUGUGAGUUUGAGACGUUGAGUAAUCUGAAUUUGACAAGCUAACUUCGAUACAAGAAAAAUAAAAUUAUUUCAAAAAGAAACUUUCUUAAGAAGAGAAAAACACAAUGCCUCCUUUCUCUUUGAUUCUUUCAGGUAAUAACUAACAACUUUGAGUGCCAAACCUAACUAAUAGCAUUGUAUUUUUUGGUAAAAUUACAUAGUAUUUCUGGAAACGUUAUAAAUAAAUAUAGCUAGGAAACGUUUGUUAGAAAGUUGAACUAUGGCGUCAUUUAUUUGACAAAUGAUUGCUUUCAUAAACAAUACUAUGAUCCUAAAAAUAAUGAUAAAAGUUGAACUAUGGCGUCACUUACUUGAAAAAUGAUCGCGUUACAGUCUCGGUGACUGAGUUGGCUUUAGUCACCUUCACCCGCCGAGAUAAUUGAAAAUAUUUAUUUGAAUCGGGCAAUUGUCAAUAAUAGCACCUUUUGAAGUUUAUGUCACAAAAAUAACACUAGAAGAAGAAAGUCACAAAAAUGACAUUCAUUAAAGGGUAAAAUAUCCCUAAUACCCUUGGUUUAAAAUUAAAUAAACAAACAAAAAUAAAUAAAAAUAAAUAAAAUAAAAAUAAAAAAAAUGAAAAAUGAAAAAAAAGAAAUUUUUUUUAUAGUUUCAGAUUAUAUUUUUCAGAUUCGAAAUUUUUAUAAUUUUUUUUUGAAAUUUUUUUUUCGAAAUUUUUUUUUAUUUUCUUUUUAUAAUUUAAAAAUACUUUUUGAAACUGUUUUUAAAAUUUUUUAUUUUUAUUUUAGUAUUUAUUUUUUAUAAAAUUUUAAACCCUAAUUCCAAAACCCCACCCCCUUAACUCUAAACCCUAAGGUUUGGAUUAAUUAACCCAAGGGGUAUAAGUGUAUAUUUACCUCUUUAAUGAAACCUAUUUUUGUGACUUUGAGCCUUGAGUGCUACUUAGGGAACAAAAACUUGGUUUGGUGCUAUCCUAGUCUUUUUCUCUUUUGAAUCAUUGAUAGUUGGAUUAAUUAUCAAGAAUAAUUCAAGAAAGUAAAAUUAGUCAGAAAAAGAAGCAAAUGACUUGAGAAGAGGAAGUUGAAAAGAGAAGAAAUGGCAAAAUGUAUAAAAUGCGAAGUUUCAGUUUCAGAUUACUCUUUUAUCUCAAACCCAAGCAUCUGGAAGAUCAUUAAGAUUCUUCACUCAAAAUAAACAUAUUUCACAACUGAACUCAACAACUUAACAGGGAGAUCUCCAAAGAGAUGUACAAAGCACAUCAUAAACAUCUCCUUUCAUCAUUCCUAAUCGUCGAACACCCCACGACGCCUCUGGAUCUGUAAAAGAUAAACAACACUUAAAUAAACUAAGAACAAAGCUUUUUGCUUUAAUAUCUUGUGUGUGAUAGAGUACCGUGACUUUUGUUUGUUUGCUAGUUUGGCUGUUUAUUUGUUCCAGCAGCGUUAUAAGCCGUUCCUCAGAAACCUGUAAAAGAAAAUCAAAGUAGUUCAAUAACUCUUUAGAUGUAUAGUGUCAACAUAAACUGAGUACAACCAACGGAGAGUGGAUUAUAUAUAUUACCUUCUCAACAAUCUGUCCCAUUUGAGCAGCCCUCAAAAUAACAUCCUCUACGCCUCUAGCUUUCUCAGGUUUCACCAGUGCAAUUCGUGCAACUAUAGGGAAAAAAUACAAGCAAAUGAGAAAGUAGAUGAACUCAAGAGCAUUUUAGAUGGGGACUUACUUCUCUCUCGGGCUUGGGAAGACAAUAUUUGACUAAGCAUCAUUUGUCUACGUUCAUCAGCUUCCCUAAACAUAUAUAUGUUCCAAUCAAAGACUAGAGUUAGCUCCAAAAUCCAAAUUUAUAUUCAGCUAAAAUGACAUCAAGGAUACACACACACCUUUUGGCAUCUUCUUGUGCUCUCUCUUGAUCUGGAUUCUGCUGACUGCCUUGCUUCCCCUGCUAUUUAAAAUUGUUGGUCAUCAGUACAAUAAGCCACCAUAAAGUUGCAAUUCUUUUUUCUUUUGAACAAAACGAGGUAUAUACGUGAAGGCUGUUAUUAAAAGGAUUUACAGUGCCAUGUUGAGCCAUCAGCUCUUGCAUCCUCCUCUGUCUAAUAGCUUCUAGUUCUGGAUCAGCCUACACAGUACACACACAAGGAAGUAACAGAACAGAAGCAAACUUUUAACAUGAUACAGUGCCAUGAUUGCUCACAAAGUUGCAUUCUUUUUCAUUCAACACCGAACAUAACUCAUUUGUUCUUUACUAGAUUGACUUCAGACAGAUCCACCCAUAUAACUCAUUACUGAUUCAAAUCCUAACUAAUAAUCACAUAUUUUCGAAAGUAAAGAAAAGGCUAUCUGAACUAAAAACUGAUUCUUUGCAUCUGUUUGUUACACAUGAAAGAAUACUGGGUGCGAGAUAGAGAUUGAAAUCUCAUCUCAUUCAAAGGAACCUACUUUUCAAUCGAGAACACAAACUAAUGACUUCGAGAAGAAAUCUCACCAUAGAAGCAGUCUUUGCUUUUCUCUGGAUGCCAAAUCGAUACUCCGCACCGCAGCUCACAAAACAAACACCUCAAAAACCAACACAACAGAGUAAUAAAGCUCCAAAGGAAAAUGCAUUAAGCCCAAACGUUGCGUUUUUAAGACGCGCUCCAUCGUUUUUUAAUAUAUUCGUCCCAUCUGUUUUAUUGUAUUACGAAUUCACCCCGUGCACUUAAGAUUUUUAAAUUUACCACCUCGCCCCAAAUCUAUUCGGAGAUUCAAAAAGUCGAAAAUCUUUGCAAUACCUGCGUAGUGGAAUGGAAAUAAAUUGAAUUUAAACUAAAUAAAAAUUUUAAAUUGAUAUAAAACUCUUAAUUUAUCUUUCAUUCCUUCAAUUCCAUCUAUUCAUGAGAUUUUUUGUUCCUAAAUACUUUUUAACUACGUUCCAUCUCUUUCCACAUAUUUCAUUUGGAAUUAGUGAGAUAAACAUUUUUUAUUCAACUCAAAUGGUAACAUUUUAAUGGAAUUUUUGUGAAUGACUCAUUCCACACAAUUUUAUUCUAAAAAAUAUACAUCCAGUUGCAGCCUAAAGCUAUUGACAACAUGUUGUUUUUUUUUGAGAGUUUAACUUUGUAUUUCUAUUCUAAGUUUAGCUUAAACACUUCAAUAAAUAGAAUAUUUUGUUCUAAUUUCUUUCACUAUUGUUAGAAGAAAGAUACAUUAUUAAAACAUUGUAAUCACUACUCCGCUCGAGCUUGAUGAUCAAUGAAGAUGAUGCAGUAUGAUAUGUUGCAACUGCCAUUUUUUAUGUCAGGUUAGGCAGUGGUGACUAGUAAUUUUAAGACUUGGAAUUGCUUGUUUAGUCGAGGGCCUAGAGUUUAUAUUAGAAUAAGACACUUUGGUUGUUUCAUAUCUGUAAUCUACCACACAAAUUUCGCACUUAUUAGGCCCAUAAGUACGGGUUAUUACAAAUUUAACUCUACACUUAUGAUAAUAGCCAUUUGGCCCCACACCUCUAUGGACCUUAAGAGAAAAUAAAAUUAUUGAGUAGUCAAAUGUUUCUAAACCCUUCAAUCUGAGAGCUUGCCUUUGACGUUUCUAAAGAAAUCAAUGUUGAGUCGCCAUUUAUAGCAAGUGAAACCCGAAACAAAAAAAAAGAAACACACACAUAAUUCAGAAUAUAUAAAGAUAAAGAGCAUAAAAGGCAUGAUGAUGGUUUACCUAUACAUGUCAGGCCAUUGAUUUAAGUCCUACUCUGAUUGUUUGAGAGAAAGAUAAACUAAUGAUUGUUUUAAGAACUCGUUUGAGUAUGGAGGAGGUAUAUUGUCAUCGAUUACCCAGAUUUUGUUCCUUGCAAAUCCAUAUUGAUCCACUAAACCACAAUCUACAAACUUUAGACACACACAAACAACUCAAUUACAAUGUUACAUUCCAAAAAAUACAACAAUGAGAGUACUAACUUAAAAUUAAUGAUAAUAACAAAUAUGAACGAAUCUCCGCAGUGUUAGAGCAGCAACCGGCUUUUAAAUCGGCAAGGAGAGUGUAUGAAGUCGCCAUCGUCGGAAUCGGGUGUUAGAACAAAGUAUUCUUCUGGAUCAUGUUUGAGUUGUGUUGUCCAUCGUUGAAGGCUGAGAUAUUUAGACUCGAAGCUUCAGCCGUUUGCUGUGGUGUGCGAAGAGGGAUAAUCACGAAAAAUUUGGAGUUAAGCACGUAGUAAUGGAAGGUUGAGACGUAACGGAGAUUGGAUUGACGAUUUAGCUUCUGAGAAUUUCGUCAGCUACUCGAAGAAGCUCGCAUGCGUGGAGAGGAAGAAGCAACCUAAUACUAUGAUGGGUUUUGCAUAAUGGUUUCCAAAGGGACAAUCGCAAUUCUGUAAUAGAAACACAGUUCUGGAGAUGUGCAUCAGUAAACCGGAAUAACAUGAAAUUUAAUUUAGACGCGGGAUGGUUUAAUUAGUGCCAGGUGUCAAAAAAUGUCUAUAUCAAACUGAUGACGUGGAUGCAUGAGAAGAGAUGCAAUCCAACUUUAUUUAUAUAGAUAAGACAGUUUGCUUGUUUUAUAUCCGUAAUCUACCACACAAAUUCUAAUUUCUUUACAUAUUAGGCCCAUAAAUACGGGUUAUAACAAAUUUAACUGUACACUUAUGAUAAUUGUCAUUUGGCCCCACACCUCUACGGGCCUUGAGAGAAAAAUAAAAACAAAUGACCCAAGAAAGAAGCCAGUUCCGCAACAGCUGCCUGCGACAGACCGAUGAGUCGGCUCUUGCUGCCUAGGCUUUUCUCGAUCUCUAGAAAACAGGUAAAAACCAAACUAAUCUCUCUCUAGCUUCGUGUAUGUGUAUGUGCAUGUGUAUCUAUAAAUACAUAUCUUCCAUUGCCUCUCUCUCAUGUUUUUAGGUUCUAGCUGCGUCAUCGUUCCGCAAUCAGUACGACGGACGUCACAGGAGGUAAUGGUUUGCAAAGAACGGAUUUUGAUAAACUGGGUUUGAUAUGUCUGAGUCGAGAGAAAUGAAAUCGUGUUCCCUGAUUUAUUUUUGUUAAUAAUUAGAGUUUCUUGGUGUAUUUGCUGUUAUUAUCCGUUUAAUGGAGUUCAGUAGGGAGGCUAAGCUUCUCUAGUUGGAUGUAAAGGUGAAAGCUUUUUUUUUUUCUUUUGCAAUUUUCCUUGCAGCUUUGUUCAUUGGACGAGUGCUGCUAUGUCGCGUGCAACUGGUGGCUCCUCUGCUUCUGUAGCUACACCAUUUUGCUCCUUACAAGGUACUAUUAGUCCCUGCUCUAUAUUUCGAUAUUUCAAAUGAAAUUUUCACUGAUCAAUGAAUGUCUGAAGAGUAUUGUUAUGAUUUUCCAUGUCACUGCGCUUAUAAACCACUUCUUUACCUAAUUGGUUGAAUGAUACAAUUGGUGCUUAUAUACUUCAGGAUUUGUAACCAAGAUACUUCAUGUAUCUUACUUUAUUAAUUAUGGUAUUCUUUUUGCUCUUGUUUAGAUUUAUCAGCCAAAAAGUGUGUCCCAUGCAACGCUAAGGAUCUGCGCGCCAUGACUGAACAAAGUGCUCAAGAACUACUUCAAAAGGUAUUAUUAUAUUUACUAUGCCAAAUGAAUACUUAAGUAUGUUAAACCUCCUGAAUUAUUCCUUUAACAACAGGUUCCUGGAUGGGAUAUGGCUAAUGACAAUGGUACAUUAAAGCUGCAUCGGUCGUGGGUGGUGAAAAGUUUUACAAAAGGACUAGACUUCUUCAAACGUGUAGCUGAUAUCGCUGAAUCAGAAGGUAAUAUCAUCAUCAAUUCAGCACACAUGCUUUGUAACCGUUCUGUAAAAAGAAUUUGAAACAAAAAGAGAGAGCGUGUGGAAAGAUCUAUUACUAUUAUUGUAUCUGAAGCAAGGAUCGUUUUAUUGCAGGUCAUCACCCAGAUUUGCAUCUGGUAGGCUGGAAUAAUGUGAAGAUCGAUAUAUGGACACAUGCCAUAGGUGAGAAUCAUAGUCUGUUGUUCAUAUGAAGAUAAACAUCUUCCAAAUAUCAUUCUGAUUUCUGAUCGUAUUGUUGGUGGACAUUAUGAGUCGCAAGUGUCAAGUGAUGUCUGAUUCGUGCAACAGGUGGUCUGACCGAGAAUGACUUCAUUCUUGCUGCUAAGAUCAACGAGCUCCAAGUGGAAGAUCUUUUGAGGAAGAAGAAAGUUGCCAAAUGAGGGAUGUUUUGGUAUACAAACUCUGUCAAACACAAUCUUUAGAUCUAUGCAAGAUGAGAAUAAAAAGUGAGCUAGAGUUAAUUUUGAUGUUUCGUCAGCGUUUAUGGUUCUUGUAAAGCUGUUUAUAUGUUCUUACAAUUUCAAAACCCACAAAUAAGGUAGUGUAGCUAUAAGUGUGGAAGCAAGCACCGUUUAUUCCAUAACAAAUUAAUACUUUCAUAUCUACAAUAAAGUAUGUUUGUUUAUUUACAAACCACAAACUAUCCAACCAAAUCUCCAUAACAUAUUUACAUUCAAGAAUUUGCAUGAAUCUAUACAAAAGGCACUGUUAUACGUCCAAACAGAUAAAAGACAGUUCAACAAGUUCAGUCUUCAGAAAACGAUGAAGUUGUUGAUGACCGAGUAGUUUCACUGCAAACCAUCAAGAAAUUUUUCAGGUCAACUUCCUUUUCAUCCAUUAAUUAAGAAUUACAAAUAACCCUUCAACUGUGUUUAAAAUCACCUCCCCAUCUUCUGAAAGAGAUCACCAAGCGCACGGUAGAGCGGAGCAGCAGCGGGUGGCUUUGGCAAAGAGCCAAGGAGGAUGUCUGACGCAGCUAGCGACUGGCUCCCAUAGAACCGUGAAUUCUCACUUGUACGUGUUGUGAAGAUGCUUCCUUCAAGCGAGCAUCCAACAAAUGCACCUAUUCAUAUAAUUGCGUUAAGGUUAGUGGCACACGGAAGCAGAGAAGUCUAAGAACCCAUCUACCAAGAGAAUAAAGUAAUCUGCUAAAAUCUAUUUCAGCUCAAGACAAAAACAUGUACCUUUGCUGCAGCUAUAGGUAUAGCAAGCGGCAUAACCACCACUACCUGCUCGGAUAUCUGCUUCAACAGCUCGUCCAGUCACACCAACCGCAGCACUUAAACCAGCUCCAACAACAAAAUGGGUGUUACUCCCAAACGUUCGGAUGGCCUCGCGAGUUCUUAAGACAAUAAUAAAGUCUAUGAACUCUCCUCCUGCCUGCAGGUGAGUUCUUAUUAGCAAAUAGACAAGCAUCGUUUCAACAUCUAGUAAGCACCAAACGAGCUGCGUUACCUGAGCACCCCAUCCCAAACCAAAGGAAGAGAUAGCAGAAGGUGGAGACCAGGAGCCAUCAUCUCUACGAGCAACCACAAGUCCAGUCCCGAUUCUAUAUGUAACCAUCACUCCCACUCUGGCAACAGUGAUUACUGCAAGACCUUUUGCUUGUCUUAGAAUGGCAUCUGGAAUGGACCUCUCGGUCCUCGAAGAACCAACCUGAUUAGAGAUUUUCAAAUAUAAAAAAUGCUUUUAGAGCCAUUAAUAAAGUGAACUAAAAGGAGCCAAAGAUCUCACCUUGGAUAUAUAACCCCGGAUAGUGUUUGUUGCUUUAUAAAUCUCAUACUCCAUUGACUGUCCCCACGGAAAAUUCACCCAAGACCUCAACGUACUAAGAUCCGUCAAGUCAUGAGUCGGCAACUGAGCAGCAGGACUCACUUGGUCCAUCAGAUAAGGCUGCACAGUCUCCAACCUCACAAAACACACAUCACAAACUCUUUGGGGAUCCGAAACGCGGAACUUCACAGGAAGCAAGCUUCUUCCUCUAGAACAGUCUCUACAGAACAAUCCUCCGCAGUACCGACAGUGAUGACGCGAACACAUGAUCGGGUGAAACCUCACGCUACAAAGCAUACAAGCGGAAGCAGCGCUAUCUGGCAGCCACUUUGGUGGUUCUGUUUCGAGAAUCUCUCUCGCGUUGCCAAAGUUGGCUUCGGUGAGAGUGUGAGCCAUCUCUUGCCAAGCUUGUUCGAGAAGAUGUUGUCCCGCGAAAAAUGAAAUGCCGCUCUCGAGGUUGCCUGAAGUAAGAGCGGUUGCUUUACCACGUGCUGCGAGUAACAUAUCGACUAUCACAUCCCACAUUGUUAGCUCCUUGUCUUCAUCAAGGAUCUGGUUCCAUCCCAUCUCUCCCUCGGGGAAGUAACCACCGUUGAAGCUAAGCCCUCUUGACCAUUCCUCAUGAUCAGGCUCCAGCAUUGGUGGGACUGAAACUGGUAUCCAAACACCGGUUUCUUCAGAAAGUGGUGUGUCAUAGAAAAAGUAUUUACCACGCUUCUGCUGAUCUGGUUCAAGUUUGUUGCUCUCGUCUUUACGUAAGGUAGAAUCUUCUUGUCUAGCCUCCCUGAUGGUUUGACUUGCAACAUUACCAGCAUUAGAAUCACCAAGAUUGACAUCCUAUGAUCAACAAUCAGAGACGGAGAAAGUUAGAACUUUUAAAUCAACCUAGUAUAGAUUUCGUUUGAUCUAGAGAAGGAAAAAUAAAAGAAUUUAAACAACAUACCAUUCCGAGCUUCAAAUUUUGAUAAUCUGAUUCAAGUCUUUUGCUAUCGUCUUCACGUAAGGUAUAAUGUUCUUGUAUAGUCUCCCUGAUGCUUUGACUUACGACAUUACCAGCAUCAGAAUCACCAUGAUGAUCUCGAACACUGUCAUCCUAUGAUCAGCAAUCAGAGAAAAGAACUUCAACAAACCAUUUCGAGCUUAAAGUUUAGACCUUUGAGCUCAACCCUAGUAUAGAUUUAGUUUGGUUUAAGACAAGGAUUCAAAAGAUGAAAAGAACAAACCAUUUGGAGCUUCAUAUUCUGAUGAUCUGGUUCAAGUCUUUUGCUCUCGUCUACAAAGCCUUCAUCCAAGGUAGAAUCUUCUUCUUCUUUAGUCUCCCUGAUGCGUUGCCUUACGACGUUACCAGCAUCAGCAUCACCAUGAACUCCUUUAUCCUAAGGUAUAAACAAUGAGACAGAAACGAAAAAUUAACCAAAGCAUUUCGUGUUAAAGUUUAGACCUUUAAACCCAAACCCUAGUAAUUCCAUUUGAUUAAGCCACCGACACAUCGAAACUAAAAACUAAAAACACCAAACACAUGUGCGAUGUCUAUGAGAUGACGAUCACGAUCAAAAUUAACCCUAGUAUUAUGAUCGCGUAAAAAGCCGAACAAAAUCGAUUCGACUCACCAUAUUUUUUAGAUUUGAUCCUUCCUUCCUUCCUUCUCUCGACUUGGAUUCUUACGAUUUUCAGUUCCUUUCGUUUGGGGAAAAAACUCAGCAAACACAAACACGCGACUUUAUCCAGAGGGAAACGAUUACAAGUUAACACCUUUCUCAUACGAUUUUACUUCUAUUUUAUUACUCUGUUUUACAUUUAAGUCCUCAUAUUUUAUACCUUUUUUUAUAUUUGGACCCCAAACAUUCGUUUUUGAUAAUUUACUCCACAUUUUAGAAAGGAAAGUGCAACAGAACCCACAAAGAAACUGUCUUAAUUCUUCUUUUGGUUGUCUGGAUUUGUUUGUAUAGAGUAAAUUAGUAGGCAAAUGAAGAGUGGGAGCUUAUCUUGGUUGAGCAUUGCUAGCACAAAAGAACUCUCACAAAUGAAGCAAAACCAAGUGCACAAGAGAAACUAGAAAAGGUUAAGCAAGUCAGGCUCAGAUUAAGUUCGAAUUUGUGGUCAAUCUCAUGCUCUCAGACCAUGUAUUGUGGGCUUGGAUAACAUACUUGUGCCUAUGUCAGGUUGGUAAGGGAUUAUGGAAAAAUAAUAAAAUCGUCAUAAACUCUGAGAAGCUUUAGCCAAAAAAAAGAAAAAAAAAACUUUCAGAAGCUUAAAUUCAAUCCUAAAACUUCUUAACGGUUCUUAUCUGCAACUGCAAUCUGCCUUCACAAAAAAAUAAAACAUAUGUAUAUAUAUAAGCCAUGACAGAAGCAAACGGAAGAAGCCAUAAAAUUAUGUAUACCACCACUUAUCAGUCCCUCUAACAAACAAUACAUCAAAUCUUUGCCCCCCCUACUUGAUCCAAGACAAUAUUGUUGCUUGUGUGCUUCCAGCUGGAAAAAAAGACCUCAUGUUCUUCCAAACCUUCAACAACAGUAUGCUGUUUUCUUCAAACAUGCACGUUCUGAAACUCUCGAGGAAAGUGCCUGCAAAACAAACCACAACUUUUGAUCAGACGUGAAACCAGAAACAAAGACACAACGUGACUGAGCUAGAAAAUUGCACUGUUCAAAGCAACAACUCAAAACCAACGUUUCUGGAUUGUGAAUCUGUGACUACGUUAAUUCUCCAAAGCUAAACCAUGUGAUCAAGAAGAUGCACAGUUUACCUUAAUCAUCAUUAUCUUGCAACAGGUUUUUGAAGCAGAGCUGUCAAGAAAACUUCACCAUGUUUCGAAUCAACUUUGUUCGCCACCGCCCACUUCACCUUCUUAUAACCCAACUUCCCGAUCAUCGGCGCAUACACAUUCUCAAGAUCAACCUUUUUGCUAAAAAACCGGUCCAACCAUAGAUAACCACCACCUCGAAGAACCCGGUCCAAAUCAAACAAGAAAAACUCCAUAACCGUAACCGGAAUCCACCGGUUCACCGCCCGUCCACACCUAACCAAAUCCACCACACCGUCAAACACCGGAAGCCUCUGCUGUAGAGGCACGUGGAGCGGCACGAGCCCUCUCAACGCCACCGCCUCGCUAUACGGCGCGUUGAAGUUCAUCGUCGUGGUCAGGACGGUUACAUUGCGAGCCUUCAUCGCCGCGGCGAAAGAUCCGGUCCCACCGCCGACGUCGAUCCCGAGCCGGAGGACGGAGUUGGCGGUUUUGGCGAUCUGGAGGAGCUGAGAGAUGGGGAGAUCGAGCUCGGACUUGUAAGAAGAGAAUUGAGAUUUGGAUUUGUGGAGGGAGAGAUCGAAACCUAGACCGGGGAACUUCGUCGUCAAGCAAUCGAAAGUCUUGCACGAGUAGUAAGACCAGAUAACGUUCGACUCCGGUUUGGAAUCGGUCGGGUUUCGCGGCGUACGGGAGAAGCAGCGACGGCGAGGGAGCGGGUGGCAGCCGCGGAGGAUGAGUUUCUCGGCGAGAUCGGUGUCGGAAGGGCAAGUAAAGAAAGGAGUGUAGUUCAUGUACUCGUGGAGGAGGUCGGGGUAGUUGUGGCAGGCGGAAGCUAUGGGAGAGAGCUUAGAGUAGAGGAGGAGAUCUUUCGGCGGCGCGGAGGAGGAAAUGGUUGAUGAAGUUGAAGUAGAUUUGUCCGGCUGGUGGUGGGUUGUGAGGUGGUUGAUGGCGGAGCGGAUAGUGUGGAGCUGACGGAGGAGGUGGUCGGGGACAGUGGGGACAGAGGACGGUGAGGAUUUGAGGGUGGAUUCGAAGAAGCUGGUGGUGGAGGAGAGAUGGUAGAGAGAGAGGAUGUUGGUAGCUACCAUAGCUACUAGUAGAAGCAGAUUCAAGCUCAUUGUGAAUCCCGCCAUUGUUGUCUCAAGAGCUUCCUUCUCCUAGCUCUCGGAUUCAAGUUCUUGAAUCUCUGUUUCGUCACACAGAUUCUUGGUUAUUUUUUUCCUGAGAGAGAACCUGAUUCUUGGGAUUUAAUGGUGUCUUAAAGCCAAGAUUUCUGGGUUUUUUUCAGGCUGGAUUCUUGGAGUUAGUGACACUUAAGUGAGAUAAGCUUUCCAUCAAAGAGGAGACCUUUGAAGUCAAAGUCUUGUAGUAGUAAGAUACAAACAUAGAUCUGAUUUUAUUUUUUCUUUUUGUCAAAUAUGUAACUAAUUUUACAAUGGAAAAAGGCAUUUAUUCGGAUCCAGUGUCAUUAUUGAUUUCCCAAAAUUUGCAUAGAAAAAGUAAAUAAUCCUGGUGAAAAGUUGUACUAGUAAUUAAAAUGAUCUUAAAGGCACGUAGGAAAAUUUAACACAUGUCUUUUACUUACCUUUUCAGACGCUAGCUAUGUCCUUUUAUCGUGAUAAAAUGUCAUAAUAUGAUUUUGCCGAGGGCUGGGCAGAAAACCCGGAUCCGAAAAAUCGAACCGAACCCGAUCCGAAAAAAGUAAUACCAAACCCAAACCGAAAUUGAUUAAAUAUCCAAACGGAUUCAAAAUUUUGGUAUUUAAAGAAGCAAAAUCGAACCCGACCCGAACCGAAGUAUCUAGAGUACCCAAAUGUAACCGAAAUAGAUUUAUAUACCUAAAUAUAUUACUUAUUUUUAUAUUUAAUAUAUAUUAAAAACAUCCAAAAUAUAUAAGAUACUUUAAAAUUAUCUAAAAUACUUGAAAAUAUACAUAAAUAGUCAAAGUAAAUGUCCAAAUAGCUAAAAAAUAUUCAAAACACCAAAAUGCUUGAAAUAUCUAUUGAUGUUCUAUCCAAAUAUUUAAAUUAAACCAAUUUAUAUGUUAAUUUUAGGUAUUUUCACAUAUAUUAUACAAAUUUAUAUGUAAUAUAUUAAUUUGAUUUAUAGAUUUUGAGAAAUUUUAAGCAUAUAAUGAAUAUUAAAAUUUUAAAAAUAAUUUAAAUGGGUUAUCCGAACCCAAACUGAACCCGCAAAGAUUCGAACCGAACCCGAAUCGACAUUUAGAAAUAUCCGAACGGGGCUGAAAUCUUUAAACCCGAAAACUCGAAACCCGAUUAGAUCCGAACCGAACCCGGAUGGAUACCCGAACGUCCACGCCUAAUUUUUCUAUUAAGCUCGUAUGAAUAUGCGAGCACAUUGUAUGCUUCCUAACCUUGGAACCCUGGUAGAGAUUGACGAUUGUGGAAGGUGCUGAAUAUACCAAGUACUGUACUUUCUCUCAUCUUUCUAUUCGUAGAAGACCGAGAGGGAUUAUUAGUUUCUAAAACUCGAGUAAUGUUGGUAUUUUCAUUAGAAUGUGAACAUUGUGUUUUAACUAAAUGGUAACCUUGGUCAUACCAGUGUGUGUGUUGUUUCUUUAAUAAACCUUGUAAAAAGGCUGGAGAAAUGCUUGAACUCUGGAAAAAAUUAUUGCAAUGUAGACGACAUGCAAACUUGCAGCUCAUAGUGCCGUCAAGAAAACUUCUUUAAUUCUCCAAAGAAGUCGACAAAACAAACUUGCAUCUCUUCAGAUGGAAAGCUUGGUACUGUUAAAUGUUUCUGAAUUUAUCAUCUGCUAGCUUUAUAUACGAUAAUAUUUAGAAUCGAAGUGCAACAUUUGGCUUAGUUUUGUUUUGUUUAUGGGAAUAUUAAAGGUGAGGUAAAGCAGAUGCCUAAUUUUAGAAAGUUUCAGUUAAGACAAUUAGAGCAUAUGUUUGCUGUUUUAUGUACUCAUGGACAACAAUGCACAUACUGUAGAUUAUGGGAAAGAUGAUUUUAUUAUUAGAUGAAGGAAACGUAUAUAUACAUGUACAGCAGAGAGAUUAGGGUAUACUAAGUACUAGUAAUUACAAGAGAGGGUCCUAACUUAAUGUAUUUACAUAUAUCUCUUAUACGCCCCCUCAAGAUGGAGGGACCGCGAUCACUCCAAUCUUGGAACAUGCUGUCUGAAAGUGAGUUCUUGGGAGUGGCUUGGUUAGUGUAUCUGCCAGCUGAUCUCGUGUGGAAACAUGUUGAACUCGAAGCUGGCCAGCCUGAAUCAUAUUUCGUGUAAAAUGAUAAUCCAACGCAAUAUGUUUCAUUCUUGAGUGGAAAACCGGAUUGGCACAGAGGUAGGUGGCACCAAUGUUGUCACAGUAGAUAACAGGAGGGACUGCUAGGUAGCGAUGAAGAUCUGAGAGUAAAGAGCAUAGCCAUGUUACCUCAGAGGCUGUGUUUGCGACAGCACGAUAUUCGGCUUCAGUGGAAGAUCUAGCAACUCCCUUUUGUUUCUUUGAUGACCAUGAGAUAGGAUUCUUGCCUAGGUAUAUGAUAUAACCAUUUGUGGAUACAAAAUCAUCUGUAUCACCUGCCCAAUCGGCGUCAGAAAAUGCAUGUAGGGAGAAGCUAGAGUUCUUGUGGAGAAAAAUUCCAUGGGAGCGUGUACCAGCAAGGUAGCGGAGGACCCGUUUUGCCGCCUGCCAGUGAUCAAUAGUGGGCUUGUGCAUGAACUGCGAUAGACGUGUGACAGCAUAAGAGAUAUCAGGUCUUGUGAAAGCAAGAUACUGAAGACUGCCAACUAUAGAUCGAUAUUCAGACCCAUCCUCAAGAAGAGUGCCGCUAUUGAGUGUGAGUUUGGGGGAUGUAGGUAGAGGUGUGGCUACUGGUUUCGCGUCAGACAUGUUGGUGCGGUGAAGAAGAUCUGUAAUAUAUUUACGCUGCAUCAGGUGAAGACCAUUUGCUGUGCGGGUAGCUUCUAUGCCAAGGAAGUAUUGCAAGUCCGUUGGGUCUUUAAUGGAGAAGCGAUGAGCGAAAGCUUCAAGUACUCGAGAGACAAGGUUCGAGUUGUUUCCGGUGACAAGGAUGUCAUCAACAUAGACCAGAACAUAAGUGAUGUUGUCGUUGUGAGCAUGCACGAAGAGAGACGCAUCGGCUGUCGAGUUUACGAACCCAGUGUUGAGCAAGUGUUGUUUGAGCGAUAGAUACCAUGAGUGUGGAGCUUGUUUGAGACCAUAGAUUGGUUUGCGGAGACGACAGACAUGAUUGGGGCGGUCUUUGUCAACAAAUCCAGGAGGCUGCAUCAUGUAGACAAUUUCAGUAAGGUCGCCUUGAAGAAAGGCGUUGUUAACGUCCAGUUGCUUGAUAGGCCAAGAUUUCGUAACUGCAAUGUCUAGGACAAGUCUGAUCGUGGUUGAUUUUAUCACGGGGCUGAAUGUCUCAUCGAAGUCGAUCCCUUGUUGCUGUGUAUAGCCUUUGGCGACGAGGCGUCCUUUGCGACACCGGAUAGUUCCAUCAGGCAAGUAUUUCGUCGUAAACAGCCAUCGGCAGCCAAUAAUGUUGUGCUGAUUGGUGUUUGGCUCCAGAUCCCAUGUAUGGUUCUUGAUAUGUGCAUCAAAUUCGGUGUUUGCUGCGGAUCUCCAUUCAUCAUCUUUGAGAGCUUGAGCUAUCGUAGUUGGUUCUGAGUCCAAUCUUUUUCUGCCUGCAACUGAAAGAGUUAGUUUCUGUAUCGGUUUUGAAAUUUUAUUUUUGGCUCUGGUUUGCAUUUUGUGGAUAUUUUGUGGUUGUUCUGGUGGUGGAUUUUGUGGUUCAAUAGGUUGAGUUGACAGGGGAGUUGAGGUAGGAGUUGUAUUUAAUAAUGGUGAGGUCUGAGUCGUGGGUGUCGACUCAUUUUGAAGUGGAGCAGUGGGCUCUGUUUGUGUAUUGGGAGGCUGAGCCGGGUUAGGCUCAUUUUGAGAAUGAGCAGUGGGCUCAGAGGGAGAGGCAGAAGAUAGAUUUUCAGAGUUAGAAGGCAAUACCUGUGAUUCUGUUGGCACUUGUUCCGGUGGUGGAGUAGACUGGUGAAGGCUCGAGCUUGGGUGUCCCGGACUUGAUGACGGCACAGAGUUGACUGGUGUGAACAUAGAACUCGAGAGAGCAGGAAGUUCCUCUGCAGUAGCAGACUUAUGUGAGGUUGAUGGCAAGGCAAACGGGAACACACUCUCAUCAAAUGUGACAUGUCUUGAGGUAUAGAUACGGCUCGUAGAUCUAUCAAGGCAGUAGUAUGCGCUCUGUGUCUGAGAGUAGCCAAGGAAGACACACCUUUUGGAUCUAUCAUCAAGUUUGUGAGCUGUAUACGGACGAAGCCACGGGAAGCACAAACAGCCAAAAACUCUUAGCUUUUCAUAGUUUGGCUUGGCACCAAAGAGAGUGUAGUAUGGCGAGCGCAUGUUCAGUAGAGGCGUUGGUAGUCGAUUGAUGAGAUAGACUGCAGCAGAGAAGGCGUACGUCCAGUACUGCUUCGGUAUGGAUGCCGUAGAGAGUAGUGUGAGACCUGUCUCAACAAUGUGGCGGUGCUUUCUCUCGGACAUGCCAUUAUGUUGUGGUGUAUGCGGUGGAGACGUAAGAUGAGUGAUGCCAUGGUGUGCCAGGAAGUCACGUAAGGCAAUGUACUCGCCCCCAUUGUCAGAAAAGAGUGUGCCUAUCUUGGUCUGAAACUUGUUCUCGACGAGUGCUUUGUAAGCAAUGAAGACCUCUUUCACUUGUGAUUUCUUUUUGAGGGGAUAGAGCCAAGUGUAUCUUGAGUAAUGAUCAACCAAAACAAUGUAGUAUUUAUAGUUGUCGAUCGAUGUGAUAGGAGAAGACCACACAUCUGUAAAAAUAAACUCAAGAGGACGAUUGGAAGUAAUAGUUGAGUGUGAAAAAGGCAAACGAUGGCUCUUAUUAAUUAAACAUUCAGAACAAGAUAAGUGUUUUUGUUUGGUAGAUGAAAGAGGUAAAGAAAACUGAGAAAUAAUAGUGUUUAAAACUGAAAAAGAAGGGUGGCCGAGCCGAGAAUGCCACGAGAAUAGAGAGGUUUUCGGAUUUGAUGCAGUAACCAUGGCCUUUGCUUGUGACAGAGAGACAGGCCAUUCAUACAACUCAUUUUUAGUCUUUCCUUGGAGCAAGGGGACACCCGUGCUGAGAUCCUUCACCUGAAAUGAAGCCGGGAAAAAUUCAACCGAAACACCAUUAGUAUUGCAUAAACGGUAGACUGAUAUCAGGUUCUUAUCAAUAUUAGGAACACAUAGAAUUUUCUGUAAAGAUAAAUCACGAGUAUGUGUUGGUAUUAAAGAAGAACCCGUGUGGGAGAUUGAUAAUUUCGAACCAUCAGCAAUGAGGACGUCAUCAUUGCCCUGAUAAGGUUGAUGCAUCGAGAGGUUGUUGAGGUCUGAGGUAAUAUGGUGAGUAGCCCCCGAGUCAAGAAGCCAAUUGGCUGCAGUGUAUGGAGCAUUCAUCACCAUGUUUGCUCGCGGUUGGUAUGGUUGGAAGGGAGUGUUUUGUGGCUGAUGCAUGAGCGGCUGAAGGGUCUGGAACUGAGGGCAGCGUCUGGCACUGUGGCCCUGUGUGUUGCAUAUCUGACAUUUGCCCAAGUAAGGUCUGAAUGACCGCAUCUCUGGUUUGUUCGAGGCAGGAGCAGGUUGUCUAUUUGCCUCAUUGUUGUAGUUGUUGUUGUUCCUCCUAUUGUUGUAGUUGUUGUAGUUGCGGUUGCCGCUGUUGUGAUGGCGAUGUUGAACUGCAUUCGCAGUGGUGGGAACGAUCGCAGAGGGUGUUUCUUUGGCGUGUAGAAGCUUGGCUUCAAAGUUGAGCAGCCUCUCAUGUAUCUCCGUGAUGCUGGGAGCAGUGUCUUUGCCUUCGAUCUGGUCCACAACAUUCUUGUACUCGUCAGGGAGCCCGCCGAGGAUGAUCUCCACUUGAUCUUCAUGAUCAUAGGGCUUACCAAGGAUGGCAAGUUGAUCCAGUUUGGUGACAACACCUUGGAGAUACUCGUCAACGGUUUUGUCGCCUUUGGUGAAGAAACGCAGCUGAUCACGAAGUUGUUUUAUGUGUCCUCUACUUGGUUUCGCAUAUGUUUCAGAAAGCUUCUCCCAGAUCUGAGCAGCCGUGGUGGAACGAGAGACCAUAGGUUGAAUCGACGGAGAGAUCGCACCAAGGAGAGCACUGUAGAUCAGUUUGUCCUGCCUUGUCCAGCGAACAAAUUCAGGAUUUUCAGAGGAGACAUCAUCGGCAGUGAUUGUUGCGUCUGGAACGGUGGUUGUUGAAUCGAGAUGCUUGGAGAGUGCGUAACCAUCAAGCAAGGCAUGAACUUGAAGGCUCCACAUGAGGUAAUUGGUGCUGGUGAGCUUUGCAACAUUAGACAUGUUGAGAUUGAGAAGAGUGUUUGAGUUGAGAGAGAUGACUUCAUUGGUAUUUGUCGAUGAACUCAUUGUGGCGGCUAAGAGAUUUGUUUGAAAAAGUUUUUAGGUUUGUAGGAGCGUAAGCUCUGAUACCAUGUAGAUUAUGGGAAAGAUGAUUUUAUUAUUAGAUGAAGGAAACGUAUAUAUACAUGUACAGCAGAGAGAUUAGGGUAUACUAAGUACUAGUAAUUACAAGAGAGGGUCCUAACUUAAUGUAUUUACAUAUAUCUCUUAUACAUACAACAUGAACCAACAAGAUAUACCUUAUAAGCUUAGUUAGGAUUAAGAGGUUUGAAGAUUAUAAUGGGAUUAUUACAGUUGUGAUGGGACCGUAUUAUAUAAACUACGGAGAGCUGAAUAUUGUAAAGAAUAAAAUUGAUAAAAGUAUACCAAAGAUUAAGAAAAAGGAUGAUACAACUGCAGAGGCGAGAUAUUAUCUCUUUCCUUAACUCAAAAUACGUCCCGUAGUGCGACGGUUUGAUAACGUAAUGAGUCCCAAGAUACAACUGCAAAAAUCUUCUGAUUUGCGUCACUCUAUCAGAAGCCUGGCGAAACUAGUUUUGUGUAUACUCUCAGACUCAAAGAAAAUAUCAAAGAGAAAGAAGAGAGAAAAAAAAUAAUGUGAGGGAUUUGUUUUUUCUAUUCGUCUCUGAAUGAGCCUUACACGUUUGAUAUUUAACUUCAAAAGUUAAAGCUACGUUACAUAUUAUGGAGUCAACCAACGUUUAUAUUGUAGUGCAGUAAUGGAAAUUGAUUCUCCAUGACUCACUUACGUUGACAAAGUAAUUAUUGCUUUUUUGACCAAAUCAAUUCAAAGCCAAUGAAUUACUUUUGUGGGUUUGCAUUUUUAUGCUUUAAUAAAACAUAAAAGAUUAUCACUAAUAAACUUUGAAAGAAUAAGUUAAUUGAUAUAUUGUUCAAUCAACAAAUUCAAAUCCAAAUUCAAACCCAAAUAUCCAAAAUAAAACAUAUGCUAAAUUUAGCCAAAUAAAAUGCUUUAUAAGCUUUUUAUAUAUUUAUUUUUGGACCUCCAUUUUUCAUUCAAAAUAACUUGGGUUUUAACAAUCAAAUACACUAACUCAUAGUGUUCAUGGUGACGAUUACAUCGUGCCCAAAUUCCAGUUUUUCCGACAGACGUCUCCGUCGAAAAAUCCAUCGGAAAAUGAUCCACACCACUUUGUCAAAAAACGAGUUCCAACAAGUUGAGGUAUAGAUAUGGCUUGGGGGAACCUGGUGAACUACUUAAACAAGAAAACCUGUCAGUUUUUGUUUCUAACUUAAAGUUGUUUCACGUUUGACAUAAUCCUUUUAAAGUAACCCAUUAAAUAAUUUAGAAUGGGACUAUCCAAUACCAAUCACUUACUGAUAAUUUAAUCAAAGUAUAAUGGUUCAGGUCUUCAUUUAUUAAAACCAUUCUUCUUUAGUGUCAAGUCCAAAGGGACUAAAGCCAAGAUCUACACUAUUUAGUUAAAAAAAAAAAGAAACAAGAUCUACACUAUUAUAUUGAACAAAUAUCUGAAAUGGUUUUCUAUGGGUUAAGCAUGGACAACUCAGAGCUUCAAGGGUGAAUCCUCUGUGAUAUGUCUCAAAGCACAUGAAGUUAAUAGCCUCAGGGAGCUCAUUAUACUUGAGAUGAUAGCAUCAUCUCUUGUUACUGAUAAUCUGCUAGUCCAAAACUAUUCCUUUUUUCUUUUUACAAUUUUUUUGGUUAUAGUACAAUUUACAAUCACAUAUUUAUGCAAGUAAAAACGCUGAAAAGGAAUGAAGCAUUCCUUUUCCAACGCAAAAAAUACCAAUAGCCAAAGAAAUAUAUAAAAGAAAAAAGAAAGCAGAGUGCAAAUAGAAGCAAUAUAUAUAUGUUCAUCAAAUCAUUUUGUUGUACUUGUAUAGAAGUUCUGAUGCAGCAUCCCUUAGAUCUUCGUACUGAUAACAUCCAUCGAAGAAGUCAGCAAGCUUCAUCAGUUCUUGAUCUUCCAUGUCAUCCACAAACGGCUUAAUGUGAACUCCAUUAUCAGGCUGCAAAGAGUAGGAGAAAGGAUUAUCAUCAACUAGCAAAACACUCCCGAGGUCUCUCCUCGCCACCAACGAUAAGUCUUUGGCAUAUCUCCCGUUCACUUCCGUGCAUGAAUCUCUAUACAGCCGCUGCGAGAUCACACGGUUCUUGUCAAGUUUAUCCAAAACCUGCGAAGCAUAUUCAGGCAAACCGGCUGUGAAAACCGCCACUCGGUAAUUCUUACCGAUCCUGUCAAGAAACUCGGUAACUCCUGGUCGUUUCACCACAUACAUCGGUGUGACAACUCCUUCGAUCUUUAUCCUCAACAUGAAGUCGACAUUAACCCGGAGAGGUGGUUCCAUGGACGAGUGCACCAAUGUUUCAUCGAGAUCAAGAAAGAUGGUCCUCUUCUUGUCAUGGCGUUUUCUCAGAAGGUGCUGAUGAUGAUGCUCGUGUUUCUUGAUCUUUUUGUAGCCAUGUUUCAUGGUGGCUCGGCGGCUAGGAGUUGCGCUACCUUUGGUGGAUAGACGGAAAAGCCUGGAGACGCAACGCAAGAGGCGGUUGUGGAAUGUGAAGAUUGACAUGUUGAGGGCUGCUGCAACAGCAAUAGCCGAACAUCUGGAUUGUUGACGUUGAUGCAGGUUCCUCCUUCCAUGUUUAUGACAUCCAUGUGGUCUCUGGUUUGGUUUCUCUAUAAUUCCAUGGCACACCAUUUAUCAAGAGAAGAGAGUUUAGAAAUAGUGAGAAUGAUUCCUGAUUUUUUUUGUUCUUGGAAACUUUGGAGAAAUGGUGAUAUGUAUAUAAAAGCUCUAAUGGUUUUAACUAUUAACUUCCAUGACAUUGGCUUUGGAACUGAAAGGUACUUGAUUUGGUAUUAGUUUAGUUUGUUCAGGUUGUGAUUAGAGGCUCUUGAGUUAUUUAUAGCAAAAAUAACAGUUUUGGAAACCGACACAUAUCUGAGGUUUGAUUGUGUCUCCAUGUGUUUGUUCUCUCAAUGGACAGCAAUAUGUAAAUGUGAAGACAGUUGAGAAAAGUGUUUCAACUAAAAGAGGUUGAGAGAUUUUCAUGGGAUUACAGUUGAAGUAUCAAUGCUUAUUAAUUUUGUGUUACAUAAACUAAAUUGGGCACUUUAAUAUAUAUCUUUAUAAAAUGAAAUGAACAUUGGUUUUCAGUUUUUUUCUCCUCUAUGAUAUUAAAUAAACAUUUUAACACUCGUUUUUAAGAACAUAUCUUGAACCAAACUAUAUACUAUAAUAUUUUACAAUUUACUCAAAGAACUCUCAGGAGCUAAAGUAAACAGGAAGUGAGAAUACCGUUUCAGAGUGUUAGAAAACAUGAUGUGCACCAACUAUUGCUUCAUCCUCAUCAUCAUCAUCAUCAUCUACUUCCGGUCCGAUUUGAAGCCGGUAUGUCUCUAAGUCGUGUUCUUGGGAUGAUGAGAGAUCUGCAAAAAACCAACGCGAAAAGCAGUUCCGUAAAGAACAAGCUCAUGCUGAUCCAGACGAACAAAGUUCUCCGCCAUUUCCAAACAACUCUUUUGAAGAAAGGAAGAUCUGAUUCAAGCGAGAGGGACGCGUCGUACAGCUCUGGAAUACCUGCCCCUGGUCGAAACUCUGCACGUUGUUCGAUCAUCACCUUUAAGCAAGCGGUGGGAGUAUCCUUUUCCGCAAAGCCUUUCAACUUCAAGGUCAAGGUUUGGAUCUCAGAGACGUAUCCUGUGACCAACGGAACCACUUUGAAAAAUGUCUGGACGAGACGGAUAGGCUCGCUUCUGAAUCUUAACAUGCACGGACGCCUUAUAGUAUCAAGCAUUUGACCAUCCGCAGAUAACAAAUCCACCCGAACCUUCAAACACAUAAGUCAAUACCUAAUGCAAUACUUAGAAUGUUACUAGAUAACGUUAAUAACCUGAAACAUGCCGAGGUUUUUAUUGUAAUAGGACUCAGGCAACGUCAAGGAAAGAGUGAUCUCUAGCUUGUGGCCACGAGGGAUAGCUCGCAAUCCCCUGAUCUUCAUCAUCUCAUUACUCUCCUUACAGCUUCCAUCGCACGCAACACCAGCACAUGACGUAAUAGGCACAAACGCCUCAGGACUACUCUUGGUGUAAUCGAAAUUCAAAACCUCCUUGAUCACAAACGGUCUAUCGGCUACACGGGUUAUCGCAAACCCACCAAGCACAAAAGCCAAAACCAAGAGUCCAAACAACAAAGCGCCUACAUAAGCAGCUCUAAACAAACCCCAUCCGAACUUGCAAGCAACGUUCACCGCACGUUUGGUAUCUUUGAACCCACUCAGCUUAAGAGCUCGAAAUAGAAUUUCAGUAAAGACGGAAACUUGCGUGAGCAAGAAUCGUCUGCCGAGCUUGAAAGUGGUGAAGGGGUCGAAAGGGAAGAGGAAGCAGCAGUUGAGCAAGAAAGGAGAAGACUUUACGAGGCUGCUCAUCAGUUUGAAUUGAAAUCCGAUUGCUUUGAACACUAGCCCGAGGAGAGACCCAUCUGUUGAGAGCUUCUUCUUCGGUGGUGGUGGUGGUGGAGAUACUGCAUCGCUCACGGUGGAUUCUCCACUUUCCUGAACCGGGUCAACCCGACCCGAAUCGGUUACAACUCCAUUCAUAUCCAUAAUCACAACCAAGUCGGUCUCUUUCUCUGUUGAAUCAAUCGCCUCGCUGUCUAUCUCGCUUGCGAGCUCUUCGUAGGUGGGUUUCGAAAACCCAUUGGAAGAGGAGGAGGAGGAGGAGGAAGAAGAAGACGAGUCCGUUUCUGCAUCGGAGCAAAUGAACUUGCGGCGGGGUGCCGACCUUCGUCGACGGAGACCCAAGGCGGAGGGUUUACGGAGGGGGUAGCGACGGGUCAUUGGGAUGCAAUUCGUCUGAGGCGCCGAGGAAUGGAUCGAAGGAGUGGUGCAUCGAUGGUUUAAGUUAGAAGAAGAGGAUGAUGGGGAAGGUGACGGGUUUCAAGGUCUCGGUGCCGAUAAGCAUGAUACUUGACAAAUGGCAUGACCCAACUAUAUUUCUUUUUCUUUUUUUUUUUGUUUUUUUUUUCUAAUCGGCGGGAUCCUAACCGAGCGGGCCAUCAAACCGGAUUAUCUGAUAACCGGAUAUUAAUGGUUCAGCUCGGUUUGAUUUAGGUUUAGUUACGAACUGAUCUUUAUAAACUUAGUUUUAUUCGUUUUCUUUGCAGUUCGGUGGCGCCACAAAUUAUACCGGAUAUCAACCUUUUGUUUUUUUUUUCUUUUUUUUUGACAUCGUAUCAACCUUUUGUUUCAAAAUAAAAACUAAAUAAUGAUCCGUCCUUAAAAGCUAUGGAAAUAUUUUUGUAACAAAAUCUAAUUUGUAAUAUCAUUGGAUUUUAACAUUUUUUUGAUAAGUAAUGUUUUAACAUUUUUAUUUUAGCAUAUUUGAAAAUAUAUAAUUAUAUUAUUUUAUAUUUAUAUUAAAUAGAACAAUAUUUAAAAUAUUAUUUGGUUUUACUUUUAAUUAUUUCAACUUGUUUCACUACGAUUAAUAAAAUCUAUGGUAUUUGUUUGAUUAAAUUUGUGAUAUAUAUUUUUUUGAUAAAUUUUUAGUUAUAAAACUUACUUGAUUUUAAUUUAUUGUCUCUAACCAAGUAUAAUAUCACAUAUAUAGUUAUAUGUUUUUAAAAAUAAAAAAAUUUAGGGUAUGAAUGGUGACCAGGGAACGGUGAGGAAUAAUGCAUUCUCUAACGUUCCUAAAAGAAAUCAUCAUUCACAAGGAAUAAUAAUUCCUUCUCAUUCCCUUUCAUUCACUUUUUUGUAGAGAAUUUAAGAACAAAAAUAUUCCUUGUUAAAUUUGAUAAGGAACAACCAUUCCUUUUCAUUCCUGAUAUUUUGUUCUCGUACAUUCCUUUUUUAUUCGUUCCUCUUGAUUCCCAAAUGGUCAUCAGUCAGACCCUUAGGGUGUGACUGGUGACCAAGAAAAUGAGAAGAAACACUAUGUUCUUUAAUAUUCCUUAAACUUUUUACCAUUCAUGAGGAAUAAGUUUACCUUUUCAUUCUCCGUCAUUCCUUUGUUUGUAGAGAAUUAUAGAACAAAUCAAUUCCUCAUUAAUUUUGAUAAAGAACCAUCAUUUUUCAUCAUUCCUAAAAUUUUAUUCCUACUCAUUCUUUUCAUAUCCGUUCUUAUUGUUCCUAUGAUGGUUACCAGUCACAUAUGUUCUCGCAUAUUAAUUUAAUUAAUUUCAUACUAAAUGAUUGUUUUGUAGUAUAUAAACCUGCAAAAAUAGUUACACUUAUUUUCAACUUUUUAUAAAUUAUUUAAGUAGUUUUUAAUCAAAUAGUUUAAUAGAAGAUAAAUAAAAAAUUAUUAAAAAGGUAUGACCUAAUGUUUCAUAUAUUGUUUGGAAAUACGGUUAGUUAUUGUGCUGUUUGGAAACACAUUUAGUUCUAUAAUCUUAUUUUCUAGAAGAAUGUAUUUAACUAUGUAAUAAAAAUGUCUAUUUAAUUUAAAAAAUUACAAAAAAAAAAGUUGGGUCCAUGAGAAUGAUUCUGUUUUAAUAAGUAAGAUUUAUAAACUUAUGUACAACAAAUUAUACCAGAAACAUAUAAAAAUGUUAAAUCAAAAGAUGAAUACACAAAAUUAACCAACAUUUAUUUAAAUUUAACUGAAUUUCAUUUUAAGUUGUUUUUUGGAAACUUUUGUUUAAUUUUGUAUAGAUUUAAAAUUUGGAAUAUUUGAUAACAGAACCAAGGUUUAACUCGGUAGUAAAGAAUGUCGAACUCAAUUUAUCUGAUUAGCCGAAUAAACCAAAUCGAUUAAUCCGAAUGAACCGAAGUGACAUUCCUAGUUUCCAACAUGAAAAUCCGCUGGAACUAUUUUACUCCCUCAGUUUCAGUUUAUUUGUCGUUGUAGAGAAAAAAAAUUAUUUCAAAAUAAAUAUCGUUUUACAAUUUCAAUACAAAAUUUAUUGACUUUAUAUCUUCUAAUAUAUUUUUCCAUUGGUUGAAAUAUUAUUAAGUAUAUUGGUAAUAAUAUUUUUAUUUAGUAAAUAUAAAAAUUAUUAUUUUUAAUUAGUGUGCACAAGUAUAAAACGACAACUAAAAUGAAUGGGCGAAGUAUAUUGUGCACAAGUCUAAAACGGCAACUAAAAUGAAACGGGUGGAGUAUAUCCUACCUAAACUAUUUUAUAUUUGGCCAUUUACUAGAGGAAUGAGUUUUAGUUAUAUCCUAGCUGAACUAUUUUGUACUGUAUUUCGCCAAUUACAACAUCAAUUAAAGUUAUAUCCUAGUUGAACUAUUUUAUAUUUGGCCAAUUAGAACAUCGAUUAAAGUUUAAACCAUUAGUCACUGUCACACUUAAUGAAUUUUAAUUGGUCUACUUCCAUUAAGAACAUAAAAUGGUGUCUUUCCUAUUUUUGGAUUUUGUUUUUGCGCGACUAUUGUGGUCAUCUCGUCAAUAACACACACAGAGACCAUGGGAGACCAUUCAACUUUUAUAGGGUCACUGCUUUUUCGCUUUGUGGGGAUUGUACCAUUCUUUUUCUUCUUUCUUCUCCGUAAUUUCAAAUCUGACAAUAAUUUAUGGUUGUAAGAAUAAAGAUUUGUAAAAAGAGAAAAACCAGAAAAAAACGAAGGGACGAAAAAACACUGUUUGUAUGUAGUUUUUUUUUCAUAAUUCGACAAAGAAAACACUAAUCAUCAUCACACUUACCCAAACUAACCCAGACGUUUCAGAUCUUCCACACGAUUUUUAUCGUUUUUGAUGGGACUCUGAUUUUACGUAGUCUCUCGUCUGCAUUUUCUUAAGAGAUUUUGGGUUGCAUCGCUUCUGCAUGAAAUGUUUGCCGAUAAGAAAAACAAGAAGGGUGUUAAUAUCUUUGCAUUUUCUGUUUUUGCCAUCUUUUGCUUCAAGUUUUACAGUGUAAAUGCUGUCAAGUUACCAAAGAGUGAAGGUUAGUUUACGUUAUUUCCCUUUCAUAUUUGUAUAGUUUUUUUUUCCUUCUGGAUUCUGUGUUUACAGAUUUUUUGCAAAGUUUUAUUUGAUAAAUUUUCUUGAUUUCCAUUAUUUGCUUCAAUUCCGUUGAACAUGAGUUUUUUUUCUGAUUGCUUACCAUAGUUUUUUCUAAUGGUGACGUUGUUGAAGUAGCUAAUCCGAAAUCUCCAGGCAUUGAUUAGGUCACUUUGACCGUUGAGUUAAACUCUUAGUUAUGUUUUUCAUACGACGAUAGUAACAUGUAAAACGGUAAUUUCUUCAAAAAUCAUUUAAAUUGUUGGAUAGAUGGAUCAUCAUAUAUGUUUUUUGGUUCUAGGUUAGAAAAAGGUUUAGAUAAAUUGUUUAUCUUGCUUUUAUUAAUGUUCUACUCUUUGUUGUGGCCAAAAGUAUAAUCUUUGUUUUUUGCUCAAGUAACUGCACUCAUGUAUUAUGCUGUGUGUUUGCUUCUGUGAUUUAGUGGAUGCUCUGCAGCAAAUCGCCAAAACGCUGGGCUCUAAGUUCUGGAAAUUUGAUGCUGAAAAUUGUAAAGUCGAAACAGUGGGGCUAACAGAGACUCCUCCUCCGACAGCUAAGCAAGAAAUAGAAUGCGAAUGUAGUCCUACUAACGAAACUGAUUGUCAUAUUAUCAAAGUGUAAGAAUACUCAGUCACUCUUCAUAACUUUCUUUCUUUUUUGGGGUCUGUACAUAUGCAUAACGUCUGAAUAUGGUAUGUGACCUUGUCUUAAAAUGGCUAUUUGACUUGUUCUUUAGUGCAUUCAAGGAUCAUAAUCUUCCAGGAACUCUUCCACCUGAAAUACAAAAACUUCCCUACCUCCAGGAGAUGUAAGUGUUUUCAUAAAAGUACCUCAACCUUACUUUACCAAUUCUUAGUAAGCUGAAAAUUUUGACCACCGUUUCUUGAUAUACAUUAGAGACUUCGCCUACAACUACCUCAAUGGGACAAUACCACUGGAAUGGACUAUGACAAAUUUAACAACUAUGUAAGAAUAUUCCUUCUUAAUGUUUUAGCUUUAUGUGUCUAAAUUCUCUUGUAACAGUUGUAGAAUGUCUCUGCAUGCAGCUCUCUUCUUGUAAAUCGGUUGUCAGGGCCAAUUCCAAAGGAGGUCGGAGACAUGACUUCACUAACUUCCUUGUAAGUUUCGAGCAUUGGUCAACCUUCUUUGUCCUGGAACAUUUGUUUGGUUACAUUAUUUUUGUAUUUCUUGUUCAGAGAUCUAGAGUCAAAUGCAUUUACUGGAACCAUUCCUGAGGAGCUAGGCAACUUAGCCAACUUGGAAAAACUGUGAGAGUUUCUUUGAUUCCCUUCCCGUUUCUUACGAAGAUGUUAUUUUGUCUGAAAGAUGAGAUGUUUCUUGGGGUUUCACAGGUUACUUUCCUCCAACAAAUUGACGGGUGGUUUGCCAGAUUCAUUAGCUAAACUAGAGAAGUUGGAAGAUUUGUAAAACUUUUGUUCUGUUUUCUCCUAACUUAACUUCUUAUAUAAUGUUGGUCUCCUCCUUUGUUCAUAUGCCUGUUUGGUUUUUGCACCAUGCAGCAGGAUUAAUGAUCUCCAACUCACUGGAAGGAUACCUAGUUACAUACAAAAUUGGAAGGGACUCAAGAGACUGUAAGAUCCUUCUUUUGAACUCUUCUUUCUUGUUCUUAGCUUAGCACUCAAUGAUGUUAAUCCUUUUUAAUAUGCUGUAGUGAAAUGAUUGCAUCUGGUCUUACCGGUCCAAUCCCAUCGGUCAUCUCAACUUUCGACAAAAUGAAAAAUCUGUUAGUAAACACAACUCUUUUGAUGUUCUCCACAAACUUAGUUAAUGCAAACAAGCAAUUCUUACAGUGACCUAAAUUUUUUAUCAGGAGGAUCACUGAUAUAGGAGGACCAGUCCAACCAUUCCCUUCCUUAAAGAACUCAACAGAGUUCUCUAAGCUGUAAGUUAUAUUCCUUCUCGAAGCUGUUUUAUUCCAUUCAUCUCUUGAGUUUUGUUUAUACUACAUUGUAGGAUACUGAAGAACUGUAACAUUGCUGGACAAAUACCUACCUAUCUUUCAUCAUUGAAAAAUCUGGAGACAUUGUAAGCAUGCCGUCCGACAUUUUUAUCAAGUCUCAUUUAGGCUUGUACAUAUAAACAGUGAUAGAAGUGAUGAGUUCAUUGUAUGUUUUGUUGAUAGGGACUUGAGUUUUAACAAGUUGGCUGGGACAAUUCCCGCGUUUGCGCAGGCAGAAGAUCUACGGUUUAUGUGAGUGAAAAGAAUCUGUUGUCACAUACUUUUAAUGUUCUACCUUACUUUGAGUUGAUUUAAUCUUAUUUUUGUUUGCAGAAUGUUGACUGGAAACAAGCUCGAGGGAGAGGCUCCAGAUGGAUUACUAAGAGAUGGAAUCACUGUGUAUGUAUAUUUAUUCAGUUUUCUAAAUUGCUUUCUCAGAAGAAUAUGAAUCCAUUUUGAUGCCGAUUCACUUUGUUGCUGCAGAGAUCUUUCUUAUAAUAACCUCAAGUGGCAAAGUCCUGAAAGUAGUUCUUGUCGACCACACAUGUGAGGAUACCGUCAUGUUUUCUUCUUCGGUUAACGUCAUUGGAAUUUUAACUAAUUUUAUUGUGUUUAGGAAUCUGAAUCUAAACUUGUUUCAGAGUACUUCCACAAAAAAAUCGUAAGGUUCUUUCUUUUGAUCAUCUUUAGCAUCUAGAUGCAGUUGAAAUUAUUUGAACAUUUCCAAAAAAAAAAAACAUUCCACAAUUGAUGUUUUUGUAGGAGCAAGUUUCUGCCAUGCAUCAAAGAUUUUGUAUGUCCUAAAUGUAAGUACACUUGCCUACUUAAAAAAGCUAGUGAUGGUAGCUCGUCUAACAAAAGUCUCUUAUUAUAUAAUACAACAUAUUGAUAUAGAAAGUUGACUCGUUUGUUCUCUCUCAUUUAUGCAAAUUUUGUUUUAUCUGGUAGAUUAUAGCUGCCUCAAUAUAAACUGUGGUGGAAACGAUGUAACAGUAGAAGCAAACAAUAGCAAAAUAAUAUAUGAAGGAGAUGGAGAAGUUGAAGGUGGUGCUGCUAAGUACUAUCUGAAUCCUGAGUCUUACUGGGGAUUCAGCAGCACAGGGGACUACAUGGACGACAACAAUUUCCAAAACACAAGAUUCACCAUGUUUGUCCCCACAUCUAACCUGUCUGAACGGUACAAAACCGCACGAAUAGCUCCAACAUCUCUCACUUACUUCCAUGCCUGCUUGGAAAAUGGAAAAUACACUGUGAACCUAGACUUCGCUGAGAUGAGAUUCACCAAUGAUGAUACUUAUAGCCAUCUUGGAAGGCGUAUUUUCGACAUCUAUAUUCAGGUUAGUUUUUGCCCUCAACUGUUGAAAUUGAAUUCACUAAGUUGCAAGGCCAGUUUCGAGCAUAACCGGGUGAAACAGUCGUCUUAACCCCCAAGUUUUAGAAAGCUAUUGACCUCCAAAUUGUCAAAAUGUUCUUUUUAUUAAAAUUAACAUAAAAAUUGUUUAAGGCUCCGUAAAUCUCAGAUCCGGUAUGUUUUUAAGCCUUUCUUUUUUUGGCAGGAGAAACUUGUUUUAAAAGACUUUAACAUCAUGGCUGAAGCAAAGGAAGCUCAAAAACCUAUAACCAAAUCAUUUACUGUUGAUGUGACUAACCAUUUUUUAGCUAUCCGGUUGGGUUGGGCCGGUAAAGGAACCACCAGGAUUCCAGAAAGAGGAGUUUAUGGUCCUAUCAUAUCGGCUAUUUCCAUACUUUCAGGUAGCUUUCUUUUAUAGUACAAACCAGUUAUGAUCACUACAGUAGUUUCUAUUAAUAGUAACACCUUCAAUGUACAGAUUCUAAGCCGUGCGCACUCGCUGGAAGUGGAAUGAGCACUGGAGCAUCUGUUGGACUUGGAAUUGGAGUCGCAUGUCUUAUUAUCUUUCUACUAGGAGUUCUUUGGUUUUGUGGCUGCCUUCCAUGUUUCGGGCGACGAAAAGGUGAUCAUUGCCUCUUUUAGCAUUCUCUUUUGCUUUUGAUAUGGACUUGAUAACAUAGACCAGUCUGCUUAUUAUGAAUAUGAAGUAGCUAACUUGCAUCUUAGCCACAAGAAAGUGUUUCUUUGUUUAUUGAGUAUGAGUUUUUCCCACAGAUCCUAAUGAAGAAGAGUUGCCAUCUGGAACUUUUACGUUACGGCAAAUCAAAGCCGCUACUAAUGACUUCAGUCCAGCUAACAAGAUUGGAGAAGGUGGUUUUGGUCCUGUCUUUAAGGUAAAGAAUGAUUCUUGUUCUUUGAAGAGUGCAGUGCAUGCAUGCUGAUAGUAGAGUUUCAUUGUGCAGGGUGUGUUAUCAGAUGGAAGAGUUGUAGCAGUUAAGCAGCUCUCAUCUAAAUCAAGACAAGGGAACAGAGAGUUUCUAAACGAGAUAGGUGCAAUAUCUUGUCUUCAACAUCCAAAUCUUGUCAAACUUCAUGGCUUCUGCGUCGAGCGGGCUCAGAUGUUGCUUGUGUAUGAAUGCAUGGAGAACAACAGUUUAGCUCAAGCGUUAUUCAGUGAGUGUUUUUUUUUUGUUUCCACCAAAAUGGCUAAGUUGAAAGCUUCUCAGCUCUAAAACAAAAUGUGUCCUUUUUUUUUUUGGUAAUGUUUUAGGUCCAAAAGAUAAACAGAUUCCAAUGGACUGGACUACGAGGUUUAACAUUUGCUGUGGGGUUGCAAAAGGUCUCGCGUUUCUCCAUGAGGAAUCACCGUUGAAGUUUGUGCACAGAGACAUCAAGGCCACUAAUAUAUUACUGGACAAAGACUUAACUCCCAAGAUAUCUGACUUUGGAUUGGCUAGGCUAGAUGAAGAGGAGAAUACACACGUUAGCACCAAAGUCGCUGGGACUAUGUAAGAGGCUCUCUUUUUGCUUCUUUAUAGUUAUGGUUUGUUUGCUAACCAUAGGAAACUCUAUGCAGAGGAUACAUGGCACCAGAAUACGCACUUUGGGGUUACUUAUCUUUCAAAGCAGAUGUCUACAGCUACGGUGUUUUGGUUCUAGAGAUCGUCGCUGGCAUUAACAACAGUAGUUUUAUGGCGGCAGGAGAUGAAGUCUGCCUCUUGGAAUGGGUAAUUAUAAUCUGAUUCCAAGUUUUCAGUUGCUGAGCUGUUUUCUUGAUAAACCUUUUUGAUGUAAAUUUGCAGGCUACUCAGUGUGAAGAGUCAGGACACUUGAUGCAAGUUGUGGAUGAGAGAUUGAGACCUGAAGUCAACAAAAAGGAAGCAGAGGCUGUAAUAAAAGUGGCUCUCGUGUGCACGAACGCUUCUCCGACAGAUCGUCCUAUAAUGUCAGAGGUCGUUGCAAUGCUCGAAGGUUUCUAUCCAGUGCCUGAUUCAACCCCUGGAACAAGCAAGAAAUCAGGGGAUAUAAGGUUUAAGGCGUUCAAAGAUGUAAGGAAAGGCAUGGAUAACGACAGUAAGACGCAGUGUUCUGUUAACAGUUAUCCUUCUUCUUCUUUUUCUUCCACUAAUAAUGUGGAUACUAAUGUGGCUGGACAAGAAACAAAGCAAGAAGAGCCAAGGAGCUGAUCAUGAGGUUUAUAGUUCCUGUUCUUUCUCUUUUUUUCUUUUUUCUUUUUUAAUUAUCUGACUGUUAAUUUGUAAUAUGUUUUGGAAGCCUAUUACACAACUAGAGUCCAUUUACUGUAACUUUUUUUUUCUUGCAUCAUAUUAAUUGUUGAUUAGUUAGGGACUGAGUGUUUGUGGAAAACCAAAACUCAGAAUGUAAUGAAAUCAGUUAUCUUUUGCAGUCAUACUUUUGAAGCCUUUCAGUUCUACAUCAUGAAAAGAUUUCCUUGUCUUUUAUGUUAGCAUCUAUUGAAGCUUGAUUAGCUAUCUUGAGGACAUUCAAAAAAUUAAAAGAUAUGAAAUGACCAGUGAUGUUUCUCAGUCACACUUUUGAAGCCUCUAAAUCUAAUCCAAAGUGUUCCCAUGUAAUUGGUAUGUUCUAGUUUGAAUGAUUUGUGCUACAAACUUAUGUCAGAUAUUUUAAAUUGUCAUUAUCAAUAAUCAAGAGCAACAGAACAAAGAAUAUUCUUCAAAUAUUUUUUUUCUACAUACGAAAGUUAGAAAAAAACUAAGAAAUGUACAUCGAAUAUAUACGCUCAUUCCAGAUAUUUGUUUACAAAACGCUUUUCACUAUAACAUUCAAAAAAAUAUGUUUAUGGUAUUGGAAUGCGCCAUUUACAUAACCUAUAAAGAAAAAAAAAAUCAUGUUUAGCAUUUUUAGAGGAAAACUACAUCACUAUAUUCUUGUUCUCAUGUUAUAAUUUUUAUCUCAUUAAUUUUCUAUAAUUAGUUAUUCCUUAAAAAUGCUAGAUCGUUUUUGUGUUUGGAUACAUAUCUAUACAUUAAGGAAGUUCAUAGAAAGCAAUAUUAAAAAAAUUCAAAAUAAUGUUUAGAAACAAUCCUAAAAUCGUAUAUUCUGGAAAUUAGUAUUGAAUUCUAUUAUUUCUUUUGUGAUCAUAUAGUCCACAUUUUAUAAAGAUAAUAUCGGUUUAUAAACCAACUCGGCAAAAAUGUUGGAAUAUACCACAGUAAUCGAAUUUCUUGGUAUAUUUUCCAAAACCACGUUUUGUAAACAAUAAUUUAUAACCUAGAUUUGAGAAUAUUCAAUAAAUUUAAAAUUAGAUUUGAUUAUACAUAUAUAUAUAUAUGCUAUUUAUAAAUCGUUUUGUUAAGUAUUAAAUUGAAAGAUUGCAAUCUUUUAAAUUGGCUAAAUAUUAGGUAAUUUAAUAUAAUACAUAUGAUUUAUAAGGAAACUCAUAUUCAUCAUGCUUUUGUAAAUUUAUUUAUUAAAAUUAAUUAUAUUUAUGAGUGAAAAAAUGACAUUAGAUGUAAAUAUAAUGAAAAUUUAAGGGCAUAAUCCAAAAAUUUUAAAAUAGGAUCUUGUUUAAAUAGUAUAGAUAUAAGUGAGUAAACUCACUCGUUUAUAUGAAACUAGUAACAAGAAGAAAGAAACAUAUAAAAUCACUCUCUCCCUUUUCUUGUUGUUGCUCUUCGUCUUUCGUACAAAAGUCAAUAUAUAUAAUAUUAUUAUAAGGAUUUUUAAUGAUUUAAACAUCUAACUAUUUUUAAAUCGGAUAAAAAACCUCCAACUAAACUUUUAUGUUUUUAAACCCUCAAUUAUUCAACUGUUAACAAAGUCGUCACAUACUCGUUAAAUUGAAACGCAUCGUUUCAUAUAAUCACAGAAACGACACAAAAUCCUUACAAUCAACGAGUAUUUUAGUGAUUUAUAUCUCCAACUAUUUUUAAAUCGGAUGAAAAACCUUCAACUAAAACUUUGUAUUUUUAAACCCUCAACUAUCAAAUAUGUAAUGCCUUUAACCCUCCAUAAACCAAAUCAUCUUUUUUGAACAGGACCCAUUAAAUUGGAACGCAAUGUUUCAUUUAAUGACAUAAACAACACGAAAGUCUUAAUUUUUUCUCAUGUUGUUUCUAAUACUAUUUUUUUUUCUCAAGUUCAUUUAUUUAUCAAAAAGGUGAAUUUUGGAAUGUUAAGUAAUCUAGGUGAUUCAUCUCUUCACAUUAAAAAUUUUACCUAAAAUUUAUUAAAAAGGUGGUAGGAGAGAAAAACAAUUAGGAUUAGAAACAAGAGAGCUUUUUAACUUAUAUUAUCUUCGAUGGUUCUUGAAAAAGAAGAAAUCUAUUUUUUUAUUUAGGAAUGAAUUGUGAUUCUCCAUGCCCAUUGAUAAAGGGAGUUUUAAGCAUCUUGUGCCGUUUUUAUGAUUAAAUAAAAUAUUGUGUUUCAAUUUAACGGAUCCCAAUUCAACAAAAUAACUUUAUUUACGGAGGGUUAAAAACAUUAAAGCUUUAAUAGUUGAAGGUUUAAAAACAUAAAGUUUUGGUUGAAGGUUUUCUAUCUGAUUCAAAAAUAGUUGGAGAUUUAAAUCACUAAAAUAUAUGUUGAUUGUAAGCAUCUCGUGUCGUUUCUGUGAUUAUACAAAUCUCUGAAUUUUAAUUUAACGGAUCUCCGUUCAGAAAAUAUGAUUUUGUUAACGGAGGGUUAACGGCAUUAACGGUUUAAUAAUUGAGGAUUUAAAAAUAUAAAAUUUUAGUUGGAAAGUUUUCAUUUCGAUUUAAAGUUAGUUGGAGGUUUAAAUCAUUAAAAACUCUUAUUAUAAUAAAUAUAAAUAUAUGUCUUCACCUAAUACACAAAAUUAUUUAAUUAAUUAUUUUACUGUCAACUUUUUCUAUAAAAUUUAUAUGUAUUUGCUCUAUGAAAUCUUGAUUUUUUAAAAUUUAUUUAUUAAAAAAUUAUAGAGCAGUCCAAUUAAAAAUUAGAUUUUACAGGAUAGUCCAAUAAUUUUAUGGAGUGUUUGGAUUCAGAAAAAAUAUUGAUCCGGACAGAACAUAAAUACCACAAAAUUUAAAGAUAUUUUGUAUUGGUUUUUCUUUUUUAUUCUCUCUCUGAGUUUAAUUUGGUUAGCUUCAACUGCACACGCAAGAAUAGUUGAUCAACGUUUAAACAGAUCACAAUUACAAUUACAGUUUUGUUUCCUUUAAAGAAUCCUUGUCAGAUUAAAUAUAGCGACGAAAACACAUAAAGGGGAUACGAAACAUGUGACAUUCAUGAAUCUGUAAGUAUUCGCAUUGGCAACUUGCACAAUAAUAUUCAACCCAUAAUUCAAUCUUUAACUUUUAGUCAAAAUAAUGUAUGGUACGGGCUACUGGCCGACGCACUAAGAAGUCCCCGAGAAAUUAUAUAAUAGACCCAUUUUAAAAAAUAUAUAAUUGACGUCUAUUUCAUCUCUUCUUACUAUUGUGACUAACCAAACAAGUUUACACACAAAACUCUCAAUAUAUUCUAAUCUUUCUCGAUGACGUGGAUCGUCUUCUCGGCUCUCUUGUUCUUCACCAUCAUCACAAGCUUAUCCGUGAUUCAAACAACCUCCACUUCACCAGCUCUCCAUCCAGAUGAAUGUAAUUAAAUCAUAUAAUCUUAACUUUUUAUAAUAUCAGAGGUCAACCAACAUCCAUAACUUUUUCGUAUAUAAUAUACUCAAUAAUCUGUGCAGUGAAUGCGCUUGAGAAGAUAGCUACUACACUUGGUAUAAAGAGAGUGAACCUAAGUCAUGAAGACCCAUGUAGUUCCGGAACUCUAAUGAUAACACAACAAGUUGAUUUUGCUUGGAAUCCGGAGGUGAACAACACCAUUGCUUGUAAUUGUAGCUUUAACAACAACACGACAUGUCAUAUUACAGAAUUGUGAGUGUUGUUUUUCAUUUACUUCUUCUUCUUCUUUUUUUCUCUUAUCUAUUAAAUUUUUCUUUACUUGCAUUAAUUUCGACAAAUACAGAGUUCUCAGGAAUUUUACUCUCGAGGGGAAACUUCCACCUGACUUGGCCAAGCUUCGAUAUCUCCAGUCAAUGUAAGUUCUACCACGCACAAGUUUUAAUAAAAUCGAUGACUAGUCCAAGGUUUGAUACAUUUAACAAACACUUUUUUGGAGCUAAAAGUAGAAGUAAAGAGGGAAACAGAGAUGUUAAAAGGUCUUAUAUGCGAUAGGAUUAAAGAGAGACUUGUUGGAUGUGUCACACUUACAGUUUAGAGACGAACUGCAAAGAGAACCACCAUAAGAAGAGUUUUGUUUUUCUCUUAUUUGCAGCGACUUAUCCGCAAACUACCUUACUGGCACGAUUCCAGUGGAGUGGGCUUCAAUGUCACACCUCAUUCUCAUGUUAGCUUCCUCCCUCUCUGAAUAUGCUUCAUCUUCAUGAUUUACUAGUAACUUUGAAUAUCCUCGCAGCUCGCUCUCCGGGAAUAGUUUGUCUGGGAGUUUACCAACUUGGUUGCAAAACUUGAAGAAUCUGAAGUUCCUGUACGUCUCUAUAGUUUUCCCACUUAUGUGCCUUUUCAUCUGAACUGAUAUUGCGCUGACGUGUUGAAAUUUUCAGAGGGCUUGAAGGAAACCAGUUCUCUGGUCCCAUUCCUGAUGAAAUUGGUAACUUGACCAACCUUGAACGAUUGUAAGACAAUCUUUGGCUUUCUAGGCAUCUAAUCAGUUUUGUUAUUUUGCACCCAAAUCUUUGAUUUUAUGAAAAAAAUGUGUAAAGAGUUUGAUCGUUUCUAAAUCUUGGUAUUGCAGGUAUCUUUCAUCCAAUCAAUUUACAGGAAGCUUACCUAUCACUCUCGCUAAACUAGUAAACCUGGAGCGGUUGUAAGUUGUUGCUAUCCUUUGAAAUUAAAAAAAUUCAAAAGCUUUUUGCCUCUUUUGUAAAAGUUGUUUUAUGACCACCUAGAUAGAACUGAAACGUAUUUAAACCAUUUUUUUUUGCUGAGCACAUUUUAUAUACAAGCUUUUUUACUUCGUACUAGUAUGUGUAGUUUGGUUGUGAAAUUGAUCUUGACACUUUCUAAACGUUUACUUAGUUACAUGUGUGGAAAGAUAGUCCAGAAAACCUAUAAAAAUAGUUUUUGAAUCUCUAAACUAGUUGGUCUUUUUUAUUUUGUAGUUGGAUAUGUGACAAUAACUUUAGUGGAACUUUCCCAGCAUAUAUGGGCAACUGGUCUCAGCUUAAAAGGCUGUACGUAAGCUUGGAUCACUUGCUAAUUUAAAGUCUCCCUAUAUUGUUUGUGCUUAUGAACAGUCUAACCUGUAUCAUUUGUGGUCAGCAGAUAUCUAUACGCGAGUGGACUAAAAGGACCUAUUCCUGAUGCAGUGGCCAGCCUAGAAAAUCUUACUGAUCUGUAAAUUGACUUAUCUCUAAAUAGAUUAGCUAGAGGACAACAUAAACAACAUUCAUGUUUUAAGCUAUAUUCACACAUUCAUAUGGGCAGGAGAAUUAGUGACACGACAGGAAUAGACUCAUUUCCAAUCCUAUCCAGCAAAGUCAUCGACACCCUGUACUUAUUUUUUUUCCACUGAAUCUCAAGGUUUUUUCUGUUUUCAUUUUUAUCCCAACAUUUCAAACUAAUAAUGUCUCCUUUCCUGUUCCAGGAUUUUGAGGAAUUUGAAUUUGUCUGGUCCAAUUCCUUCUUACAUCUGGAGCUUGCCAAUCCUAAAGAGAUUGUGAGUUCUUUCUAAUGUUAUGGGGAAAGAGUUUAGAGCGUGAGAGUUUGUAUGCAAGUAUGAAAGGAUCUUAUACAACUUGUCUUAUGCAGAGAUUUAUCGUUUAACAAGCUGACUGGUGAAGUGCAAGAUAUACAUAAAGCACCAAAAUUUACGUAAGUAGUUACAAUCCAUGUUGGAUAUUUUAAUCCGAGAGUCAGAUUUAUUGGUUGACUUUCAGCUACCUGGCUGGCAACAUGCUUACCGGAAACUUUGAAUCUGCCUUCUUCUUCAACAACAAACCUAAUAUGUAUGUUUCCUCCUACCUGCAUGGCUUGAGAAAGUUGCAAUUAUCCCAACUAAUAUUCUUGUGUUUUAAAAAAAAAUAAUUUGGGGAGUUUUCACAGCGAUCUUUCUUACAACAAUUUAACGUGGUCGUCGAGCUGUCAUAAUAAAAGGUAUCAACAUGAAAUGGAACAUUUUUUAUAUAUCUAAUAUAGUACAUCCUGCUCAUUUUGAAGUUUUUGUUGAUGAAUCAGUAACAUUAACACAUACCGGAGCUCAAACUGGAAGAACAAUUUGUAAGAACAAGAAUGGUUUAAAUUCUUGUAUUUCUUGCUUUUGUAUACAGCAAAGAACAUGUUUCAAUGUUUGUGCUUAUAUGAUAUAGCUUAAUAUUCUGAUCUCUUUCUCAUACAGAACUGGUCUUCUUCCAUGCGCUGGUCCAAUCACCUGCAAGAGCUGUUAGUACAUAUUGAGCUUAAUAUAGACACUUUUUGAGUUUUUUCACUUUCUAUUAAUGGUUGAUAUACUCAUAUUUUUUCUUAUUGUAGAUCAGAGAUCACUACAUAUAAAUUGCGGUGGAGGAACUGUACAGAUUACAAACUCCUCUCGUAGAAUCACCUAUCAAGCUGAUAACAAUAAGGUCUUGGCGGCAACAAAUCUUCACAUGGAAGGAUGGGGAAUCAGCAACACAGGUGACUUUACCGACGAUACAAGUGAUGAUGACACGUUUAUCAUUUCAACUAGUUUAAGAAUAUCUGGAGGUUCUCCUGAUAUAUAUAAGACCGCACGUCGAUCUGCACUCUCUCUAGUUUAUUAUGCGUUUUGUUUGGAAAAUGGAGCAUACAAUGUGAAACUCCAUUUUAUGGAAAUCCAGUUUUCAGACAAAGAAGUAUACAGUCGUAUAGGCAGACGCAUAUUUGAUGUUUAUGUUCAGGUAAAGCGUCACUACUUGUUACACGUAAGAAUAUAUAUGUUUUCAAUCAUGCAUGGAAGAUUGAAGUGUUUUGUCCUUUCUCUAGGGAGAACUGUUCUUGAAGGAUUUUAACAUUAAAGAUGAGGCUAAUGGGACUCUGAAUCCUGUUGUAAAAGAAUUGAAGGCUGUUAAUGUGACUGAUCAUAUGUUAGAGAUUCGGUUGUAUUGGGCGGGUAAAGGGACAACUUUCAUCCCCAACCGAGGAUACUAUGGUCCUCUUAUCUCUGCUAUCUCCUUGUGUCACAGUAAGUAUUCCCUUUCGUGGCUUUCUUCAGAUUGAGUUUCGUCACCUUCAUCUUCUUGACACUGAUUCUAAUGAUAAUUUUUCAUCUUUCAAAAUUUCAGGUCAUGAUCCACUAUGUGGAGGUUCUAAGACAAAACAAAAACUACUUUGUUAAAAAUGUAUUUUGUCUGGUUGGUUUAUAUAUGAUGCAAGUGUAUAUAUUUACACUUUUAAUGUAUCAUUUGCAGCGGAGAAAAUAAAACAUCACAUUAAUUAUCCUCUAGUUUUGGGGGCAACGGGUGCGUUUGUAACAACCACACUCUUGGCUUUGGGAAUAUAUGCUUGGAGGAGACGCAGGGAAGACAAGAUUACGAGAGAAAGAGGUACCAAAGUCCACAUAAUAUGAACCCUUUAGCCAUAUAUGCUCAAAUCAGUACUAAUGAUUUAUCUUUUGGACCUGAGCACAUAGAUUUGAGAUCCGAGAGUCUGCAAACGGUUUGCUAUACUUGGAAGCAACUGAAAGCUGCAACAAACAAUUUUGACCAAGCCAACAAACUUGGAGAAGGAGGUUUCGGAGCUGUAUUCAAAGUAUGCUAAUUUAUAUGCCAAUAUCUGAGAAUGUAAGGCUGUUAUUUGGUUUCUGAUAUGAGCAUGUUAAUGCAGGGACAGCUGCCGGAUGGAACUAUCAUAGCAGUGAAGCAGCUUUCUUCCAAGUCACACCAAGGAAACCGUGAGUUUGUGAAUGAGAUAGGAAUGAUCUCAGGUCUGAAUCAUCCAAACCUUGUCAAGCUUUAUGGAUGUUGUGUUGAGAAGAAUCAGUUGUUACUCGUCUAUGAGUACAUGCAAAAUAACUCACUUGCUCUUGUGCUGCAUGGUAAGUACCAAUCAUUCAGCUUUUCUUCUUGUUUUUUCAAGUGUAUAGAACACAUCAUUUCUCUUUGGUUUAAAUAUAUUUCCAGAAAAGAGCUCCCUGAAACUGGAUUGGGUAGCAAGGAAAAAAAUAUGUGUUGGAAUUGCAAAAGGCCUUGAGUUCCUCCAUGAGGGAUCGAUGAUCCGGAUGGUUCACCGUGACAUAAAAACCAGCAACGUGCUUCUAGAUGCCGACCUUAAUGCAAAGAUAUCGGACUUUGGAUUGGCUAGGCUCCAUCAAGAAGAAAACACUCACAUUAGUACCAAAGUCGCUGGAACCAUGUAAGUUUAGAACAUAAAACUAAAACAAAAAGCUGCACCAUUAGCUCAGUGUUGGUAUAUCUUGUAAUGCAGGGGAUAUAUGGCUCCAGAAUAUGUACUAUGGGGUCAGUUAACAGAGAAAGUAGACGUGUAUAGCUUUGGGGUUGUGGUAAUGGAGAUUGUUAGUGGACAGAGUAAUACUAAACACAAGGGAAGUGAUGAUGAUGAAGUCUCCCUUAUCAAUUGGGUAAAAUCUUGGAGCUUUCCUUUCUCUUUAUCCCAUUUGAUUCAAAACUUAUAAAGUGUAAUGAAAUGUAUUUUUUUUUAUAAAUCAAAUGUCAGGCACUGACGCUGCAACAGAAAGGGGACAUACUGGAGAUUGUAGAUCCAAUGCUGGAAGGUGAAUUUAACAGUAAAGAAGCUGCGAGGAUGAUAAAUGUUGCUCUUGUUUGCACAAAUUCAUCUCCUUCGAUGAGGCCAACAAUGUCAGAAGCCGUGCAAAUGCUGGAGGGAGUGAUUGAAAUAAAAGAGGUUAUGCCAGAUUCUGGUUUAUAUGGACACGACUGGAGCAUGUCAAAGCUCAUGCACAUUGAUACACGUGGACGCUCGAGCACCUCUGGUGUGACGGAUCAAACAGAAACAUCAAUGAAAUCCUCUGUUUCUGGUUUUGAUCUCUACCAGUAUCCUUCGUCAUCACUGGAAUGUCCCUAGUGCUCGCCUGAAGCAAAUAACAAUGAAAUCAGAAUACACCAAGUCUCUGUGUCUGCUUAUGAUCUGUACAUACUAUGUACGGAGUCCAUUAAACUUGACCAUUCCAUUAUGUCUCUCUCUUUAAACAAGUGCUCUCUCCGUGCGCUAGGAUUUUGUUCUUGUUAACUCACUCACUAUCUGUUUCGUACUUGUGUAACAAUGCACAAGCACACACUCAUACUCUCUUGACUCUCUCACGUUUUUUUAUUCUUGUAGAGGGAAGAGAGAACACUUUGUAUGUCUACAUUGUUAACCCAUUUUCUUCAUUACAUACAAACUUACACAUACAUAUAGUUGUUUUCUCACUAACAACUCCACACUCACGUACUUAGAGCAUGCACAGUAGAGGUUUAGAGAAGGAGAUCGCACGUUUUACGAAAAAAAAAAAAAUUAAAAAAAGCAAAACCGAUGAGCUCGGCUCGUCUCGCCUCUUGUGCGUGAUACCCUCUCUCCUAAAGUUCAUCACUGUAGCACGGGUCCCACGACUGGUCUAAUUUUUUUUUUUUUUUUUUUUUAAAAAAAAAAAAAAUAUUAGUAAUAAAAAAUUGAAAAGUUGAAAAGUCCCACGACACGUGGAGGUUCACUGAUGCUCUUGCUCUUAGACUUGUACACUUUAUAGUACAACUCUAGGCUUUACUUCUACUAACCACUCUUAACAACUAUAUCUUAGGUCGACUUUAACCAACACCAACACUCCUUAUUGUAGACUUGUAGGCUUUGUCUAAACAAAUGGUUAGUUGCAUCUUGACUUUGUUUGUUGUGACCAAAUCACAGCUCAACUCCUCUUUGGUUUGUAACCAGUAUCAAGUGGCAUCUUCUCCCACUUUGACUUUCUUCUUCUACGUGACUCCUUGGUCACUUCUUCUUGUUCUUUUUCUUGUCUGGCAAGGGCCACUUCUUCUCGCUUGAUUCUUCUACUCUUUAUAUGUUUAAUCAAAGGUUAAAUUCCAACACUUGCACCAUUUCAAUUUUAGUUAAAAAGAAAAAGAAAUCUAGAAGCUCCUUCUAACAGUUUCACUUGUUUUCUUAAUCCUUAAUUGUCUUGCGUUUACAUAGAUACCUAACGUCCUUGCGUUCACAAGAGAGUCAAACCUAAUUACAAAUAUUAGUCUGUUUAGUUAUUUGCUUUAACUUAUACUCUUUCAUUUUUGCAUUCCUCGUUAAUUAAUUAUUACUAGGUGAUGACCCGCGGAAAAGCGUACAUAUUUAAAUUAAGGGACAAAACUAUAUGCACUCCUAUAAAAGCUUGCAUGUAAUAUAACAACCUAUAAACUACCGAGAGGUUGAGCCUCCGACUGAAGAAAAUUACAUAUAAACUAUUACAUGUUUCAUGUUUCUCAAGAGCUGAAGCUCAGAAGAUGGAUUAUGCCUUUUAAGCUCAUAUCAACCAAUCGCAGGCUCCUCUUCUGGAUUUAUACGUGCUGUUUUAAAUUGAUUCUGCACCGAAGGCAUAAUCAACACAAAACAUAAAAUGAUUCUGCACCAAAAUAAGUCGACAUCGUAUCUAACGGUUUCAAGUUAAUUAGAUUUAUAUGUUAUGUUUUUAAAUUGAUUAAGUUAGGUUAGUUCUUUAUUCUUGUUUCUUAACCGAAGACACUACACAACUAAAAAUAACACAUUAUUAUAGUUUAUUUCUGUCAAGAUAACUUAACAGUAGAUAAUCCUCAAUUAAACUCGAAGAUAGAAGGCUAAAAACCGCAGAAUCAUAAAAAGAGAAAACAUCAACACCACAUUGCAAAAACAAAAAAAACUCAAUUAUUCAGAAAAUACUUAUUCUUGGGUUCAUCAACCAAUAGGAUUGUGUUGUUUUUUAUCCGAUAUCUUUUAUAAAAAGAAACCAAAUAUUGUCAAGUUAUAUUAUAUUUUUAAAAUAAAAGAUUAAAAAUAAAUAAAUAAUAGUAAUUACAAAAAAAAUAUUUUUAACGUCGUCAGGAAAAAACUAUAUCCUAAACCAUAAAAGUGAAUUAAUUAAGAAGGAUUAAAAUGUUCUUAUUUCUUACUUUUUUGAAAGUUUCAUUCUUUGGAAGUUUAGGGUGAAAUAAAAUGUGAGAACAUCAUUCAUAGCUCCUCACAUAUUUGAAAACCACCUGCUUACGUUCUCAAAUCAAAGAUGGAGUUCAUAGAACUCGUUUUUGUUUAGUGUCGCAGUUUAGAUUUAGGUUGGUAGUGAUGCUGGAGGAAUGAGUUUAGUUUGUUAUAUAUAGUCCUCAAACUUAAGGUAUAGGGACACAUUAAUUGAAUAUAAACAAAUAUUGUGUAAAUAUGUUUCAUUGCUAGAUUUCCCAACAUUCACGCAAGAAAUGUUAAGCAAAUUGGAUAAGUAUUAUAUUAUCGUUCCUAACUAUGGAAAACAAUUAAUAUUCAAUACCGUAACUGACCCGUAGACCAAUAUAUACACUUUUGCAUCACCAUUUAUUAAAACAAUAACUACUUUUGCAUAAAUAUUGGAGCUAACGUUCGUUUAAAUUUAUAACACUUUACUUUUUUCAAAUAUCUAUGAAAUUUCUUAUAUCUCUUAUAUAUUUCAUACUAGUGGUUGGCCCACCCUACGGGCGGGGAAGUUUACGCUAAAACUAUUGUAUAUGAAAAUAUAUAUUAAUUUUAUAAAAAAAUUUGAAAGUUUACUUUAAAAUAAAAUAAUAAAUAUAAUAUUUUAAAAAAAUAUGAAAUUGUAUUUAUUAAUAUUUUUUCGUUUGAGUUGAAAAGACCUCUACCAUUUUUUAGUUAUAGAAUACAAAAAUUAUGAAAUUAAAAAAUUAAGAAAAUGUAAUGAUUUACAUUUCUUAUUUUAUUUCUAUUUCACUUUGAUAUAGUUGAAGAAAAUCUAAAGUAAGAAUAACAUUUUUUAAAAAAGUUUCUAAGAGUAUAAUUAUAAUACUAUUACAAUUAAUUAUUGUCUCCCGAUUAUAAAUUAAUCCACUUCCAAGAUAAAUCAAUUGAAAAUAUAAUGUAAUGUAAUAAAAUUAUAAAAAGUUAUAUUUUAAUGUAAUGUAUAAAUAGUUUCAAUAGUUUCACAAAUAACAAUUAAUCUAUAUUAUUUUACAACAAAAUUAUGUUUCAAAACAAACCAAACCAGAACCAAAGUAGACCCAAAAUUUAUUAGUCAGUUUCUACUAUUGUUGUCCAACCGGAACAAAAACACUAACAUACAAAUUGAAAUUCAUAAAUAGUCAGUUUCAUUGUUAAUUGUCUAAACGCAACAUGAAACACUUUGGUUGCCUCUAUACUAUUUGGUUUUCAGUUCGAUUCUGAUUUUUAUUGGUUUUCUGGUUCUAAAGAUAUUGGUUACCGUUCGGUUAUUUAUAAAUUUGCUAUUUUGGUUUUUGUUCAAGUUUGGAUAACAAUAGUAGAAACUGAGUAACAAAUUUUGGAUCCCUUUUGGUUCUGGUUUGGUUUGUUUUUCGAUUCUCGUUUUAUAUACCUAGACCUAGUUGCUUUAAGCUUUUACACAAACACACAAAAGAGACUAUUUGAAAAUAAAUAUCUUGAAAGUAUAACAAUAAUCUGUAUGCAAUAGGUUAAAAAAGAAAUGCGGGCUUUCCUCCCUCAUGAACUAACAAUACUACAAUAACUUAAAGACUCUUCUUUUGGAAUAGAUGGAUCUGGUCUCCCUCAAGUACUUCAAGCAUUACCCAAAAGAGUAAACAUCAGACUUGUCAGUCAAUUGUUAUCUUGUACUGGUCUGGAUCAAGAUAAUGAAUCUUCAUAUACCGUCGUACUCACACGUGUCUGGUCAGGAUCUGGACGUCUUAAACAAUCCAAAUUCUGAAACUUUGUCCAUGAAAUUCUCAUCGAAGAGAAUGUUAUCAGACUUCAUAUCGCGGUGGAUGAUACCUCUUGCGGAAUCUGUAUGGAUAUAGUGCAGGCCUCUAGCUGCACCAAGUCAUAUCUCAAGCUUCUGUCUCCAGCUCAACCUUGAGCGAUCCAACUCAUGCACAAUGGUCCUUUUAUUGUUCUCACUGCAAUGCCCGAUCAAAGAAACCAAAUGCAUGUGUAUGAACUGGGACAACAUUUCGAUCACUGUCCUGAAUUUACUGAUGUAAAGCUAUAGCUGGUUAGUAUAUGUAUUUGAAAAAACCAUUACCUUCUGUGGUUGAAGAUUCUUAUGGUCCAAUCAGAUUGAUUGCUUCUGGUGGUAGACCAUAUAAUUAAAAAAGCCUACUUUCCUCGUUUGCCUUUUUAUCUCAAGGACCUCCUGCACUCAAAAACAAAAACAGAGAACAGUUCAAUUCAAUUAAUUUUUUAACACAUUGAGUCAUUCGUUAAUGCAAAAGUGGAACUUUUUGUGGAAGUAAUUCUUGAUUGUAUUACUGAUGAAGUGCUCAGGUGCUUAAUUUCAUUUCCCCACGUGCCUGAUUCUCGAUACCACAUCAUCAUCCCACCUGAAAAAAGAGGAAACUUAAAAGAUUAAUAUGUGCCUCCAAAAAUUCAUAUAAUUCAGAGACUCAUGAAGAAACAAGACUUAAAAAGAUGCGAGCCUUCUUUUGACACUAAACACAGUUGUGGAGUGUUGUCAAGCAGUGGGUUUCCUUUGGGAAGUUCCUCUUCUUUGGCGUUUAGCUCUUCAUUUGCUGCUGCUUUUCCUGGAAAAAUGUAAAUAAUAAAUAUUAAGAUACAACUUUCAUAUGUCAAUGUGUUUAGAAAAAAACUAACGUAGUCAUUUUGUUAUAAUUGUAAUCUGAAAUCAUCUCACAGACAAGAACACAUACCUUCCUGAGCCUCUUUAUUUAUUUAUCUGGUCUAGUUCAGCCAUAAGAUAAGAGAUCCAGUCUCAUCCUCAUCAUCAGUCACCUUUUUAUAUCUAAGAAAGACAACCAGUUGAUAUAAGUCAUCAAAAACUCUCGAAAAGGAUAACACCGAAGCAAUUGCAUAUUCCCAAACCAGGGCUCUGAGGAAAAGCAUUAAAUCUCAAGUAAAGAAUCUUUAGAAGUCUAAAGCACAAAAGAUGAACUGCAAUAGGCAGGAAAGAAUAGAAAAUAGGUACCUAUCAUCAUGAUCAGAAUCAUCUUCAGAGUCCCUUUUAGAGCCUAAAAGCAGGAUAUCAAAGUUAGAAUUUAGAAAACAUAUAAUCAAACUACAUGUAUUCUGUGACAUAUAAUCAAAUAAAAAAGUGAAUUUCUCUAACCUUCGAGUAAUAGCUGAUUCCCUCUCCUGUAGUAGCUUUGAUCUAAUGACAAAAAAUUAAUGAAAUCAUUAUGAAGGAAGAGUGGAUUAUUGAAUGAAAACUCAGAUUAAAUGUAAGAGUUAUGAUUCUGGGACGUUUUGGCUUCAUGGUUUAAAUGGUUUCUCUUGCAGGGUGGAGGGACGGGAGAAGGAGAACGACGCAGGGCGGGGGGGGGGGGGGGGGGGGGGGGGAAUAACCGUAGAAAGCUCAUGGGCCUAUCUAAAAACUUAAGCCCAAACAAUUAUUCACUGAUGCCCAUUUUCGGCCUCUCCGGGACGCGCCUCCAAGGAAGAAGCGUAGAGAUCCAACGACGCGCGCGAGAAGAAGAGAGAGUGUGGAGUACACCGAUCCACUCCCAAGCUGACACGUGUCGAAGAAUGCCCGACAUGUUUUGCUGUCGUGGAGGGCUGUGCUUUGAGCACAAUUCAACUUUAUAUAUAGAAGAUUUAUCUUUUGUGAUGAAGUAAUAUAUAUAUUCGCUACCUAAAAUCCUUGGCUAAAUCAAAGCCAAACUAUAAACCCAUUGAGAUAGGUUAAAAAAGUAUAUCUAACGAACAUAUAGUUUUGAUCUUGAAUUUUUGUUCUAUGCUUAACAUUAUAAUAUGCUUUUCAUAAAACUUAAUAUAUAUAAAUAUUUGGAAUAAAAAAAAUUGAAUCAAAUGUUGCUUUAUAAAACUAAUAAAUGUGUAAUAAUUAUAUGAUAAUAUACAUGGUAAUAUAUAUAUAUAUAUAUAUAUAUAUAUAUAUAAAUUCAUCUCGUACUGACAAAUCAUGAGUAAUUCUUGGGUUCACCUCUAGGUUCACCAACCAAUAGUGUUUGGUUAUUUAAUAUUUGAUAUCUUUUAAAAAAGGAAACAACAUUGAAUUUUCAAAUAAGAUUAUCUUUUUAAAAUAAAACAAUAAAAAUACAUAAAAAUAGUUACAAAAAAUAAAUAAAUAAAUAUUUUUAAGUCUUUAGCAAAAUACUAAACCGUAUAUCCUAAAUCUUAAACCCUAAACAUUAAAUUUUGGAUAAACUUUAAACGUUUGAAAAUCUUAAACCCUAAAUCAUACAUUAAAAACUAAAUUUUAAUAACACUAAACCCUAAAUCCUAAUCACUAAUCACUAAACCCUAAACCCUUGGGUAAAUACUGAACCCUUGGAUAAAUCAUAAAUUCUAGAGUUUAAUUUUAAAUAUUUUUGAUUUACAGUUUAUGAUUUAUCCAAGGGUUCAGGGUUUACCCAAGGGUUUAGGGUUUAGUGAUUAGGAUUUAGGGUUUAGUGUUAUUAAAAUUUAGUUUUUAAUGUAUGAUUUAGGGUUUAAGAUUUUCAAACGUUUAGAGUUUAUCCAAAGUUUAAGGUUUAGGGUUUAGGGUUUAAGAUUUAGGGUAUAGGGUUUAGUAUUUUGCUGAAGACUUAAAAAUAUUUAUUUAUUUAUUUUUUGUAACUAUUUUUAUGUAUUUUUAUUGUUUUAUUUUAAAAAGAUAAUCUUAUUUGAAAAUUUAAUAUUGUUUCCUUUUUUAAAAGAUAUCAAAUAUCAAAUACUCAAACACUAUUGGUUGGUGAACCUAGAGGUUCACCCUAGGGGGUGAACCCAAGAAUUACUCGACAAAUCAUGUUGUGUUUUUAUUGGUUCAUCAUCAUUAUAUAGCAGAUAGAACAUUCUGUAAAUCAUUCGAUCAACUGUAGCUUUACAAAAAAUAUAUAAGCAAUUUAAAUCGGAUACACAAAUCAGUUUUUUGUUCUUCAUGGUUUAUCGAGGUUACAUAUCAUAAAAAUCAUGCAGACCAUGGAUUCUAAGCACUAUGCAUCAAAAGAAAUUUAAUGUGUGUAUUUUUCAGAUACAUGGAACCAGGUUUUUGCUAUCACUGAAACUGGAACUGUUUUUCUUCUCGUAUAUGUCAAAGCUGGUUUACCAAAACCGAAUAAUAAUGACUAGCAACUUCCACGUUUUGUAGGUUUCACUUUAUAAAAUAUUGAUCCAAGUUUUAAUGUUUGAGUGGCAAUUUUCGUAAUUGUUAUAUAAAGGGAUGAGUUAACUUAAAUUUUAUGUGAGGAUGCGCGUGGUGCUGACAACUCAGUAAUGGCAUGGUGUGAAUAAGAUACACAUUUAAGGUUAUUUAUUAAAAUGUUUCUAAAAUAAUAUAAAAGGGAUUUUUGAUCAUCGUGAUAGCAUAUUUACAAAGUUAUUAUCAUAAAUCAUAUAUGAAUCAUGAUGCAUAAUGUCAUAAUUGCUCACAAUUCCAAAUCUAACAAUAAAAUUGCAAGAACAUGAUGCAUAAUGCAGAAUAUAUUGUAAAUGCAAAAUGAAGAAUAUAUGACGUGAUGCAGAGUGUGCAUGCACCAACCGAAGUUUAUGCAUGAUGUAAAAUGUAAGACACUCAUACAACAAGAAAAAUAAUUUAUAAAACAAAAAUGUCAUAAUUUCUCAAACAUACAAACUUAACUAUAAGAUUGCAAGAACAUAAUGCAUAAUGCAUAAUGCAUUAUGCAUUAUGCAAAAUGUAUUGUAAAAUGUAAAAUGUAAUGUAAAAUGCAAAAUUCAGAAGUGUAUAAGAGGUGAUGCAGAUGGCACAUACAACAACCAAAAUUAAUGCAUAAUGCAGAAUGUGCAUGCACCAACCGAAGUUUAUGCAUGAUGUAAAAUGUAAGACGCUCAUACAACAAGAAAAAUAAUUUAUAAAACAAAAAUAUCAUAAUUUUUCAAACAUCCAAACUUAACUAUAAGAUUGCAAGAAGAUGAUGCAUAAUGCAAAAUGUAUUGUGAAAUGUAAAAUGCAUUGUAAAAUAAAAAAUUCAGAAGUGUAUAAGAGGUGAUGCAGAUGGCACAUACAACAACCAAAAUUAAUGCAUAAUGCAAAAUGUAAGGCGCUCAUACAACAACCAAAAUUUAAUUAUAAAACUGCCAAGAGGAAAUCAAAGGGUUAAAUGGAUAACCCAGAGAGUUUCUGGAGUUAAGCAAAUAAAAACCACAAACUACAUGAGACUCAACUAAUUACAAAGAGGUUUGAAAAGCAUAUACCUGUUGCAGAAGUCUGAUACACUUGGAAUGUCCUCAGAAUCUCUAACGAUUUGAACACCUUCUGAAGCACAAACCUGAGGAAAUAAAAAUGUAAUUAGUCUUUAGAUCAAGUAGUAUGCCCCUUGCUUACCUCCCAGAUCAUGAAUUAAUCUAUCUUCAUGACAUAAGUGGUACAGUAAGAAACACAUUUAUUGCGUAAUAUUUUGAAGUUUUGUUGGUCGUUCUUUUUUUUUUUCCAUCCAACAAAACCCCACUUAUAAGCCUUGUGGUAGAGAAACGAUUGUAUCUUUGUUCUUGGUUGUUUGUUCCUUCCAACAAGCUGAAAGCUGAACACCUAUAGGGCUAUAUAAGCCGUAGGUAAGUACUUACAUUCAAGAAUCUGUUUCCAGUUUGAAGCCUUUGUCUUAAGACUUUCUCAAACCAUUGAUCUUUAAAUAACUGAAAAAACAAAUUUUUGUCAAGCCGUGGGUAUCGUAAAGUCUUCUAUCUUAAAGACUACAGCGAGCCGUCUGGGUCUUAUUUGCCAUCCUCAAAUGACUCCAAACGGUCCCAAUAUCAUUGAAUCUGUCUAAAGAUUUUUAACCGAUAUUGUCUUUGUCUAGAGAUUUUAUAAGCCGUGGGUAGUUCAGUCAAGAAUCUGUUUUUCAGUUUGUCGUCUUCGUUUCUUGUCGUUAAACUCCACCUCAUUCAAGUAACUGAAAAACAGAUUUGAGUCGAGUCAAGCCGUGGGUUAACUCUUUUGUCUUAAAGACUACAGAGGCGUGUGGGUCUUAUUAGCCAUCCUUCAGUGACUUGUUCUAAGAAGCUAUUCGUUUGUUCCCACCGAACAAGCUUCCACACUCCCCCAUUGUCACUGAAUCUGUAUAAAGAAUCUUAACCGAUAGGUGUCUUUGUCUAUAGACUUAUAAGACGUGGGUAAGUAAGUACUUACUUUCAAGAAUCUGUUUUCAGUUUAAAGUCUCUGUCUUAAGACUUACUUAAACCGACUGUCGUUAAACUCCAUCUCAUUCAAGCAACUGAAAACAUAUUUGAGUCAAGCCGUGGGUAAGUAAAGUCUUGUCUUAAAGACCAAAAGGGUCGUGUGGUGUUCUCCUUGCCAUCUCCUAAUGACUUGUUCCAAGAAGCUGGUCCAGUCGUGAAACUGCCCCUAUCAUGUUUACAUACACCAGCAAGUCUUUUAACCGAUCAAUCGUGUACUUUUGUAAAUCCGUGGGUCUAGUGACUUUUAAGUCGUGUGGGUUUGUUUGCGUCCAAUCACUUGUUCUAAGAAGCUUUCGUUUAUUCCAUCAAGUAAACCUCCAAACUGCUCAUUGUCACUGAAUCUGUCUGGCCUUUUAACAGAUGCCUGCUUUCUCUAAAGAUUUUAUAAGCCGUGGGUAGUACAGUAAAGAAUCUGUUUUCAGUUUGCAGAUUUUUCUCACUUUUUGGUCUUUUAACUCGGUUCCCUUCUGUAAUAUCUGAAAGCAGAUUUUGUGUGGGUCUUUUGUUUUAAGACUAUUGAACCGUGUGGACCUUUAAGACUUUCUCAAACCGUUAAUCUUUUAACUCCAUUCCCUUCUUAUAUCUGAAAACAGAUUUUGAGUGUCAAGCUGUGGGUCUUUAGUAUAGUCUUUUGUCUUUAAGACUACUGAGUCGUGUGUUUUGUUUGCAAUCGUCCAAUGAAUCGUUCUUAGAAUCGGGGAAGCCUCCAAACUGUAUCAUUGUCAUUGAAUAUGUCAAAGACAGAGAAUUUAUAAGCCGUGGGUACAAUCAAGAAUCUGUUUUCAGUUUGUAGUCUUUUUGUCUUUAAGACUUUCUCAAACCGUUGGGUCUUAGAAUCCAUUCUCUUCUAACAUCUGAAAACAGAUUAUUUUGAGUCAAGCCGUGGUAAGUAAAGUUGUUUUGUCUUUAAGACUUUCUCAAACCGUUGGGUCUUUGAAUCCAUUCUCUUCUAACAUCUGAAAACAGAUUAUUCUGAGUCAAGCCGUGGGUAAGUAAAGUGUUUUUGUCUUUAAGACAAUAGAGUCGUAUGGUGUUAUUUGCCAACCAUAAUGAUAUGUUCUACGCCACUGGUCGUUAAUAUUCAUCCAGCCUUAAAACUGCCCCCAUUGUCAUUGUAUUUCCUAUAAUGUUUCCAUCCAAAAAGUCUUUUCACCGAUCAACUGUCAACUUUUAUAAGCCGUGGGUAAUAUAGUCAAGAAUCUGUUUUCAGUUCUUAAAGUAUUUGUCUUGAGACUUUCUCAAACCGUUGGUCGUUAAAAUCCAUCCAAUUCAAAGAACUGAAAACAGAUUUGAACCAAGCCUUGGGUAGUGAAGACUUUUGUCUUGAAGACUAUAGAGCCGAUCCAUUGUCUCUUUUUAUAAGCCGUGGGUAAGUCAAGAAUCUGUUUUCAGUUCUUAAGUCUUUGUCUUAAGACUUUCUCAAACCGUCACAUUCAAAGAACUGAAAACAUAUUUGAACCAAGCCGUGGGUAAGUAAAGUCUUUUGCCUUAAAGACUUUAUAGAGCCGAGUGGAUCUUAUUUUCCAUCCCCUAACAUCCUUCAAGAAUCUGUUUUCAGUUCUUAAGUCUUUGUCUUAAGACUUUCUCCAACCGUCACAUUCAAAGAACUAAAAACAGAUUAUUCUGAGUCAAGCCAUGGGUAAGUAAAGUCUUUUGCGUUAAAGACUAUUAAAGAGCCGAGUGGAUCUUAUUUGCCAUCCCCUAACAUCCUUCAAGAAUCUGUUUUCAGUUCUUAAGUUUUUGUCUUAAGACUUUAUCAAACCGUCACAUACAAAGAACUGAAAACAUAUUUGAACCAAGCCGUGGGUAAGUAAAGUCUUUUUUUCUCAAAGACUAUAGAGCCGAGUGAAUCUUAUUUGCCAUCCCCUAAUACAAUGCACUACCAAACCCAUAUUAUCCCAGUUAACAAUCUUGGCUAGGGGAUGGUCUUCUUAUAGUGGCAGCAACGGGACAAUGUCCCCAAAUAAGAAUCUGGCAGAACACUAUUAGAUCAGUGUCUGCCUAUGAUCUUUUUUAGGUUUCAAGUGAAACAAAAAACAAAAAAAAAAUCAAAACAAAACCAAAAAAAAAACAAAGCUUGAUCAAAAUCCCCAAAACAUGAAAGAAAGAAAGAAUCUCAAAACGAAAACCAAAAUAAAGCUUCAAGACAAAACGGGAAACUCUUGCACAGACGGAGAAUACAACUUAAACUCUAGCCAACGAAAACAACUUAAAAGUAAAUCGCAAAAGUAUUUGCACGAAACUUAGAAACCCUAAAAUAGACUAAGACGACUAACGAGAAAAAGAAACUCUGAGCAAGAUCAAUAUGUCAAAUUAACCAAUUAGACAAACUUUGAAGCCCUAGAAUCCGAAUCGCAAAUCAAAAAUUUCAUGGGCAACUUACAAAUUCACGAUUUACAGCGAUCGAAACACUUACAUAUCUGAGAACGUAGAGGGCUCUCUGUUUCUCGAAGAGAUGAUCGAUAAAACUAUUCGAAGAAACAUAAGGAGACCAAAAAAAAAGGUUUCGUUUGAGAACUCGCGUCUCCUAAUGGUUAUAUAGAGUCGACUUCGAUCGAGCACAUUCUUGGGGAAAAAAAGGAAAGCACGAAGUGCUUUGAUAAACACGUGUUUCUCCUAACGGUUAUAUUUUAAUUUUGAGUCGGUGGAUUUUGUAAUCGAACCGGUCCUGGAUUCUUACAAUACCAACAUAAACCGAACCGGUUCUUUUUCCACUCUGGCUAAAUAUUAACCGACGUCAUUUUUUCAUGUCAAUUUGGCAAUUUCAAUUUAUUGGGUUACACUUCCGAGGAAGAAAACUAAUCACAUAUUUUUCAUUCAUAAAAUUUGGUUGGUGAGGAAUCUAUAUAUAUAAAGAAAUGUUCGCCUCUCUCCCGUGAAGCCACGUCAUCAAUUCGUGCGUUCUGGGAGUGACACGUGUCCCAUUUCAUAUUUAAGGCCAAAAUAAAUGAAUGCAAUUAAGGGUAAUCGAACCCAGCACCUCUAGCACUGGUAAUUUCUCUUAGAACCACUAGGCUAAAGUCAUUUUUUAUAAAUAUGUGGCCGCGAAAAUACUUAUUAUCGUGUCAGCUGGAAGCUCAUGCUUCUUCUGCUUGUGGCCAGGGCCGACACUGAACUGACGUCAAGAUGAAGAUCGUGAAGUUAAAAACUUUGCUCCAAACAGUUUUGCAAUGUUUCCAACUUUUAUAACUUGAUGCAUAUAAUAUAUAUCAAAAUUUGUUGUACACGCUUUUAUUAGUUUUGCUUUUAAAAGAAGGUAUUUACAGUUAUAAAUGUUUUGUGCCAGUGAAGUAAUGGUUGAAAAAUUUCUAUACAUAUGUCAUUUUAAAAUAACACCCAACUUCUAUAUAUAUAGUCAAUACAUAUAUCCAUGUUAUAUUCUAGACUAAAUAUUUUCUCUUUUAAAAAUAUAGAAAACAAUUUUUUUAGUCUACAAGCAAAUGUUGUAGAGCAAGUAUGCAUUAUACAAAAUAAUAUAUAUUUAAAAUCCAUACACAAAAACAUAAAAGUUGUUAUAGGCCUCUUUCUGACACAUGCACACUCCACUAUGAAUAAAAAUUAAAAAAAAAUAGUAUUGUUAUCAAACUUUAUCACAAAUCCACAUUUGUAUAUCUAUAAUUAUGAGUUGGACAAUUAGUUAAUUUGAUACAAUACCAAAGAAAGAAUAAUCGAAAAACAACUAUACCACCGUAUACUAAUAAGUAAGACAUAACAGAUAACCAAAUUCUUGAAUCUUAAAACAAAUUUCAACUCGAGCAUUUAGUGAAUAUCAAAUUAACUAAUAUCCCGCCCGUAGGGCGGGCCGACCCUAGUUACUCUUAUAAAAAUUAUCAUUUACAGUAGAAAAAAAAAGACGAGUUAUAAAACAUCCUUCACACUAAACAUAAGUCAGUUAGCAAUUGUGUGAAUGACAUGUGUCUUUUUCGAUUUUUUUAUUUGUUGCUUUUUCAAAUGUAUUUUAAAUGAUUUUUUUUUAAUUUGUCACUUGGUGGAUGCCCGCGGGUUCGCGAGUUUGAAUGUUUUGUAAUAAUAUAUUUAUUAUAUUUUUUCAAAUUAAAAUAUCUUUUUAUCAUUAAAUGUUUUUGUUAAAUAUUUUUCAAAGAAUAAUUGUUUAAAAAGGAAAAAUAUGACUAAAUUAAAUAUUUUUGGGAAAAUUUUAUGUUUACAUUUUCACGGUACCAUUUUUCAUCUUUAACAUCACUAAACGGAUAUUUUCAAAAGUACAAUUUUCAUUAAAUGGUAAAAGACUCUUAUAUAUUUGUUAUCUAUAUAUAUAAUAAAUCAUUACUUAAAUAAGAAAAAUAAAUAAAUAAAUAAAUAAAAUAAAAUAAAUAAAAAAUAAAAAUAAAAUAAAUAAAAAAUAAAUUUAUGUUUUCGAAUUAUACUUUUUCAAAUUCAAAUUUUUUUAUAAUUUUGUUUUUUGAAUUUUUUUUCGAAAACUUUUUUAUUUUUAUCUUUUCAAAUUUCUUUUUGAAAAUCGAAAAUUAUGUUUGAAGCUAUUUUUAAAAUUUUUAAUAUAUUUUUAAGUAUUUAUUAAUAUAUUUAUUAGAAUCCUAAAUUUCACAUUCUAAAAGCCUUUACUCCACCCUUCAACUCUAAAUCAUAAGUCUAGAUUAGUUAACCGUAGGGGUAUAAGUGUCUUUUACCCUUCAUUAAAAGUGAGGGUAAAAGUGGUUAGUGUAAACAUGAAAAAAGUACUAUAAAUGUGCUAUUUGUGGUAAUUUCCCAAUAUUUUUUGAUAUUUUGUAUUAAUAAUUAUACUAAAAUUAGUUAUGUAUAAUAUUUAUGAUUCAGUUUUUAAUAAAAUUACUUAAUUUGUGAAAGUAUAUGAUAUUGAAAUUUUUGGAAUAUUUUAUAUAAUUUAGAAAUACCUGAUUGCUAAAAAUGAUUUUAUGAAGCAUUAUAUAUAUUAUAUAAAUCACAUAUUAAAUUACCAUAAAUUAUUUUGUGCAAUAUAUUUAGGUCGUUUGGAGCAUCUCCAUCUUCACUCCAUAAUUUACUGCAAAAUGGUGUGGAAAAUGGAGUAGUGAAGAAACAAAAAAGUGAUUACUCCAUAAAUGGAGAAAUUAUUUAUUUUUUGUUCAUACUCCAUUUCUCACUUCAUUUUUUGGAAUAAAUUAUGGAGUGGGGAUGGAGAUGCCCUAAUAAAAAUAUUUCUAGAACUAACUUUUGUACUCAUAGAAUAAAUAAAUAUUUACUUUUUAACAAAUCAAAUUAUAAUAUUUUUUCUCAAUCUCUAUAUAUGAUCAACACCUAAGAAAAAAUCAAUUAAGUGAUUUAUCAUUUAACAUAAAAUGAAAUUUAAAAAUAUAUUUUAUAAAUUAAUUUAUUAGCUUGUAUAAAUAAAUUAAAAUAUUUUAUCAUAAUUUAAAUCAUAUGAUAAGCCAAGAUAAAUAAUUUUAUAAACAUAUUUAUAAAUUCUUAUAAAUGAUUUAUAAAGCAUGUAUGAAUUUUAUUCGAUAUUUAUAGUUAUUAAUAAUACUUUAUAUACAUAAUAAGGCCAUAUAAAAUAUAAGGCUUUAUAUAAGAAUAUAAAAUCAUUAUAUCAAUUUUAAUAAACUUUUUUUUUACUAUUUUAUGUAGUUUAUAAACAUAUAAAAAUGAUCAAACAUUAUUACUUUUUCUAUAGUUUCAACAAUUAGUUACCAUAAAUAAUUAUUUGAAAUAUUAUGUAGAUUUUUGGCAAGUGUUAUUAACUGUUUAUAGACUUAUUUUUUUCUUUUAAAUCUAAUUAAAAUAAAUAAAAAUUAUAAAUUACCGACAAUCAAUUUAUAACAGUUUUUUAAGAUUUCAUAAAUGAUCGAUACAUAACCAAAAAUCUCUUAAAUGACUUCUCAACUAAUAUAUAUAAUAUGAUAUAUAGCUUUGAUUUUAAGCUCUUAUAGAUGACUUACAAAGUCUUAUAAUAAUUUAAAAUAUACAAUAAGCCAAGAUAAAUAAUUUGAUAAAAAAAUUUAUAGAUGAUUUAUAAAGCAUAUAAUAUGAACUUUAGGAGAUGAUCAUAGUUAUUAUGAUAAUUUAUAUAAAAUAUAAUUUUUUAAAUAAGAAUAUAAAAUUAUUAUAUUGAUUUAUAUAAACGGUUUGUCGUUUAUUAUUUUAUGUAUUUUUAAAUAUAAAAAUGACUAAUUUAUUUCUCUUUCUAUAAUUUCAACAAUUAGUUACCAUAAAUCAUUAUUUGUAAUAAUUUCAACAAUUGGUUACCUACGUCUGUAUUUUGAACACUUUAGUGAAUUUUGCUAACGUGUCGAUCAUAGGUGAUUAAUUGUUAAAAUUAUAUUACAUUAUAACUUUGCUUAGUUUUAAAUAAUAUUACAAAUAAUAAUUUAUGGUAACUAAUUGUUGAAAUUAUAGUUAACUUAUGGUAACUAAUUGUUGAAAUUAUAGAAAAUAAAUAAAUUGAUCAUUUUUUAUAUUUAAGAGUUACCAUAAGGUAACUAAUUUUUUUUAUUUGGCAAGUGAUAUUAAUUGGUUAUAGACUUGUCUUUUCUUUUUUAUAUCUAAUUAAAAUAAAUAAAAAUUAAAAAUCAUCGAACAAUCAAAUUAUAAUAAUUUUGUAAGAAUUCACCUAUGAUCGAUACGUAAGCAAAAAUAAUUAAAGUGACUUCUCAAUUAAUAUAUAGUAGAAUUAUUAUUUUGUUUACAACUCACAUACGAACAUUGCCGAAUUUUAUUUUCAUUGGAUUGCCGAAUUUAAGUGUGAUGUUCUUAGAAAAUCACUAAGCUUUUUUUACCAUAAAAAAAUCACUAAGCUAAAAACUUUGGUUCAUUUAUCAUAAUCUGUUUUUCCUGUUAUAGAUAUAAUAGUGUUUUACUAAGACCAUCUUUAAUGGUACAUCUCUAUUGUUUUAUAGAGUGAACUAUAGAAGCAAAUUCGAUUUUACAAUAGAAUUAUUCUAUUUUAAUGUAAAACAAGUUUUCUAAACCAAGUUACUAAAACUGAAGUUACAAAAAAAAAAAAGUUACUAAAACUGAAAAUAAUGAUAACGUAAUAAAACUAUAUUGAAAUUAUAGAAAAGUAAUAUAUAAUGUUGAAGGUCUAAAUUGUAUUAUUAUAUUUAACCAAAGAAAAAAUGAUAUCGAUGUUAUGAUUUUUGUUGUAAAUUUUACUUAAGUACUCCCUCCGUUCCUUAAAUAAGCGUUGGCAUGUCUCUCAUUUGUUUUAGAUUAUUUUAAAAGUUAAAAACUGAAACGGAGUAAUACAUCGUCUAUGUCUUGCUUUGGUCAAAUUUUAUUUUUAUAAUUUUUUUUGUCAUAAAUGAUAGAGCUAGGCAACAUAUCAGGACCCAAAGAACUGAAUCAAACCCGAUCCGAAGAGUAGUACCGAACUUAAACCAAAAUUGAUUAAUACAUGAUUGGGUAUACAAUUUAAUAUAGGAAGAACCAGAUUCAAACCCGACUCGAACAAAAUAUUUCGGGAACCAUAAAAUGCUCAAAACACCGGAAAUAUCUAAAAACUUGUUUUCCAUCAUAAUUUCCAAAUAAAUCCAGUUUUAUUUUAAUUUUAUAUAUUUACUUUUACAUUAUUUAAAUUUAUAUGUUUUAUAUUAUUUCAGUUUCGGGUUUUUAGAAUUUAAGGUACAUUUUAAUUUUUCAAUUGUUUACAUAAUUUAAAUGGAUACCCAAACCAAACCCGUAAUGUUUAGAAUAGGGUUUAAAUCUAUAAGCCUAAAAAUCUGAAAUCCGAAUAGACUCAAAUCAAAACCAAACGGAUCCUGAUUAAGAUAUAUAAGAUUAUGUGUUUUAUUUAUUUAAUAAUAAUAUAAGAUUAUAUUUUUAGUUUUUCUCCUAGAAUAUUUAAAUGUUUAUUUGGGUUUAUAUAGAAACCGUUUUUAACAAAAAUCAAUACCAAAUAUAUGCAUCUAUAUAUACCGGGUUUGCUGACAUAUUAUAUAAUAUAAACGUGUUUUAAUCAUUUUUUAAAUAAUUUAAAAUUUUGUGCUAUAAUCAUUUUUAAAUAAGAAUAUGAGGAUAUAAUUAUUUUAGAUGUUAGUGCCCAAACAUAUUCAUUCAAUAAUAAUGAACAUCAAAAAUAUUCAUACCUAUGUAUUGUUAUGAAAUCCUCGUUUAUAGUAACAACUAUAGAUUCGGUAGAAUCAGGUCAUUAAUGGCCAAAGAUAUGAUCAUUGAUUUAUUUACGGUUGGUGACAUUUAAAUAUAUUGAUUAAAUCUUUCUUUAAGCUAGAUUUUAGGUUAUUUAUUUAUUUAUACUAAUUAAUAUAGUAAUGGCAUUUCAUUGUAAAUAACUCAAAAACUAAUGGCAGAAUCCUAGUAGGGAUUCUGCUUUAAUAGUAUAGAUAUAGAGGAAAUUUUUGUGUCCCAUCGGAGAUGUUCUAAGGAAACAUAGGUCGUGCAAUUACGACGGAAGAGAGCAAGAGACGUCAAGAAAAGGGAAAAGUUGAAAGUGAUAUACGUACAGCGUUAACUGUGUGGAGAGGGGCUCAUGCAUUAAAAAAGUCCAAGUGGUAUACGUAAGCGUUAUCUGAUAAAGGGACAUGAAACAUCAAUCAUUCAUGAACUUGCCACAUAUCCUAUUUCUAUCAUCUUUGGUCAAGUAACUCGACAUAUUAGUCAAAAAAACAAAAAAAACUCGACAUAUCAAACAUUAAGACAUGUGACUUUUAGGCAAAUAAAGUCGACCUUUUUUAUGUUUUCUUUUCAAUUUAUAAUGGAGUUGAAUUUCUACAACCUGGAAGCAGAUGCGUAAUGGGAAACAAGAUCCCAGGAAAUAUAGCACCAGUCUCCUAUUCGCUAAUAUACUUGAUUUAAAAUAAAAACAAAUGAAAGAUGCCAUGGACAUAUUGACUUUUAGUCCUUCGUAUCUUUAAUUAGUCUUCACCUGUCACCGUGACCGCCAGGUAUUGUUCCAAAGUCAAUGUUUAGGGAUAUAGCCACCGAAGACGACCAGACGAAAACUCUAAAUGUACAAUUAUAUAACCAAUAUUGUAUGUGGCUGAUCACUGAUGAUAAUAUUGUAAUUUGUGAAUAACAAAGCAAGUUCACAUACAAAGAAUCGCCUUAUAUGAGAUAUGUUGAUCGUGUUCUCAGUUCUUCUCUUCUUUAUCAUCAUCACAAGCUUCUUAGCAAGUUCAACAACAUCUGUUUCACCAUCUCUCCAUUCAGAUGAGCGUAUGAGAAUAAACCACUGCUAAUUAUUCCAUUUUUUUAAAUGAAGGUCUAAAUCCUCAUUUGUAUAUCUGUUAUUUGCUUAUAUAUCAAUUGUAAGCAGUGAAUGCGCUAGAGAAGAUAUCUACUACACUUGGAAUCAAGGGACUGAACCUAAGUUAUGGAGACCCUUGCAGUUUAGGAACCCUGAAGAUGAUGCAAGACGUUGAUGUUAUUUCGAAUCCGGACACUGGAAACAGCACCAUUCGUUGUGAUUGUAGCUUCAACAAAAGCACCACAUGCCAUAUAACAAGCAUGUGAGUGUUAUUAAUUUAUUCUGUUUUCUUUUCUUUUUAAGUAGAUGUUUCCUCUCUGUCCUGAUAUAUUUUCCGGUUAUACUAUUUGGACAAAAAUAGAGACCUCAAGACCCUUGGCCUUCCAGGGAAACUGCCACCAGAGUUUGCUGACCUUCCAUAUCUACAAUCGAUGUGAGUGAGUUCAACCACGAAAAUUCAUAUAUGGGAGAUGUUGUCAAAUAUGUAGCGAGAUAAUCUUCAAAGAGAGCCAUGAGUGCUGAGUUUUUGCUUUACUUUGCAGAGACUUGUGCAGAAAUUACCUUACGGGCUCAAUCCCAAUGGAGUGGGCUUCAUUGCCAUACCUCACUUCCAUGUUAGUUCCAUCUCUUUCUCUGUUGCCGAUGCAUACUAUUCAUAAUUCACCAGAGUGGCUUCUGAAAUUUUCUUGCAGCUCGCUCUGCGCGAAUAACUUGUCUGGGCCUUUACCAACUGGGUUACAGAACUUCAAGAAUCUCACAGUCUUGUACGUCUCAAACUGUUUCUUAUUCCAAAUAUUCAUUUUGAUUUGACCAUAUAUUGAUGCGACGAAAUUUCCAGAGGGGUCGAAGCCAAUCAGUUCUCUGGUCCAAUUCCUGAGGAGCUUGGUAACUUGAUCAAGUUAAUACGACUGUAAUACCCUUUGCAUCUUAACCAUUUUUCAAAACCACAUGAAUAUUUAGUUUUAUGCACCAAAUUUUAUCCAAAAGAAACCAUUAUUAUUUUUAAUCUUCUCAAACUGGUUUCUGCAGGCAUCUUACCUCCAAUCAAUUUACAGGAAGCUUGCCUAACUCUCUAGCUAAACUGAUGAACCUUGAGGAUUUGUAAGUUGUUUCUGUAACUAAAAAUUAAAAAUUUCCUAAGGUUUCGUUUUAUUGGCAUCUACAUUGAAGUACAACCUAUUUGAUUCAAAGCUUCCUUGUUGAACUUCUUCCAGGACUUCUCAUAUGCUUUUUUUCUUCCCUAGUAUGAAUUUCAUGGUUGUAAAUUGAUUUAUAUAGUCACGAAAAUUCUCACCUUAGUCAAGAACCUAUAAACUAGUCCUUGAAGAUAAAUUUUACAAAACUCUUAAAUAAUUGUUCGUUUUCAUUAUAUAGUAGGGUAAGUGACAAUAACUUCAAUGGUACCAUCCCAGAAUAUAUCGGCAACUGGUCUCGGCUUCAAAGGCUGUAAGCUUGUCCUUCAUUACUAAUUUUCAUUUCUCUUAUGGUUUCUGUUUAUCUACCAUCUAAGCUUUGUUCUUUAUUAUCAACAGAGGUCUACUGGCAAGCGGACUGAAAGGUCCUAUUCCUGAUGCAGUCACUCGCCUAGAAAAUCUUAUUGAUAUGUAAUGAACUUACCUUCAUUAUACGUAUUAACAAAAAGACAAUAAUGUUUUAAGCGAUAUAUCCAAAUGCAGGAGUAUUAGUGAUACAACUGGGAUAAACUCCUUUCCAAAUAUGUCCAGCAAAGCCAUCAGGAAACUGUAUUUUUCUUUACUUCAGUCAUCAGUUUAUCGUCUUGAGGAUUGAUUCUGUCUGAAAAUUUCGAACUAAAAUCCCCCUUCCCUGUUCCAGGAUUUUGAGGAAUGUGAGCUUGUCUGGUGCAAUUCCUUCUUACAUAUGGAGUUUGCCUGAGCUAAAGACUUUGUAAGUUCUUUCUGUCAAAGCUAGUUUAAUAUACCCAGCAUUACCCACAAAGGAAUUAGAGUAUCAUCAGAUGUGUAUACUCAUGACAUUUUUCAUAUAUGGACUAUAUUAUUUGUAUAUAUAGAUUGUCAUGGACUUAACGGGUACGCACUUUGUGAACUGAUAUUCAAGUAUUAGAGAAUCUGUAGAUCUUCAUAUGCAAACGUUUACUUUUUUAUUACAUGUUUACUGCAGGGAUUUAUCGUUUAACAGCUUGACUGGCGAAGUUCGUGGAAUACAAAGUGCACCAAAAUUCACGUAAGUACUAUACAAUCUGAGACUAAACAUGUUAAAGAGAUGAAGUCCAAACAUUGUCAAUACCAUAGUAUCAUGAUCAAGUAUGUAUCAUUCGGACAUGUUUGUUCAGCUAUUUGACUAGAAAUAGACUUUCUGGAGAUGCUGGAUCAGGUGUUUUUCUCAAUAGCAAAUCUAAUAUGUACGUUUAAGCUUUCCCUUGUCUAUAUAUUUUUUAUUUUUAAGAUAUUUUUCGCCAUGUCAACUAAUCUUUUUAUUAUGGUUAUUUCUCACAGUGAUAUCUCGUACAAUAAUUUCUCUUGGUCGUCUAGCUGUCAGGAAAAGAGGUACCAAUAUGAAAUCUUGGUAGAUGUAAUACAUCUUCUCUGUUUUGUUGAUAGCAUUCUCAUGUUGAAGUUUCUAUUUACACUUUUUGUUCAAUC
RNAcentral lists this long non-coding RNA (120362 nucleotides) under Brassica rapa (field mustard). RNAcentral describes it as "long non-coding RNA (BRAP_LNC007044)". The record is from RNAcentral. Lineage: Eukaryota; Viridiplantae; Streptophyta; Magnoliopsida; Brassicales; Brassicaceae.